UGGACUUCUCGCCACUUCUCAGUCUGGCGCACUAUAAUGAAUCAUGCUAUACAAAGGAUAAAGCCGUUGCCCACGCUGGCUUGUGGUUGGCACGAUAAAUGUUUCACAACAGUAGCUCGCGAACCGGUCCUUAAUUGCCAUGAGCACGACCUUCAAAACCAUGUGCUCACAACCCACCAUUAAUCAUAUUUUAAUUACCAAUUAAUUAUCAUAACACGAUUAACCAUCGUGAGCUACCAUUAAAUAUAACCAUAAUAAUAAUGUAGUAUAUAUGAUUCAUCCCAUUAGUGAGCUAAUGUUUCUAAACAUGGCUAAGCAAUUAUAUAUAUAUAACAUUUAGCUGAACCAAACCAAUACAUAAGGUUCAAGCUAAUCAAUUUAUUACCCAAGGUAUCAAGGAAUAGAGCAUUCAAUGCAAAUUGGCCAUAACAAAGGAAAAGGUUCACACCACCCGGUGACAUUCAAAAAUAAAUGCACAGUUGAAAUAAAUAGAGAAUUUAAAUAUAGGAUCAACAUGCUCAAAGGAUUGUGUUUAGGAUCUGUGUGACUUGCCUUGCAAUAAUCGAUCUUCAAUUAAUCUUCUUGAUCACUUCCGACGCACUCACGAACCUUCGCAACGACGGAAACGACAAGCUAACACGCAAAACGAAGAAAAAGACUAAUAAAAAACCAAAUAAACAGUACAUAAAAAGUAAACAAACAUGUAGAUCAUAAUUUUAGAUGAAUUAUGAGACUUGAACGGCCUCAUUCUGACUUCAAAUGAAUUUAUUAUGAAUUUUACAAGAUUAAAUCUAAUUAAAGCCCAUUUAAAAAGAAUUAAAUAAAUUUAAUUCAAUUUAUGGACAAUUUUAAUAUGUAGAUCUUUAUUUUAGAAAAAUUUAGCAACUUGAACUACAUUAAACUGAGUUACGAUGAUUUAGUUAUGAUUUUCCGAAGAUUUAAUCUAUUAAAAGAAAAGGAAAAAGAUGAGAUGAUGACGUCAGCAUGACGUCAUCCAUGGCCGGCGGCUCGGAUUGGCGACCUCGCCGGAGCUAGGAUGGUCGGCCGGGGAUUUGGAGGGCACCUACGCAUAGAGGACGACGAGAUGAACCCAACGGUACUCACCACGACGACAAACGACGAACGACGACGGCCGGCGACGAGAAGGGCGACGGCGGCGGCUCGGUUGAACGGCGACGGCGAGCUCCGGUGGCCGGCGGCAAAGAAGGACGGGCGGCCGAGCUUCUCCACCCCUUGGCGCACCUCUUGGCGAUGGCGGCAAGCGGCGGCGACGACGGAGGCGGCGGCGCGACGACGCCGAAGAUGGCCGGCGGCGGCGGCGAGCUAGACGCGCGUGGCGCGGCGGCUAGGAGGCACGGGAGACCACGGGAGAGAGAGCAAAUGAAAGAGGGCGACGAGGGGAUGCUAUAUAUAGCCUUGGAUUGAAGAGAUCGAACUCCAAACGAGAGGAAUCGACUCGGGAAAAAUCCAAACUCGGUUUUAGGGAUAAAAUCAAAACGAACUCGAUUCGGAUAAAAUACCCAACGAUUCGCUCCGAUUCUUGAGGGGAAAGAUAGAGGAGAAUGAGAGGAUAAAAUCCCCUCAAAAACCCGGAGGAAACGGGGUCGGAUUGGGUUGGAUUUGAGAGAAGAAAGGAGGCGCGGUCGGUCGGCAGCUCGGCUCGGCUUGGCCGGCCGGAGGUAGGGGAUGACCCCGACAUGUGGGCCCCACAUGUCGGUGGCUAGAGGAGGAGGGGCGGCGGCUGCUUGGCUGGGCCGACUUGGGCCGGUUCGGCCGCGCGGAGAAGAGAAGAGUUGGGCCGAAUUCGGCCCAACGGCUUAAAGGAGGGGUUUUUGAACUUUUUCAAUAAAAACAAUUUGUGAAAUGUUGUUUCAUUUAUUAAAAAUACUUCCCUUGCUCAAAUAAUUCCCAGAAAAAUCUAGAAAAUAGAGGAGCAAGCAUAGUAUUUAAUAAAAUUUUAUCUAGCUCAUUUUUAUAUUGAAAAUUUUCCUAGAAAAUUAGGGUUUAGCUUGUAGGUUUUUAAAAUAAUUUCUAAAAAAUUCCAAUUAAACAACAAUUUAUAUAUUUAGGAUUUUAAACAAGAAAAACUCUUAACAAUUAUAGUUAGAUCAUUUAAUGAUCAAAUAAUUACUAAACUGUUCUUUGUAUCAUUUAGGAAUUGAGCUCCGAAAAAUCCGAGAAAAUUCCAGAGAGUAUAAUUAACCAUGGAGAAUUUAAUAAAAAUUAAAUCCAUCCAUGCUUUAUAUUUAGGAAAUUUUAUUUCCCACAUUUAACUUCACUUGUAAAUUAAUGAACAUUUAAUAUAAAUUCUAUUAAUAAUUUACUAAAUUCUUUAUAAAUCUUGAAACGAAAAUCAGGCUGUGACAGAACUCCAAACGAGAGGAAUCGACUCGGGAAAAAUCCAAACUCGGUUUUAGGGAUAAAAUCGAAACGAACUCGAUUCGGAAAAAAUCCUCAACGAUUUGCUUCGAAACUUGGGAAAAGAUAGAGGAGAACGUGAGGAACAAAACCCCUCAAAAACCCGAAAGAAUCGGGGUCGGAUUGGAGCAGAAACGGAGGCGGAAAAGGGCGGCUCGGGCUUGCUAGGGCGGCCGGCCGGAGGUAGGGGAUGGAUCCGACAGGUGGGCCCCACCUGUCGGUCUCCUGAGAGGAGGGCACGGGCGGCUCGGCUGGGCCGGCUUGGGCCGCGCGGGAGAGAGAGAAUGUUGGGCCGAAUUCGGCCCAACGGCUAAGGAAGGGGAUUUUUGAACUUUUUUGAAUAAAAACAAUUUGUGAAAUGUUGUUUCAUUUAUUAAAAAUACUUCCCUUGCUCAAAUAAUUCCCAGAAAAAUCUAGAAAAUAGAGGAGCAAGCAUAGUAUUUAAUAAAAUUUUAUCUAGCUCAUUUUUAUGUUGAAAAUUUUCCUAGAAAAUUAGAGUUUAGCUUGUAGGCUUUUAAAAUAAUUUCUAAAAAUUCCAAUUAAACAACAGUUUAUACAUUUAGGAUUUUUAGGGCGUGACAAACCUACCCCCCUUAAACGGAAUCUCGUCCUCGAGAUUCAGAAGAACUGGCGAACAGAUGAGGAUGAGCUGACUUCAAUUCAUCUUCUCGCUCCCAAGUGGCUUCUUCUUCUGAAUGAUUGCUCCACUGAACCUUGCAGAACCGUAUAACGCGAUUCCUGGUAUUCCUCUCGCUUACUUCCAAAAUUCUGACGGGCUUCUCAACAUAAGUUAAAUCUUCUUGAAGCUCUAUACGAUCAGGAUCUGCUUCCUCCGUAGGUACACGUAAACAUUUCUUCAACUGAGACACAUGGAACACGUCAUGCAUUCCCGUCAUUGACGAAGGCAACUCUAACUGAUAAGCUACUUCACCUCUUCGACUCACAAUCUUAAAAGGUCCCACAAAGCGCGGUGCCAAUUUCCCUUUGGUUUGGAAACGAUGAACACCUCGUAACGGCGUAACCCGAAGGUAUACAUAAUCUCCUUCUUCGAAAGCCAAAUCUUUGCGACGAUUGUCGGCAUAGCUCUUCUGACGUGACUGAGCAACACGCAACCUUUCUUGGAUAAUCUUCACUUUUUCUUCUGCCUCUCGCAAUAUGUCUGUCCCAAAAACCUGACGUUCACCGGUUUGAUCCCAAAGAAGCGGCGUACGACACUUUCGACCAUAUAAUGCUUCAUACGGAGCCAUUUGCAAACUAGCUUGAUAACUAUUGUUAUAUGAGAAUUCCGCGUACGACAAAUUCUUAUCCCAACUUCCACCAAAAUCUAGAACACAGGCUCUCAACAUAUCUUCUAAAAUUUGGUUUACUCUUUCUGUCUGACCAUCUGUUUGAGGGUGAUAAGCGGUACUGAAAUUCAAACGGGUACCCAUCUCAACUUGUAAUUUCUGCCAAAACUUCGAAGUAAACUGGCUACCUCUAUCUGACACUAUCUUCUUAGGAACGCCAUGCAAACAUACCACUCUGGCCUUGUAUAACUCUGCAAGCUUAUUCCCCGUAUAGGUUGUUUUGACCGGUAUGAAAUGCGCGACUUUUGUCAACCUAUCAACCACUACCCAAAUAGAAUCAUGUCCUGCCGACGUUCUGGGUAGACCGGUUAUAAAAUCCAUUCCUAUUUCUUCCCACUUCCACUCUGGAAUCUUUAACGGUUGUAACAGAUCGGCUGGCUUCUGAUGUUCUGCCUUGACCCGCUGACAUACAUCACAUAGAGCCACAUAUUCUGCUAUCUCACGACGCAUACUGGCCCACCAGAAUUGUUGCUUUAAAUCUUGAUACAUCUUAGUGCUUCCAGGGUGAAUGGAAUACAAAGUUUCAUGAGCUUCUUUCAUGAUAGUAUCCUUCAACUCCUUAUUAUCUGGGACGCAAAUUCUUUCUCCUAACCACACAGUACCUUGCUCAUCUUCUACAAAACCGAUGGCUUUUCCUCUUCUCAUGUUUUUCUUUAUUUCUUGGAUAUCAGGAUCAUUCACUUGAGCUUCUCUAACUUGAUCAAACAGAGUAGGUUUAGCUUCUAAAGCGGCCAUAAAACCUUUGCUGACUAUUCCCAAGUUCAACUUUUCAAAUUCUUGGCAUAACUCCCGAGGUAAACGUCGACCUUCUGACAUAUUACAGUAGCUUUUCCUGCUAAGUGCAUCGGCUACAACAUUUGCUUUCCCCGGGUGAUAGUGGAUUUCCAUAUCAUAAUCUUUAAUCAACUCUAACCAUCUUCGCUGACGCAUGUUCAAAUCAGGUUGAGUGAAAAUAUACUUCAAACUUUUAUGAUCCGUAUAUACCUCUGUACAGUUACCGAAAAGAUAAUGACACCAAAUCUUCAAUGCAUGCACCACAGCAGCCAAUUCUAGGUCAUGCGUUGGGUAGUUAUUCUCAUGGGGACGUAAUUGCCUAGACGCAUAAGCAACCACCUUUCCUUCUUGCAUCAACACACAACCCAAACCGAGUCGGGAUGCAUCACAAUACACUUGGAAACCUUUCCUCGAAUCAGGCAAAACUAACACAGGCGCAGUCACUAGCCUUUUCUUCAAUUCUUGGAAACUUUGUUCACAAUCCUCUGUCCACUUGUACUUUACUUCCUUCUGAAGCAGACGAGUCAUUGGUCUGGCGAUCUUUGAAAAGUUCUCAAUAAACCUGCGGUAAUACCCAGCAAGUCCAAGGAAACUACGAAUUUCUGAAACCGUCUUGGGUUGCUUCCAACUUAACACUGACUCCACAUUGCUUGGAUCUACUGCCACUCCUCCGGACGAGAUGACAUGACCAAGAAACUUCACUUCGGACAACCAAAAUUCACAUUUACUGAACUUGGCAUAAAGCUGAUGCUCACGUAGUUUCUCUAAAGCUAGACGAAGAUGCUCUUCAUGUUCUUCCUUCGUCUUGGAGUAAAUAAGAAUGUCAUCAAUAAACACCACGACAAACUUAUCCAGAUAUUCCAUAAACACCUUGUUCAUCAGAUUCAUGAAAAAGGCUGGGGCAUUAGUGAGUCCAAAUGACAUAACGGUACAUUCGAACAUACCAUACCGAGUUGUGAAAGCGGUCUUUGGUAUAUCUUCCUCACGGAUUCGAAGUUGAUGAUAUCCAGAACGGAGAUCUAUCUUAGAGAAAACUGUAGCACCUUCCAGUUGAUCAAACAGGUCAUCAAUUCUGGGUAGAGGAUACUUAUUCUUGAUAAUCACCUCAUUCAACGCUCGAUAAUCCACGCACAUUCUCUGAGUAUGAUCUUUUGUCACGCCCGGAAUUUCUAUCCAAAAUUCCAAACGCUUACAUGUGUGUGAACCCUCGUCCAGGAAUCAGCCGAGGCACACAAUAACAAAUUGAUAAUAGAGUACAAUUAUUACUCUAAUUAAUAAGCGUAUAAAGUGUCAUUACAGAGGUAGAUAGUUCCUCUCAAACAAUAAAUAUCUAAGCAGCGGAAAAAGAAAUAAACGGCGCAGACGGCUCCACUCCACAGGCAGCUUGACCAAGGCUACACCUAAUCCUCCACUCCAUCAGCUUCACUGUAGAACUCUUCCUCUGAUGAAUGAUUGCAAGGUGAGUAUAUGACAUACUCAGCAAGCCACGCAGCAAAUAUGCAAGUGCACAGGAUAACAAAGGAUGGCAUAAUAGGGUUUCAUUUGCAAAAGCAGCAUUUAGCAAACAUUUGAGAAUUUAAUCAAACCGUUAAGUAAUAAUUAAACAAUAUUAAUCCAACGCUAUACAACAUACCCUGUUGUAUAGGCCCAACCAUUCUAAACAACCACCUCGGCUGCACAGUUCUAUCUCCAAACCAGGAAUAUACCAUUCCAAACCAGGAGCUAAUCAAAUUAUUACCAGUUAAAGCAUCAUUUACUAAGAUGAGAAGUGUGGGACUAAUCACGAAAGACAUUGUUAGACUCGCCCAUAACCGCGGGCACAGCUAUUCGAAUAGUUUUACUCUGAUCAGAGGUGUACCACUGUACCCACAAGACACAACCCCACAUCAUGUCACCAUGUGCCUCAAUACCACCACGGUACCUCGGAAAGGAGUUGUGACAAUACCCCUCAUACAACACAAUCCACUGCAGUGCACCUUCCUGGAUCAUAAUCACCCCCUUAUAAACAAGGCAUGGACUCCCCAGCGACCCCCGUGGGCUUAUCUCCGCCACUUCUCAGUCUGGUGCCCCGCAAUGAACCAUGCUAUACAAAGGAUAAAGCCGUUGCCCAUGCUGGCUUGUGGUUGGCACGAUUAAUGUUUCACAACCGAAACUCGUGAACCGGUCCUUAAUUGUCAUGAGCACGACCAUCAAAACCAUGUGCUCACAACCCACCAUUAUCAGGUUUUAGUUGGCACAUUAAUUAAUUAACCAAUCACGAUUGUCCAUCGUGAACUAUCAAUAAGCCAUCGUGAAAUAAUAGUGAAUCAUUAGUUAUCCCAUAAGUGUGCUAAUGUUUCUAAGCAGGGCUAAGCAAUUAUUUCUAAUAUCUAGUUGAACCAAUAAACAUAAAGCUCAACUAGUCCAAUUUUAAUAACCCGAGGUAUCAAGGAAUAAGGUAAUCAAGAACAAAAGGGCUAUAACAAACAAUAGGUUAAUUCCACCCAAUGACAUUCGAAAAUAAAUGCAAUAUUUGAAUAGAAACAAUAGCUUUAAAUAGGAUCAACCAUGCUCAAAGGGUUGUUUGGGAUCUGUGUGACUUGCCUUGCUGGCCUUGGAACUCUUCAAACUCUUCUCCGGCGAAAACGGACUCUCCGGAAACGACGGAAUCUAAGCAGAAAGAAGCAAAAACACCAAAACAGCACAUAAAUAAGCUUGAACAGUACAUGUGGAUAUUUUUAUUGUGUAGAUCUCAAUUUUAGAAAAAUUUAGAGACUUGAACCAACUAAAUCGGAGCUAAGAUGAAUUAGUUAUGAAUUUUUAAAGAUUAAAUCGGAUUAAAACACUUAAAUCGGUUAAAAUUGAAUUAUGACGCAAUAAUGAAUUAUUUUUGAAAAGGAAAAGAAGGUUUAUUGCGUCAGCGGCUAGGGUUUCGGUGGACCGGGCGCACGGGCGGCGGUUCACGCGAACGGACGGCCGAGAUCGAUCCAAUCCAAAACGGACGGCCGAGAUCGAACGGUCCACGACCGGCUCACGGCGGACGACCCCGAUGACGUUAGCGAUGACGUCACCGACAGCGGCGGCGGCUCGGCGGAGCAGACGGCUCGGACGGCGCACGCUCGCCGGCGAACGGCGGCACUACGGCACAAACGGAGGGCACCAGCACGUAGAGGACGACGCGGCGAACUCACCGGUGACCAAAACGGCGGCGGAGGAAGAACGGACGGCGACGGUGACGAGGUUGAAACGGCGGCGGAGAUCGGGUCGACGACGGCGACGAUGCUCCGGCGGUCUCCGACGGUGGCGAAGUGGCGGACGAGGACGACGACGACUUGGCGACCACGACGGCGGUCUUCCCGAGCGACGACGAUGACCGGAACGGCGGCGGCGCACGGCUGGAGCGACGGCGGCGACGGCGGCACUAGGGCACACGGUGCUAGAGCUCUUCCGGCGACGAGAGGCGAAGGCGAGGGUGGCGACGGGUAGAGGAGGCACCGGGGGUCCUUUUAAAUGGGCUCGGAGGCGGCGGCAAAGGCCCACGGCGACGGCAACGGCGAAGGAAAGCUCGGGUAGAACGAAUCCGAGACGAACUCGAAUCCAACUCUUUCCAAGACGAUUUGGCCAAAGAUUCCAAAGGAGAAAAGGUAGAGGAGAUCCCGAGGAUCAUUUCCCCUCUAUCAAUUCGGCCGGAGAAGGAAAGGAGCGGCCGGAUUGGAAAGCGGCGGCGGCGGCGCGAAACUAGGGUUUCGGCCCGAGGAAGACGACGACUCCGACAGGCGGGACCCACCUGUCAGCGACAGCGAGGGCGCGCGCGCGAGCGGCUGCGGCUGCGGACUGGGCCGGCUGGGCCGAGGAGAGAGAGAGGAGGUUUUGGGCCGACUUUCGGCCCAAAGCCAAAAGAAGACUUUUUAAAACCUUUUUCCAUUUAAAUUAUUUCUUAAAUGCAAUUCCAUUUAUUAAAAAUACUUUCUUAGCUCAAAUAAAUCCCAGAAAAAUCUAGGAAUUAUAGAAUUAAGCAAAGUAUUUAAUAAAAUUUUAUCUGGCCCCAUUUUAUAUUGGAAUUUAUUAAUUAAAACUAGAUCUUCCUUUCUAGGCUUUUAAAAUAUAUUCUAGAAAUUCCAAUUAAACAACAAUUUAUAAAUUUUGAAUUUUCAGGAUGUGACAAACCUACCCCCCUUAAACAGAAUCUCGUCCUCGAGAUUCGGAAGAACUGGCGAACAGAUGCGGAUGAGCUGACUUCAAUUCAUCUUCUCAUUCCCAAGUUGAUUCUUCUUCCGAGUGAUUACUCCAUUGGACUUUGCAAAAACGGAUAACUCGAUUCCUGGUUCUUCUCUUAUUUGUUUCCAAGAUACGGAUUGGUUUCUCCACAUAGGUCAGAUCCUCUUGGACUUCUAUCUAUUCAAGAUUAGCUUCUUCGGUAGGUACCCUUAAACACUUCUUCAAUUGCGACACAUGGAACACAUUAUGGACUCCUGCCAAGGAUUGAGGUAACUCUAACUGAUAAGCAACCUCUCCUCUUCUACUGACAAUCUUAUAAGGUCCCACAAAACGCGGUGCUAAUUUUCCUUUGGUAUGAAAACGAUGAACUCCUCGAAAAGGCGUGACACGAAGAUACACAUAAUCUCCUUCUUCAAAACUCAAAUCUCUACGGCGAUUGUCGGCAUAACUCUUAUGACGAGACUGAGCCACUCGCAAUCUUUCUUGAAUGAUUUUCACCUUUUCUUCUGCUUCUCUUAGAAUAUCCGUCCCGAAAACCUGACGUUCUCCCGUUUGAUCCCACAAAAGCGGAGUGCGGCACUUACGACCAUACAGUGCUUCGUAAGGAGCCAUCUGUAUACUAGCUUGAUAACUGUUGUUGUACGAAAAUUCUGCAUAAGGUAGAUUCUUAUCCCAACUUCCACCGAAAUCUAAAGCACAAGCUCUCAACAUGUCUUCCAAAAUCUGAUUCACCCUUUCGGUUUGUCCGUCUGUCUGCGGAUGAUAAGCAGUGCUAAAGUUCAGCUUAGAACCCAUCUCUUCCUGAAGUUUCUUCCAGAAAUUUGAGGUAAACUGACUGCCUCGAUCAGACACUAUUUUCUUAGGGACGCCAUGCGAACACACAAUCCUUGCCAUAUACAAUUCUGCCAACCGACUUCCGGAAUAAGUUGUCUUUACCGGAAUAAAAUGAGCCACUUUGGUAAGUCUAUCGACUAUUACCCAAAUAGAGUCAUGGCCUGAUGACGUUCUGGGUAAACCAGUGAUAAAAUCCAUACCGAUUUCUUCCCAUUUCCAUUCAGGAAUCUUCAAAGGCUGCAGCAAACCGGCAGGUUUCUGAUGUUCUGCCUUGACACGCUGACAAACAUCACAUACUGCUACGUAUUCUGCGAUUUCACGCUUCAUACUUGCCCACCAAAAUCUUUCUUUGAGAUCCUGGUACAUCUUAGUACUUCCAGGGUGAAUGGAGUAUAAAGUAUCAUGAGCUUCUUUCAGAAUUACAUCUUUCAAAUCUUUGUUGUCAGGGACACAGAUUCUCUCGCCCAACCAAACAGUUCCUUGCUCAUCCUCCAAGAAACCGAUAGCUUUUCCUCUUCUCAUAUUCUUCUUGAUCUCUUGAAUAUCAGGAUCAUUAAUUUGGGCUUCUCUAACUUGAUCAAUUAGAGUGGGCUUCGCUUCUAAAGCUGCAACGAAACCUCUACUGACAAUUCCCAAAUUUAAUCUUUCAAAUUCCUGGCAUAACUCCAAUGGCAACUGUCGUCCUUCGGUAGCAUUGCAAUAGCCUUUCCUGCUAAGAGCGUCGGCUACAACAUUUGCCUUUCCUGGGUGAUAAUGAAUUCCCAUGUCAUAAUCCUUAAUUAAUUCCAACCAUCUCCGUUGUCUCAUGUUCAGAUCCGGCUGAGUAAAGAUAUACUUUAAACUCUUGUGAUCGGUAUAUACCUCUGUACGAGUACCGAAAAGAUAAUGACGCCAAAUUUUCAACGCAUGAACUACUGCAGCUAACUCAAGAUCAUGAGUAGGGUAGUUCUUCUCAUGCGGACGUAACUGACGAGAUGCAUAGGCAACCACCUUCCCAUCUUGCAUCAGAACACAACCUAACCCAAGUUUGGAUGCAUCGCAAUAGACUUGGAAACCCUUCUUUGGAUCGGGUAAAAUCAAAAUAGGAGCUGAUAUCAAGCGAUUCUUCAACUCUUGAAAACUCUGCUCACAUUCUUCUGACCACUUGUACUUCACAUCUUUCUGUAGCAGUCGUGUCAUGGGCUUAGCAAUCUUGGAAAAAUUCUCUAUAAACCUCCGGUAAUAUCCUGCGAGGCCUAGAAAACUGCGAAUCUCUGAAACUGUCUUUGGUUGUUUCCAGUUGGUUACGGAUUCCACAUUACUGGGAUCGACGGCAACUCCUCCUGCUGAGAUGACGUGACCAAGGAACUUCACUUCAGACAACCAAAAUUCACACUUGCUAAACUUAGCAUACAGUUGAUGUUCUCGUAGCUUCUCCAAUGCAAGGCGAAGAUGUUCUUCAUGCUCUUCUUUGGUUCGGGAGUAGAUAAGAAUGUCAUCAAUAAAGACCACCACAAACUUGUCUAGGUAUUCCAUAAACACCUUAUUCAUCAAGUUCAUGAAGAAAGCAGGGGCAUUGGUAAGUCCAAAAGACAUAACAGUACAUUCGAACAACCCAUACCUAGUGGUAAAAGCUGUCUUAGGUAUAUCUUCCUCUUUGAUUCUCAACUGGUGAUAUCCUGAUCGAAGAUCUAUCUUGGAGAAUACAGUAGCACCUUUAAGCUGAUCAAACAAAUCAUCAAUUCUGGGCAGCGGAUACUUAUUCUUGAUAGUCACAUCGUUUAAUGCACGAUAGUCCACACACAUCCGCUGAGUAUGGUCUUUCUUUUCCACAAAAAUAACCGGAGCACCCCAUGGAGAUGAACUCGGUCUGAUGUACCCUUUCUGAAGCAAAUCGUCUACUUGCCUUUUGACUUCUGCCAACUCAUUGGCUGCCAUUCUAUAAGGUCUCUUAUGGAUCGGAGUUGUUCCUGGUACCAAAUCUAUUCUGAACUCUAUAUCCCUUUUGGGCGGCAUACCAGGUAAAUCAUCUGGGAACACAUCGGGAUACUCCCGGACUAUAGGAAUCUCUUCCAAAGUUAUCUGGUUCAGUCUUGACCUUAAAGACUCAGAUGACAAUGCAUGAACAGUUACAACUCGACCAUCAUUGCUGAUGAGAGUUACUUUUCUGUUAGCACAGUCUAUCACACCUUUAUGUCUGGCUAACCAGUCCAUCCCUAGGAUGACAUCAAGGUCUUUGGAUUCUAACAAGAUAAGAUUGGCCAGAAAUGGUACUCCUUGAAUUUCUAUUCUGACAGAGGGGCUACGUUGCAAAGAGAGUGCUUGAUUGCUUGGGGUACUAACCAUCAAAGGACGUCUAAGAUCUUCUACUUCCAUCCCAUGAUUUCCCGCAAAACUCAUAGAUAAGAAUGAAUGUGUAGCACCAGAAUCGAAAAGCACUGUUGCAGGAACUGAGUUAACAGAAAACGUACCCAAAAUCACAUCUGGAGCAUCUUGGGCUUCUGCAGCAGCAACAUGAUUGACACGGGCCUUUGAUGCUGGUGCGGUAGAGUUGCUCUGGGCAGGGACAACCUUCACGCGUCGGGGCUUCGGACACUUGUCAGCAUAAUGUCCUGGGUCUCCACAGUUGAAACACACCACGGGCUUGCUGCCUGGCUCCCUCUUGGCAGGUUGUUGCUGUGUUGGAGCUGCAACAGGACGUGGAGCUUGAUUGCGGAUGUUGUUGCCAGCAUUGUUGUUGAAAAACUGACGUUGCGGACGAACAACAGACGAAGAACCUCCCUGUGGCAUAGACUGGGGUCCUAAAGUAAGACGCGGCUUCUGAUUACUCCCCUGUUGUGCUUUGAAGUGAGCAAUCCGGCGUUUCUUCUGCUCCAUGCGGUUGUACUUGUCUUCCUGACGAAUAGCCUUAUCCAUUAAUUUCUGGAAAUCAGAAUAAUCUCCAGUCAUGAGUGGGUAAGAAAGCUCAUCAUUAAGUCCUUCCAAGAACUUCUCCUGGCGCUCUUCAUCAUUGCGCACAUCUUCCGGAGCAUAACGAGCAAGACGAUUGAACUCGUGCAGAUACUCCGUAACAGAGCGAGAUCCCUGGGUGAGCGACCUGAACUCCUUCUUCUUGAGAGACACCACUCCCGAUGGUAUAUGCGUCUUCCGGAAAGCAGCGGUGAAUUCAAGCCAAGUAAUAGGUUCAGCAGUAGUCCUAUUCAGGCGGAAGUGAUCCCACCAUUCAGAGGCAGGGCCAUGCAACUGAUGUGAUGCAAAUGAGACCUUCUCCUGAUCAGUGCACUGAAGCAAAUCCAACUUCUUCUCUAUGGCAUGCAGCCAAUCACCAGCUUCAACAGGAUUAGUGGUACUAGAGAAAACAGGCGGCCUCACACGAAGAAAUUCUGCUAACUUAUUCUGAGGAGGUGCAUGGUUAUUUCCUUGGUUCUGCUGAUUCUGGAGUUGCUGCAUCAUCAUGUUCAUGAGUUGUGUCUGUUGAGCAAGAACUUGGGCAAGAGUGGGAUUCUCUCCAUUAUUGUUGUUAUUGGGGUUGUUAGGGCCAUUCCCAUUGCUGCGAGUGUUCACCAUCUGGCAUGGACAGGGCACAAGAAGAGAAACCGGGGGAAACUACUUAGGAUAGAGAAUUACUUUAACUUUUAUUGAUCUUAACUGAGUUUUAUUACAAACUGAAGACUCUCACACCACUAAACUCACCAACUUCCUCACACUCAAAAGCAAACAAACGCAUGCACUUACAUCCCACCACUGAUGUAAAUCACAUGCGAGACACACACAAGCAAACUUAAAACAAGCAAACUAACACAACGAUCUAAGACCACGACUUAACAAGUCACUCUAGUUCUUCUGAGCAUCGGAGGUCGAUUGAAGGCUCGUUCGGCUCGUCUUCAUCAUCUUGAGUUGCUACCCACUCAAUCUUGGAAUGGGUGCGCUUGGAUUCUUCAUCUUCAUCACUACUUAUGAUAAUGACCGGAGGAUCUGCUGGGGCAACUUCUUUCUCCACCACACGAACCUUUGGCGCCAAUUGAUAGCGAGGGACAAAUAGAGCUCUCUUCCUUGCGGUAAGACGAAUCCUGGCCUUCUGCGGCGGAGCUUCUCCCUUCAAUGCGGCUAAUUCCUUCUCCAAACGAUCCACCUUGUCUUCGAGCUUGCAAAUCUUACCACGAUUCCGGUCUUCACGAUCUUGAGCUGCUAACACAGUCUCCGCACGACUUUCAUCCAUAGCCCACAACAUCUCAACCAAAUGCCUUGUGGUAGCAUCAUUCUCAAUUCCUUCAGUCUCAAGGUAACUGCCACGGUCACUUCCCUGUGGUUGACGAGGAUGAUAGCGAUACUCAGUGUCGGCCAACUGAUCACUGUAGCGAUCACGGAGCUCUCCUAUGGCGAUCCUUGCCACUUCCUGACAUGCAUGGAUGUAGUUUCUUCCUCCAGCUUCGAACAUUACUGAGGGGACCUCUUCACUAUUGCUGUUCAAAGUAACUUUGACUCGGCACUUCUCUUCAUGACGAUCAUGAGGAAUCUGGGCAUAAAAAGGGGCAGUCCCAAAUCCAAUGACAAAGGACAUCGUACGCAACUCCUGGACAAAACCCUCAACACCAAACAAGUACUCAGGCUUGUAGCGCGGCAUCUAAAGACAAGUGAAAGGAGGGAGUUAAGACAUCUAUCCAAUUAACAGCACAAGUUUUUGGAUUAAUUUGAAUAAAGUUUAGAAAUCAAAAUAAACCAAACCUGCAGGAUAAGUUGAAACAGUUGGAAACAAGGUUACAAGCUUUGUGCUUUUGAGUAACAGGUUUUAAAAGAAAUAAAAGAAAGUUAUAAAAUCAACUUGCUAAAUCUAUUUUAUUGCAGCAAGAUUAAAUAAAACAACAUUGUAAAACUUUUGCUGGUAAAUGAGCCAUUGGUACAGUAAUAAAUGUACGGUACUAAUAACACUGGAAUAAAUUUUGAAUGAGAACCAUUAAAAGAGAUUAUGAAGUGCAUGUGCCAUUAGUUUGGUUUAAUUAAAAGAGAAAGGGAGGAGAACAGUUCUACUUUUCCAAUAUUUUUAGAAGGCUUCUAUGGGUAACCAUUUGGCAUAACCUAGGGUCAAGGGGGCUCUGAUACCAACUUGUCACGCCCGGAAUUUCUAUCCAAAAUUCCAAACGCUUACAUGUGUGUGAACCCUCGUCCAGGAAUCAGCCGAGGCACACAAUAACAAAUUGAUAAUAGAGUACAAUUAUUACUCUAAUUAAUAAGCGUAUAAAGUGUCAUUACAGAGGUAGAUAGUUCCUCUCAAACAAUAAAUAUCUAAGCAGCGGAAAAAGAAAUAAACGGCGCAGACGGCUCCACUCCACAUACCGAGGUGCGAGCUUCCCUUUUGUCUGAAACCUGUGCACACCUCGCAAUGGCGUGACCCGAAGGUAUACAAAAUCACCCACUGCGAAUUCCAGGUCACGGCGACGGUUAUCUGCAUAACUUUUCUGCCGAGACUGUGCCACCUUUAGAUUAUCCCGAAUGAUUCUGACUUUAGCUUCAGCUUCUCUCAGGAUAUCAGUCCCGAACACUUGGCUUUCUCCAACUUGGUCCCACAAGAGCGGUGUCCGGCAUUUGCGCCCGUACAACGCUUCAUAAGGUGCCAUUUGUAUGCUGGCUUGAUAACUGUUAUUGUAGGAGAAUUCGGCAUAGGGGAGACUCUUAUCCCAGGUCUUCCCGAAAUCUAGUACACAUGCGCGGAGCAUAUCUUCUAGGAUCUGAUUUAGAUGCUCGGUCUGUCCAUCUGUCUGCGGGUGAUACGCGGUGCUGAAAUUUAAUCGGGUUCCCAACUCUUCUUGGAGUUUCUUCCAAAAAUGAGAGGUGAAUUGGCUUCCCCUAUCAGAUACAAUUUUCUUGGGAACGCCAUGGAGACUCACGAUCCUAGCGAAGUAGAGCUCGGCUAGUUUGUUCCCUCCAUAGGUGGUCUUCACAGGAAUAAAUCGAGCUACCUUGGUUAAUCGAUCCACAACUACCCAUAUAGAAUCAUAUCCACCUUGGGUUUUUGGAAGUCCGGUGAUGAAAUCCAUCCCAAUUUCAUCCCAUUUCCAUUCUGGUACUUGGAGAGGUUGGAGAAGUCCGGCCGGUCGUUGGUGCUCUGCCUUGACACGCUGGCACACAUCACAAAGGGCCACGAACUCUGCAAUUUCCCGCUUCAUACUAACCCACCAGUAUUUCUCCUUCAAGUCUAAGUACAUCUUUGUACUGCCCGGGUGAAUGGAAUAAGGGCUCUCGUGAGCUUCCUGAAGUAUCAGCUGUUUGAGUUCUCGGUUAUCUGGAACGCAUACCCGCUUUCCGUUCCAUAGGGUUCCGUGUUCAUCCUCUGUGAAACCAGCGGCUUUACCCUGUUUCAUAUUCUUGAGGAGUCCAUGCAUGUCCGGAUCAUUCUUCUGAGCCUUGCGGAUUUGAUCGAGCAAGGUAGGCUUGGCUUCUAGCGCAGCCAAGAAUCCGCGACCAACUAUGCUUAGGUUCAGGGCUUCCAUCUGUUGAUUAAGUUCGGGUGGAAUGCCACGGACGUUAAGAGUGUUGCAAUGGCCCUUUCGACUUAGAGCGUCGGCAACCACGUUGGCCUUACCAGGAUGAUAGUGAAUUCCCACAUCAUAGUCCUUGAUGAGUUCUAACCAUCUCCUUUGCCGAAGAUUCAGAUCCGACUGGGUGAAGAUGUAUUUCAAACUCUUAUGAUCGGUAUAUAUUUCACAGCGAUUCCCAAUGAGAUAGUGCCGCCAGAUUUUUAGAGCAUGAACCACCGCGGCUAACUCCAAAUCAUGUGUAGGGUAGUUGCCUUCAUGAGGUCGCAGCUGACGUGAGGCAUAGGCUACCACAUGACCGUCCUGCAUGAGCACGCACCCCAAUCCUUGGCGCGAAGCGUCACAAUACACCAGGAAGUCCUUGCGAGUAUCCGGCAAGAUUAACACCGGCGAGGAAACCAGCUUUUCCUUGAGAGUUUGGAACGCCUUCUCGCAUUGCGGGCUCCACACAAAUUUCUCUUCUUUCUUCAACAACUGUGUCAUGGGUCGAGCGAUUUUGGAGAAGUUCUCGAUGAAUCUCCGGUAGUAUCCUGCCAAACCUAAGAAACUGCGGACUUGAGUAACUGUCUUGGGUUGCUUCCAAUCGGUGACGGUGGUCACUGUUUCGGGGUCCACAGAAACUCCUUUAGCAGAUAUCACGUGUCCUAAGAAUUUGACUUCGGACAGCCAGAACUCACACUUGCUAAGUUUGGCAUACAAUUGAUGUUCCCGCAGCUUUCCCAACACCAGACGGAGAUGGUGCUGAUGGUCUUCCUCUGAUUGUGAGUAUACCAGAAUGUCAUCAAUGAAAACCACAACAAACUUAUCCAAGUAUUCCAUGAACACUUUGUUCAUUAAGUUCAUGAAGAAGGCAGGUGCAUUGGUUAGGCCGAAUGACAUCACCGUGAAUUCAUACAGCCCGUAUCGCGUGGUGAAUGCGGUCUUCGGAAUAUCUUCUUCACGAAUACGUAAUUGGUGAUAUCCGGAACGAAGAUCAAUCUUGGAGAAUACAGUGGCACCUUUAAGCUGAUCGAACAGAUCAUCGAUCCGGGGAAGAGGGUACUUGUUUUUGAUGGUGACUUCAUUGAGAGCUCUGUAGUCAACGCACAUCCUCUUAGUCUUGUCUUUCUUCUCCACAAAAAUCACAGGAGCACCCCAGGGGGAAGUACUCGGACGUAUAUACCCCUUUUCUUUCAACUCUUCCAACUGUUUCUUUACUUCGGCCAGUUCAUUUGCUGCCAUACGGUAGGGUCGCUUGUGCAGAGGAGUGGUUCCUGGAGCAAGAUCUAUCCGGAACUCAAUCUCUCGCUUGGGCGGCAUACCGGGUAGUUCUUCCGGAAACACAUCUCCGAACUCCCUGACGAUGGGGAUUUCUGACAGUCCUAUCUGAUGCAGUUCUGAACUACUGACAGAGGUUGGGGGUGCAAAGAAAACAACCGGUUGUUCCGGCCCUCGGUACAGAGUGACAGUGCGCCUCGCGCAAUCCACUACUCCUUGGAAUUGAGCCAACCAAUUCAUCCCAAGGAUCACAUCCAAGUUCUUGGUGUCUAGCAGAAUCAGAUCCGAGGGAAAAGGAAUCCCCUGAAUUUCUAUAGGGACGGCAGGGCUAUAAUACUUUGCUGUCAUAACCCCUCCAGGGGUGGUGAUGAGCAGAGGGUUCCUAAGCCUUUCUACCCCCAACUGAUUUCUCCCCACGAAUGGCACAGAUAUAAACCAGUGGGAAGCUCCAGAGUCGAACAAAAUGGUAGCAGGGAUGGAAUGAACGAGGAACGUACCAACGAUGACGUCUGGAGUUGUCAGCACGUCCUCGGCCGUCACGUGAUUCACACGACCCCGAAUGACAUCCUUCCCACCGUUGUUGGAGUGGGGAGGCGCUUGGCCUUGCUGACGCCUUGGCUUCGGGCAUUUAUCCGCAAAGUGCCCGGGCUCGAAGCAGUUGAAGCACAGACGCUGCUGACCUUGAGCGUCCCUGCGGCCUUGACCAGACUGCACGGUUGGCGUAGGAGGACGGGGCGCACGAGUCCCUUGCUGAUUCUGCUGCUGCUGCGGCUGUGGGACGCGCACCACGAAUUGAGGUCGCGGCGCGGAGCGAGGUUGCUGCUGCUGUUGUUGCUGUUGCGAGGAGGAUCCCCCUGGAUAGGGGUUGGUGUAGCGGACCCUUUGGUUAGCACCCUGUUGAUUGCGGAAAUUCGCCAAGCGGCGCUUGUGCGACUCCAGUUCCUUGUGCUUUGUCGCGUCCCAAAACGACUCUAAAAUACAUCCUCGAAAUUGUGCCGAGAAUAAUUAAAAUUCAUGUGAAAGCCUCCAACAAUUAAAAUGUGCAAAUAUAAAAGUCAAAUAAGGCUUGGAGGAUUUUUGUAUAUUUCCUAAAAGCCUAAAAUGCGUAAAUAAAUUUUAGUGGAAUUUUCAGAGCACAAAUAAUAAUUGAGAAGAAAUAAACAAAGUUAAAAAGGUUUUAUAAAAAGAAAAACCCUAAAAGAAGUCCUUUUCCCCCCCUUCCUCUCUUGGGCCGGCCCGGCCCAACUCCCUCCCUCUCUCUCCUCUCCCCCGCGGCCCAUCGGCCUCCUCCCCGCGCGCGCGCCGCUGACGGGCGGGCCCGCCCGCCACCCUCGCUGACGGGUGGGGCCCACCUGUCAUCGCCUACCUCGCGCCGCGCCCGCCGCCGCCCGUGCCCUAGCGCCGCCGCCGCCGCCGAAUCCGCCGCAUCCCGCCGUCCCCGCGCGCCAUAAAGAGGGGGAAAUCACUCCCCGUGAUUCCCUCCCUCUUUCCCCCCACUUUCCCCUCUCUCUCUCCCUCGGAUUCGCUCGGAUUUAAUCCCGCAAAGUUCGCCGGCGCAUCAAUGGAGCCCGAGAUCGCCGCGCCGGUUUCCUUCCUCCCCGGCCGCCCUCUCUCGCUCCCGUCCCUAUAUAAUUGUUCCCCGUGCCUCACUCCUCCGUUUCCGCCACUCGCCGCUCGCUCUUUCCGUCGGAUUCGUGCUCGCGCCGUUGUACUCUCUCUCCGCCGUCGCCGCCGAGCUCCGGUUCGCCGCCGUCGUCGCUCCGGACCUCCUCCCGUCUCGGCGUCACCUCCUUCGGCUUCGCCGCAUCCCCGUCAACCUCGUCCACCCCUUCGUUUCGCCCGCCGACCGUCGGAGCGCCGCCGUCCUCGUCGAUCCGAACCGCGCCGCCGUCUUCCUCCGCUCCGAUCGUCGUCUCCGCCGCCCUCGUCGUCCCGGGGUGAGCCGAGGACCGCCGUUCGCUUUCCCCCUUCCCUCCUCUCUCUCGGGUGCCGCUCCGCCGCGCCGUUGGUCGCCGGCGGCGACCAUCGGGGCGCGGGCGCGCCGCCUCCCGUCGGCCGUGCCGGCAAGGCCGCCUUCGGGCGCGCCCCGCAGCUGCCAGGUGGGGCCCGGCCGUCAGCCGCCCGCGCCCGCGGGUGCGGCUGACGCGUGGGACCCACGGCGCCGGCCGGCGUCAGCCGCGUGCGCCCGGUCCACCGUGGACCGAGAGGCUGACGCGUGGGCCCCACUCCCGUGGACCCGGUCCGCGCGCCCUCUCUCCCGGCUGACGCAAUAAAUCCGAUUUUUAAUUAAAAUUUAAAUGAAGAAAUUCGCAAAUAUCCAUUUAAAGAGCAUAUAAACUUCAAAUGGCCAUAACUUGGCCAUUUGAACUCGGAAUUGGACCGUUCAAGUCUCUAAUUUUUCCUUAAGAAGUCAAGAACCCAUUUUUGUGCUUUGUUUCUGCUGUUAUAUGGAGUUGAUUAGAGUAAAAGCCUUUUCUUUUCCGUUGGUCGUGUAGACGCUGCAGCUUCGGAAGAUCCGCUCUUCGUGGAAGUUGAAGCCGACGUUUGGGAAAGCGAGCAAGGCAAGUCACAUCAUCUUUGAACAUAUUGAAUCCCAGUUUAUAAAAUUAUGUUGAUUUAAAUUAUUGCAUUAUCGCUUUAUUUAAAUUCCCGCGUUAUCACUGUUUUAUUUAGCCAUGCCUAUUUACCUUUGUUAUGACCUUAUUAUUAUUGUUAUUGUUAUUAUUACCUUGUUCACCCUAGAACAAACAAAACCCCAACUAGUGGACACUCUACUCAUGGCACCACUAGUUUAGUUUUAGGUAGAUGCUUCGCAAUUUAAUUAGGUAACAUUAGGUGGUUUUUCAACUAUAGACUUUGGGAAAUAUUCAUAUCAUCUGGAUACUAUGGAAUGGUUUGGUUACUGUGGAAUUGGCUUCACACCGCUCCUUCUAUUCAAAAUCCCCAAAAUGGUUUUAGGCUGGGCUCGGGGUGCAUGGUUUUGAUAGUAGCACCUCGGCCAUAUAAGGACCGGUCUUCGGGCCUCUGUUGCAAAGCACUACCGUACUUCCACAUGUCUAGUGGGUAAGGCUUAGUUUGUGGCUCAGUCUGGUUAUAAACAAAAGUACACGGAUUGGAGAUGGAUGAAGUCGGGGGUCGAUAGACAUUCUCCAGGGCAAAUGAAGGCUACACGAGCUGCGGCCCGGUAGUCGAGAUGUCAUGGCACAGGGCCGGUGUCCUGCUGCUAGGGGCUCAGUCCUGCCUGCCUGUCCCGGGGGUUCCGGCCGUAGGUGGGAUUGGGUCGGUACUCUUGUCUAUGGCUAGGAUGGGUUGGAAACUAUGUCACGUCUUCCGUCUGUAUACCGUGGUGGUAUGUGGCACGUGGUUGCACGUGAGGAAGAUGUGUCUUGUGGGUAAAGAUGUACACCUCUGAUCAGAGUAUAAUCUAUUCGAAUAGCCGCGCCCUCGGUUAUGGGCAAGCCGAGCAAUGUACCCAAGUUAGUGUUUUAAUUCUUAAAACCUGCUUAUCAACUAAAAUGUGGAAUAGUUGGCCUGGGUUGUGUCACGUCCUGAUAAAUUCAUCCCGAAAUAAAAUUCAUUCGCUAAAAGGAAUAAUAGAAUUAAUUAAAAUUCGAAAAGAAAUUGGCAAACACUAAAAUACGUACAAGAAAAAUUCGAAUGUGGCCCGGAGAAUUUUUGUUAAAUUCUCCUUGGUCUAAAACGAGCCCUCAAAUUUUACUUGAAUUUUCAGAGCGCCGGAAAUAAUUAUUAAACAACAACAACAAUUAACAAAGUUUAUUAAAAAGAAAAUCUAAAAAUAACCCUCCUUCCUCCUUUGGGCCAAGCCCAGCCCAAAAGUCCUUCUCUCCUCCCUCUCUUUCUCUCCCUCCCCUUCUCUCCCUCUCUCUCCCGGGCCUCUCUUCCCCUCCCGGGCAGCCCACUCCCUCCUCUCCUCCUCCUUCUGGGCCGCCCCUCCCUCCUCUCCUUCCCGGCCCAUCUUCUCUCCCUCCCCUCCUCCUGGGCCGCCUCGGCUUCGCCCGGCCCAAGCCGAGCCGCGCUCCCACCCGUGCCGCGCACGUGCGCGUGCGUGCGCGCCGUUGCCGCGUGUCGGCCGCGCGCCCGACCGCGUGGGGCCCACGCGUCAGGCCGCCGUCGCCUUCUUCCUCCUCCGCCCGGCCACCUCUCUCUCUCUUCCCGUGGAACCCUAAUCCCUUCCUCCCUCAAAUCCACGCGAAUCAAUGCCCUUCUUUCCAAAUUGAAUAGGGGAAAUUAAACCCCAUUGAAUCCUCUUCAAUUCCCCCUUAAUUCCCCCUUGAACGGCGCCCCCAAUCGCCGGGAACGGACGCGCCAAGUCCGGCCGCCUUCCUUUGCCGCCGGCCGCCAUUCCCGUCGCCGUUCCCGCUCCUCCCGUGGCCGGCUCUCUCCCCCAUCCUAUAAAAUGGGAUCCUCAUCCCCCGUUCUACCGUUUUAGCCUCUUCCCGAGCUCUCCCGUGGUCUCUAGCCACCUCCCCACCGUCGCCCCCUCUCUCCCACGUUGCCGGCCGGCCUCCAGCCGCCUCUCCCGCCUCGCCGGAGCGUCUUCCGGCCGCGCCGUCGCCUCCUCCAGCAUCGCAGCCGCCUCCUCUCCCACGGCCUACCCUCCGUUUCGCGCGGUGACCGCCGGAGGCGCGUUCCCGCCGUCGCCCUCCCCUUUCCCUCGCGCCGGCCACCUCCAGCCGCCUUCCUCUCCUCGCCCGAGCGCCGCCCGGCCGCGCCGUCUUCUCCCUCGGCCUCGCAGCUGCCCCCUCUCCCUCGGUCAGCCCUCCGUUUCGCGGGGAAAUCACCGGAGACGCGCCCUCGCCGGCGUCCAGUGGCGUCGCCACCACUUCUCCGCCUCCGGCCGCCUCUGCCACGUCCCCGGAGCGCCGGCCGACGUCGCCACCACCUUCCUCGGCUCCACGACGCCGCUCUCAUCCCCGGCAUCACCUCCUCCUCGCCCGAACUUCGCCGGAACGCCGUCGUCUCCGCGCCGGCCUCUCCUUCCUCCUCGUCGGCUCGUCGCCCCGCUGCACCACCACCUUCACCAACGUCGCAGCGGCGUGUUCCACGCUGUCCCCUCCUCCUCUCAGCCGCUGCUGCCUGCCAUCAUCGUCGUCUCCGAUCGUUCUCGCCGUCGACGUCCCGUCGGUCGCCCGGCUCGUCGUCUCGCGGCGCCGCCUCCGUCAUCGUCAUCGUAGCGGCGUGUUCCACGCCAUCCUCACCGCCGUGCAGCCGCUGCUGGCUGCCCUCGUAGCCUCCUCGCCGGCCCCGGUCGUCGUCGUCCUCGUCCUCUCGUCGUUCCCGAUCGUCGGGGCGUUCGUCCCUCCGUCAAGCCGUUCUCGUUCGUCGUCCUCGCUUCGUCAAGGUCGCUGCAGCCCCCGUCAUCGUCUUCGUCCUCGCCUCCGCGUCGUCAAGCCUCGCGCCGGCCGCGUCUCGCCUUCGUCCAAGGAUCGCCGCCGAAGCCGUCCCCUCGCCGUUCGCCUCCGUUGUGCCCGUCUGUCUCCGCCGCGCCCGUUCGUCGUUGUCGUUCCCGCGCCUCGUCGCGUGGUGGUAAGGUUCCCUCUCCCUCGCUGCCCUGUCCUCGUCCUUUCGGUGUCGCCCAUGCCCGUUGUGCGGUUGUCGGCCCCGGUACCCGUGUAUCGGCGUCGGCAGUCGUUCGCGUGUGCGGGUGGUGACCGUGUGGUGUCUAGUGGAGUCCGUUUGUCGGCCACUCGCUUCGGUUGACACACGGGGUCCGCUUCCGUCGACCCGUGGACCGUCUCUGUGUACUCGGUCUGCCGCGGUCCUUUAGGUUGACAUGUGGGGUCCGCAUGUCAACGGCGCAGCCUUCCUGUCUUUUCCAGGCUAGCGCUUACACCUGUUUUAUAGUUGCAAAACUUGAUUAUAAUAAUCCGCAAAUCUCCAUAUAACAGCAUUAAACUUCGGAUGAUCAUAUCUCGGUCAUACGAACUCUGAAUCGACCCGUUCAAGUCUCCUAAUGUUUGUUAUAACCUAAAGAACCCUGUGCUUUCUUUUUAUGUAUUGUUAUUGCUUCUUUAUAGGCUUGUAGCUUUGCUUGUGUGCUUCGCGUAGCUUUCGUCGUUCCGGAGGUUCCCGAAGCGUGGUUCGUGGUCGUCGCCGAAGGUUCGGAAGGCCGUUCUCUCUGAGCAAGGCAAGUCACAUCAUCCUUGAGCAUAUUGAAUCCCAGUUUAUAAAAUUAUUUUGAUUUAAAUUAAUGCAUUAUCGCUUUAUUUAAAUUCCCGCGUUAUCACUGUUUUAUUUAGCCAAGCCUAUUUACCUUUGUUAUGACAUUAUUAUUGCUAUUGUUAUUAUUAUUACCUUGUUCACCCUAGAUUAAACAAAACCUCAACUAGUGGGUACUCUAUUCAUGGUUCCACUAGUAUAAAUUUAGGUAGAUGCUUCGCUGAAUAAUUAGGCAACAUUAGGUGGUUUUAUAACUUUAGACUUUGGGAGUUCUCAUAUCAUUUGGACACUAUGGAAUUGUUGAAUUAUGGUGGAAUUGGACACACACCUCUCUUCCUCUUUCAAAACCCCUAAAACCUGUUUUCGGUGGGGUUUGGGUGCAUGCCAGUUGUGGGAAGUAGCACCCCGGCCACUAUAAGGACUAAAGCUCGGGCCUCUGUUGCAAAGCACUACCGUACUUCCACAUGUCUAAUGGGUAAGGCUUAGUUUGUGGCUCAGUCUAGUCAUAAACAAAAGUACACGGAUUGGAGAUGGAUGAAGUCGGGCGUCGAUGGACAUUCUCCAGGGCAAAUGAAGGCUACACGAGCUGCGGCCCGGUAGUCGAGAUGUCAUACGGCGGAGGGUUGGUGCCCAAUGCUAGGGGCUCAGUUCUGCCUGCCUGUCCCGGGUAUCCCGGCCGUAGGUAGGAUUGGGUCGGUACUCUUGUCUAAGGCUAGGAUGGGUUGGAAACUAUGUCACAUCUUUACGACGGGUUCCAAGGCCAUGGAAUGCGGAGUAAAGAUGUGUCUUGUGGGUAAAGAUGUACACCUCUGAUCAGAGUAAAUCUAUUCGAAUAGCCGAGCCCUCGGAUAUGGGCAAGCCUAGCAAUGUACCCAAGUCAGUGUUUUAAUUCUUAAAAUUUGCUCAACAACUAAAAUAUGGAAUGGUUGGCCUGGGUUGGCUUGGGACGAGCUGGGACCCAGGGUCGGGUUGCCAGUUCGGUCUGAAUCAUCGUAGGCCUUGGGUUAAGGCAGGUUCGUGAGGGUUCACGGCCUUGUUUAAUAAUACUGUGUAGUUCUAUGAUCGUCUUUACAAAAUGGCUUUGGGCAACUAAGUGACUUUUAAAUGCUGUUUACUGCAAACCUUAAUCCCUAUAUUAUUAUUCCCUUGUACCUCCCUUGCAUUAAUUAUGCAUCUGCCGGUGUGGCUUGCUGAGUACUGUGGUUGUACUCAUUCUUGCUCAAUCUUUCCCCCCCUUCAGUAAGAGAAGCUUUGGAGAAGAUGUCUUAGGUGGAGUCCUGGCUUAUACCCCAGUUGAGCGCCUGUGAAGAUGGAGCCGUAGGCCGCUAGUCCGCUGCUGUUUAUUUUUGCUUGUCAGGCCUGAAGUGCCUUUGUAAUAAUGUAAAUAUUAUCGAUAUAAUAAAGAUGUGUCUUCUAUAUCAUGUUUGUGUGGUGUACCCCGGCUUUUCCUGGGACGGGGAUUAAUACACUGGCGUUCGGGAAAAGGCAAUUUUCCCGGUCGCGACAAGCUGGUAUCAGAGCCAUCUCGACUGUAGGAUAAGCCAAGUGGAUAAAACCCAAGGACAUAUUUUAUAAAUAAAAAUUAUUUGCGAAAGUUCCUUUUUCUCCUUCCCCUAAUGCUAUUUGCAAAAGGUUUACUCCGUUCUUCCUUCUUCGGAUUUUCAACUAGUACUAGAUGGUCAGCUUUGCGAGGAAGAAGAUGUCGUCAGUUGUUUGCCGAAGCUCCGGAAGACUGCAGGAUCCGCUAGCGAAGCGAAGGAAGCAAUGAAGCCAGCUGUGAAGGAGUGAAGAUCUUGGGAACCCGUCGCAGAACCUAAGCCACCCUAUAGGGUAGUGUUGUUAGUCGUGUGUUCCUUGCUUGUGUGUGUAGCGCGUGGUUUGCAUCGGUGGGUGGUGAUGUAACCAUGCUAGGUUGUUUGCUUAAUCAACUUGCAGAAUAAGUGAAACAAACAACACAUCAACAAAAAGAGUUAGUUCCUUUAAGGUCUUGUCCCUAGUUCUGGUCUAUUCUUUCCUUGUAUGCUUCCCCUCUCAACCCCUACCUUGUGACAGAUGGAUAAUACUGGUAACAAAGGCUAUGGGAAUGAUGGAUCCGAUGACGCAAGAACCCAAGCCAAUGGGAAUGAGAGAAGCACCAACGAAACCUCACCAGAGCUAAUCCAAGUUGUGGUUAACCAAACCAACAUGUUGGCAACAGCCUUUCAACUAUUACAGAAUUGGAGCAGCCCAGCAGGGACAACCAACGUUCAAGUGCCUACAGUCCGGCAACAGUGCAAGUUAUCAGAAUUUCUCAAAACUGAGCCUCCAACCUUUGCCAUUGCCGUCGAUCCUAUGGAAGCCAGUGAUUGGUUGCGCACAAUCGAGAAGAAGCUAGGGUUGAUUCAGUGCACCGACCAGGAGCGGGUUGGCUUCGCAACUCAUCAGUUGGUUGGACCGGCUUCAGAGUGGUGGGAUAGCUACGAAGCAUCACGGCCAGAAGGACAUACCAUCACCUGGAACGAGUUUUCAUCUGUAUUCAAGAGACCACAUGUUCCCGCAGGAAUGAUCACACUAAGAAAACGAGAGUUUCGCUACCUGAAGCAAGGAGAUUUGACCGUCACAGAGUACCUGCACGAGUUCUAUCGUUUGGCUCGCUAUGCACCAGAAGAUGUGGAAACGGAUGAAGACAAACAAGAGAAGUUUCUCCAGGGGUUAAAAGAUGAGCUUGCAGUGCAACUACUCCUAGAGGAUUAUGAAGAUUUUGAGAAACUUGUGGACAAAGCCAUGCAACUCGAAAGUGAGCAUAAUCGGAUGACGAACUGCAAGAGAAGGAUUGUCAACAUCCCAGUAAUUCCAUGUGGUAACCAAAGACAGCGCACUGAGCCACUUCAGAUCACCGGAUCUUCUGUUGUGCAUCAAGAGUUCCUGCCCCAAGAAGACGGACGCAAUACAGACAACAACCCUAGCAAUACUAAUGGUGAUGAUACCACCAACAACCAUGGUUCUUGCCCCAUUAGUGACCACUCGAAUCAAGCGUGCAAUUUUGACACUGAGAAAGACUCCAAUUGUGAUAGCAACUACGGUACCACUGAUGCCAAUGUUAGCAAGGAUUUCCAACCACCAAUUCCAACUCCUAGUCAGAACGAUCGUUCCCAGACGGACAACUCAGCAAAGAAGACGUUGAUUUGUUACAACUGCAAAGAACCAGGUCAUUUCUCCAGAGAUUGUCCACAGCCGAAGCGUAACCUGCGCCAUCACUCCGGCCAUUAUGCAAGAAGAAGACAAGUCACUCGCCUUGUGGUCACUGGAGCAAACGCCGUACCUGUGAGGCCUCAUGUUAAUUCUAACCCAUAGUAGAAACAAUGUACCGAUGUUAAGUACCGUCCCUUUUUGUUUAAGACAGUGCCUUGUAUUCAUGUAAUAUGGGAGAAAUUGGUAAUAAAAACAAGUUCUAAGAGGAUUCUUUCGGAAGAUGCGGAUAUGUGAUCAUGUGUAUAAUUGUUUACUGACAAAGGAGACCUAGGGUCUCGUGCCAGAGGAACUAUAUUCUAACCUCGAGCUAAUAACCAACCUGAGGAUGGAAAAGAAAAUCAGGUGAUUAACCAAAGAGACAUUUGUUUGGACUAAGAGUUUCAGAUGUGUCUUUUCCGGAUCAAAGGCAAUGACAGUCAGUGUAGCUUUUGGCGAAACACUUCAAGGUUUCACUGAAAGGUAGCAGACCAAAGGACCUCCUCGCCACCAGAAGCAUCCACAACUCUCGGAGUGAAGAGUACUUAGUGACCAAGGUCAAAAGAUGACUGAUAGAAGAUAUCGAAAAAGAUGUUUAUUACCAGGCAAAGAAGUAGGUCGAAAGGUGAUUAAUAAGAGAAAUCGGGAAAGAACACAUCAAGGGCAAAGGUGUAAAGGAAUACGUUGAAUGCUAAAUGAUGACAAGUUAUGACAAGCAUGGUAUCUUAGUAAAGACGAGCUGAUCUCGACGCAUGACAUGAAGUGGGUAACUUGUAUGAGGUUGACUCCAAAGAUAUGAACUAUGCAAAGUUCUGGAACUGAAGCCCCAUCUUCAAGUGCCGCAACCCAGUCGAAGUCAGCUAAAGGUUCAACCAGGGACAAGUCAGGUGAAGAGAAGAUUCCAUCUGCAACAGGAGAUCGAGCCAAGCAGUCCAGAGUGAAGAAGUGUUGUUAGGCAAGUUUGUUAUAGAAGACGGAGCGGAAGAAGUCAGACAAGAAGAGAAGACCGCCCAACCUAUCUUCUUGCUAGCCUCCUCGAAUCUCGGGGACGAGAUUCUUGUAAGGGGGGUGGAUUUGUCACGUCCUGAUAAAUUCAUCCCGAAAUAAAAUUCAUUCGCUAAAAGGAAUAAUAGAAUUAAUUAAAAUUCGAAAAGAAAUUGGCAAACACUAAAAUACGUACAAGAAAAAUUCGAAUGUGGCCCGGAGAAUUUUUGUUAAAUUCUCCUUGGUCUAAAACGAGCCCUCAAAUUUUACUUGAAUUUUCAGAGCGCCGGAAAUAAUUAUUAAACAACAACAACAAUUAACAAAGUUUAUUAAAAAGAAAAUCUAAAAAUAACCCUCCUUCCUCCUUUGGGCCAAGCCCAGCCCAAAAGUCCUUCUCUCCUCCCUCUCUUUCUCUCCCUCCCCUUCUCUCCCUCUCUCUCCCGGGCCUCUCUUCCCCUCCCGGGCAGCCCACUCCCUCCUCUCCUCCUCCUUCUGGGCCGCCCCUCCCUCCUCUCCUUCCCGGCCCAUCUUCUCUCCCUCCCCUCCUCCUGGGCCGCCUCGGCUUCGCCCGGCCCAAGCCGAGCCGCGCUCCCACCCGUGCCGCGCACGUGCGCGUGCGUGCGCGCCGUUGCCGCGUGUCGGCCGCGCGCCCGACCGCGUGGGGCCCACGCGUCAGGCCGCCGUCGCCUUCUUCCUCCUCCGCCCGGCCACCUCUCUCUCUCUUCCCGUGGAACCCUAAUCCCUUCCUCCCUCAAAUCCACGCGAAUCAAUGCCCUUCUUUCCAAAUUGAAUAGGGGAAAUUAAACCCCAUUGAAUCCUCUUCAAUUCCCCCUUAAUUCCCCCUUGAACGGCGCCCCCAAUCGCCGGGAACGGACGCGCCAAGUCCGGCCGCCUUCCUUUGCCGCCGGCCGCCAUUCCCGUCGCCGUUCCCGCUCCUCCCGUGGCCGGCUCUCUCCCCCAUCCUAUAAAAUGGGAUCCUCAUCCCCCGUUCUACCGUUUUAGCCUCUUCCCGAGCUCUCCCGUGGUCUCUAGCCACCUCCCCACCGUCGCCCCCUCUCUCCCACGUUGCCGGCCGGCCUCCAGCCGCCUCUCCCGCCUCGCCGGAGCGUCUUCCGGCCGCGCCGUCGCCUCCUCCAGCAUCGCAGCCGCCUCCUCUCCCACGGCCUACCCUCCGUUUCGCGCGGUGACCGCCGGAGGCGCGUUCCCGCCGUCGCCCUCCCCUUUCCCUCGCGCCGGCCACCUCCAGCCGCCUUCCUCUCCUCGCCCGAGCGCCGCCCGGCCGCGCCGUCUUCUCCCUCGGCCUCGCAGCUGCCCCCUCUCCCUCGGUCAGCCCUCCGUUUCGCGGGGAAAUCACCGGAGACGCGCCCUCGCCGGCGUCCAGUGGCGUCGCCACCACUUCUCCGCCUCUGGCCGCCUCUGCCACGUCCCCGGAGCGCCGGCCGACGUCGCCACCACCUUCCUCGGCUCCACGACGCCGCUCUCAUCCCCGGCAUCACCUCCUCCUCGCCCGAACUUCGCCGGAACGCCGUCGUCUCCGCGCCGGCCUCUCCUUCCUCCUCGUCGGCUCGUCGCCCCGCUGCACCACCACCUUCACCAACGUCGCAGCGGCGUGUUCCACGCUGUCCCCUCCUCCUCUCAGCCGCUGCUGCCUGCCAUCAUCGUCGUCUCCGAUCGUUCUCGCCGUCGACGUCCCGUCGGUCGCCCGGCUCGUCGUCUCGCGGCGCCGCCUCCGUCAUCGUCAUCGUAGCGGCGUGUUCCACGCCAUCCUCACCGCCGUGCAGCCGCUGCUGGCUGCCCUCGUAGCCUCCUCGCCGGCCCCGGUCGUCGUCGUCCUCGUCCUCUCGUCGUUCCCGAUCGUCGGGGCGUUCGUCCCUCCGUCAAGCCGUUCUCGUUCGUCGUCCUCGCUUCGUCAAGGUCGCUGCAGCCCCCGUCAUCGUCUUCGUCCUCGCCUCCGCGUCGUCAAGCCUCGCGCCGGCCGCGUCUCGCCUUCGUCCAAGGAUCGCCGCCGAAGCCGUCCCCUCGCCGUUCGCCUCCGUUGUGCCCGUCUGUCUCCGCCGCGCCCGUUCGUCGUUGUCGUUCCCGCGCCUCGUCGCGUGGUGGUAAGGUUCCCUCUCCCUCGCUGCCCUGUCCUCGUCCUUUCGGUGUCGCCCAUGCCCGUUGUGCGGUUGUCGGCCCCGGUACCCGUGUAUCGGCGUCGGCAGUCGUUCGCGUGUGCGGGUGGUGACCGUGUGGUGUCUAGUGGAGUCCGUUUGUCGGCCACUCGCUUCGGUUGACACACGGGGUCCGCUUCCGUCGACCCGUGGACCGUCUCUGUGUACUCGGUCUGCCGCGGUCCUUUAGGUUGACAUGUGGGGUCCGCAUGUCAACGGCGCAGCCUUCCUGUCUUUUCCAGGCUAGCGCUUACACCUGUUUUAUAGUUGCAAAACUUGAUUAUAAUAAUCCGCAAAUCUCCAUAUAACAGCAUUAAACUUCGGAUGAUCAUAUCUCGGUCAUACGAACUCUGAAUCGACCCGUUCAAGUCUCCUAAUGUUUGUUAUAACCUAAAGAACCCUGUGCUUUCUUUUUAUGUAUUGUUAUUGCUUCUUUAUAGGCUUGUAGCUUUGCUUGUGUGCUUCGCGUAGCUUUCGUCGUUCCGGAGGUUCCCGAAGCGUGGUUCGUGGUCGUCGCCGAAGGUUCGGAAGGCCGUUCUCUCUGAGCAAGGCAAGUCACAUCAUCCUUGAGCAUAUUGAAUCCCAGUUUAUAAAAUUAUUUUGAUUUAAAUUAAUGCAUUAUCGCUUUAUUUAAAUUCCCGCGUUAUCACUGUUUUAUUUAGCCAAGCCUAUUUACCUUUGUUAUGACAUUAUUAUUGCUAUUGUUAUUAUUAUUACCUUGUUCACCCUAGAUUAAACAAAACCUCAACUAGUGGGUACUCUAUUCAUGGUUCCACUAGUAUAAAUUUAGGUAGAUGCUUCGCUGAAUAAUUAGGCAACAUUAGGUGGUUUUAUAACUUUAGACUUUGGGAGUUCUCAUAUCAUUUGGACACUAUGGAAUUGUUGAAUUAUGGUGGAAUUGGACACACACCUCUCUUCCUCUUUCAAAACCCCUAAAACCUGUUUUCGGUGGGGUUUGGGUGCAUGCCAGUUGUGGGAAGUAGCACCCCGGCCACUAUAAGGACUAAAGCUCGGGCCUCUGUUGCAAAGCACUACCGUACUUCCACAUGUCUAAUGGGUAAGGCUUAGUUUGUGGCUCAGUCUAGUCAUAAACAAAAGUACACGGAUUGGAGAUGGAUGAAGUCGGGCGUCGAUGGACAUUCUCCAGGGCAAAUGAAGGCUACACGAGCUGCGGCCCGGUAGUCGAGAUGUCAUACGGCGGAGGGUUGGUGCCCAAUGCUAGGGGCUCAGUUCUGCCUGCCUGUCCCGGGUAUCCCGGCCGUAGGUAGGAUUGGGUCGGUACUCUUGUCUAAGGCUAGGAUGGGUUGGAAACUAUGUCACAUCUUUACGACGGGUUCCAAGGCCAUGGAAUGCGGAGUAAAGAUGUGUCUUGUGGGUAAAGAUGUACACCUCUGAUCAGAGUAAAUCUAUUCGAAUAGCCGAGCCCUCGGAUAUGGGCAAGCCUAGCAAUGUACCCAAGUCAGUGUUUUAAUUCUUAAAAUUUGCUCAACAACUAAAAUAUGGAAUGGUUGGCCUGGGUUGGCUUGGGACGAGCUGGGACCCAGGGUCGGGUUGCCAGUUCGGUCUGAAUCAUCGUAGGCCUUGGGUUAAGGCAGGUUCGUGAGGGUUCACGGCCUUGUUUAAUAAUACUGUGUAGUUCUAUGAUCGUCUUUACAAAAUGGCUUUGGGCAACUAAGUGACUUUUAAAUGCUGUUUACUGCAAACCUUAAUCCCUAUAUUAUUAUUCCCUUGUACCUCCCUUGCAUUAAUUAUGCAUCUGCCGGUGUGGCUUGCUGAGUACUGUGGUUGUACUCAUUCUUGCUCAAUCUUUCCCCCCCUUCAGUAAGAGAAGCUUUGGAGAAGAUGUCUUAGGUGGAGUCCUGGCUUAUACCCCAGUUGAGCGCCUGUGAAGAUGGAGCCGUAGGCCGCUAGUCCGCUGCUGUUUAUUUUUGCUUGUCAGGCCUGAAGUGCCUUUGUAAUAAUGUAAAUAUUAUCGAUAUAAUAAAGAUGUGUCUUCUAUAUCAUGUUUGUGUGGUGUACCCCGGCUUUUCCUGGGACGGGGAUUAAUACACUGGCGUUCGGGAAAAGGCAAUUUUCCCGGUCGCGACAAGCUGGUAUCAGAGCCAUCUCGACUGUAGGAUAAGCCAAGUGGAUAAAACCCAAGGACAUAUUUUAUAAAUAAAAAUUAUUUGCGAAAGUUCCUUUUUCUCCUUCCCCUAAUGCUAUUUGCAAAAGGUUUACUCCGUUCUUCCUUCUUCGGAUUUUCAACUAGUACUAGAUGGUCAGCUUUGCGAGGAAGAAGAUGUCGUCAGUUGUUUGCCGAAGCUCCGGAAGACUGCAGGAUCCGCUAGCGAAGCGAAGGAAGCAAUGAAGCCAGCUGUGAAGGAGUGAAGAUCUUGGGAACCCGUCGCAGAACCUAAGCCACCCUAUAGGGUAGUGUUGUUAGUCGUGUGUUCCUUGCUUGUGUGUGUAGCGCGUGGUUUGCAUCGGUGGGUGGUGAUGUAACCAUGCUAGGUUGUUUGCUUAAUCAACUUGCAGAAUAAGUGAAACAAACAACACAUCAACAAAAAGAGUUAGUUCCUUUAAGGUCUUGUCCCUAGUUCUGGUCUAUUCUUUCCUUGUAUGCUUCCCCUCUCAACCCCUACCUUGUGACAGAUGGAUAAUACUGGUAACAAAGGCUAUGGGAAUGAUGGAUCCGAUGACGCAAGAACCCAAGCCAAUGGGAAUGAGAGAAGCACCAACGAAACCUCACCAGAGCUAAUCCAAGUUGUGGUUAACCAAACCAACAUGUUGGCAACAGCCUUUCAACUAUUACAGAAUUGGAGCAGCCCAGCAGGGACAACCAACGUUCAAGUGCCUACAGUCCGGCAACAGUGCAAGUUAUCAGAAUUUCUCAAAACUGAGCCUCCAACCUUUGCCAUUGCCGUCGAUCCUAUGGAAGCCAGUGAUUGGUUGCGCACAAUCGAGAAGAAGCUAGGGUUGAUUCAGUGCACCGACCAGGAGCGGGUUGGCUUCGCAACUCAUCAGUUGGUUGGAACGGCUCCACCAGACGCGGCGACGCUUGGGGCGGCAGACCUCUCCCUGGGCGAUCUUGAGCUGAUGCAGCUGCGCCUCCACCGCGUCUAGGUCCUUCUUGAGCUGCAGGUUCUCCUGACGCAGCUCCAGGAUCUUCAUGUUGUUCUCGACCAUCCCACGGCGUACCAUCUGGUGGAAGUCGAUACGAGCCGCGUCGUACGCCUCCACCAUGCGCGCCAGGUGCACGAUGGUAGCGUCAUCCUCCGAGCUAGCAUCCCGGAAGGUGGCGUAGUCGCGGGCUCCUCCGCGACGAGGGUGGUAGCGGUAGGGCGAGUGCUGCAACUCGUCCGGGUAGCGCUGGUGAAGAGUGCCGAUAGCGAGGAGAGCGGCGUUCUGGCAAGCGGCGGGGAAGGAAUCUCCACCCGCGGUGACUGCCAGCGAAGUCCGCUCGGGAGAGCCAGACAGGAUCACUGCAGUGACCUCCCAACCAGCGUGGGGCUCUGCAUCGUCACCCUCCUGCUCCGGAAGCGGCCUGGCCUGGUAGUCCACUCCAUGUGGAUACCCCAAGACCACGCACAUGCCCCGCAGCUCCAAGACGAAGCCAGUCAUGUCCAAACCACGACGGGUGACGCUGCUGGCCAUCUACAAACAAAAACAAAAAGAAAAACAACAUUUUAAAGGUCAGAUUUUGGCGAUAAAUGAAGCAGCAAGACAGAGAGAGACUAGACAGUUUUCACAAAUAACAAAAGAUUUUUAUUUUUGAAAAUAUUGCUAAGGCUUGGGAUCUACGGCUCGUCCUAGGGUCAACGGUGGCUCUGAUACCAACUUGUCACGACCGGAAAUAACCCAACGGGCGUUCCUGACGUGCGUGCAUUAAUCCUUGUCCCAGGAGGCAAGGUACACCAAAAGUUGAUACAAUUCAGAGUUUAACAAGCGGAAGCGUAAAUAGUUAACUUAUUACAUGGGCAGCGAAGGCCCAGCACACACAGAGACAAACGAGAAACAGCGGAAGACUAGGGCGACGACCACAGGCGCUUGACGGCAGGCACGAGCUAGACACCAAAGCCUUCAUCUUCAAGGAGCUCCUCUUCUGGGCUUGGGAAAAAUUGAGCAAGACUGAGUACAACCACCGUACUCAACAAGACACACCCACAAAUGCAGAAUAAAUGCAAGGGAGUACAAAGGAAUUAUACUAUAAAGGGGUUAGGGUUGCAGUAAACAGCAUUUAAAGACGUUUAGUUGCUCAAAGCUAUUUUGUAAACGCGAUCCUAGAACUAUACAAUAUUAAUUAUCAAGGCCGUGAACCCACACGAACCUGCCUUAACCCAAGGCCUAUGAUGAUUCAGACCGAACUGGCAACCCGACCCUGGGUCCCAGCUCGUCCCAAGCCAACCCAGGCCAACCAUUCCACAUUUUAGUUGUUAAGCAGGUUUUAAGAAUUGAAACGCUAACUUGGGUACAUUGCUCGGCUUGCCCAUAACCGAGGGCGCGGCUAUUCGAAUAGAUUAUACUCUGAUCAGAGGUGUACAUCUUUACCCACAAGACACAUCUUCCUCACGUGCAACCACGUGCCACAUACCACCACGGUAUACAGACGGAAGCUGUGACAUAGUUUCCAACCCAUCCUAGCCAUAGACAAGAGUACCGACCCAAUCCCACCUACGGCCGGAACCCCCGGGACAGGCAGGCAGGACUGAGCCCCUAGCAGCAGGACACCGGCCCUGUGCCAUGACAUCUCGACUACCGGGCCGCAGCUCGUGUAGCCUUCAUUUGCCCUGGAGAAUGUCCAUCGACCCCCGACUUCAUCCAUCUCCAAUCCGUGUACUUUUGUUUAUAACCAGACUGAGCCACAAACUAAGCCUUACCCACUAGACAUGUGGAAGUACGGUAGUGCUUUGCAACAGAGGCCCGAAGACCGGUCCUUAUAUGGCCGAGGUGCUACUAUCAAAACCAUGCACCCCGAGCCCAGCCUAAAACCAUUUUGGGGAUUUUGAAUAGAAGGAGCGGUGUGAAGCCAAUUCCACAAUAACCAAACCAUUCUAAAGUGUCCAGGUGAUAAGAAUAUUUCCCAAAGUCUAUAGUUGAAAAACCACCUAAUGUUACCUAAUUAAAUUGCGAAGCAUCUACCUAAAACUAAACUAGUGGUGCCAUGAGUAGAGUGUCCACUAGUUGAGGUUUUGUUUAUUCUAGGGUGAACAAGGUAAUAAUAAUAAUAACAAUAAUAAUAAGGUCAUAACAAAGGUAAAUAGGCAUGGCUAAAUAAAACAGUGAUAACGCGGGAAUUUAAAUAAAGCGAUAAUGCAAUAAUUUAAAUCAACAUAAUUUUACAAACGGGGAUUCAAUAUGUUCAAAGAUGAUGUGACUUGCCUUGCUCGCUUUCCCAAACGUCGGCUUCAACUUCCACGAAGAGCGGAUCUUCCGAAGCUGCAGCGUCUACACGACCAACGGAAAAGAAAAGGCUUUUACUCUAAUAAACUCCAUAUAACAGCAGAAACAAAGCAUAAAAAUGGGUUCUUGGCUUCAUAAGGAAAAAUUAGAGACUUGAACGGUCCAAUUCCGAGUUCAAAUGGCCAAGUUAUGGCCAUUUGAAGUUUAUAUGCUCUUUAAAUGGAUAUUUGCGAAUUUCUUCAUUUAAAUUUUAAUUAAAAAUCGGAUUUAUUGCGUCAGCCGAGGGAGAGGGCGCGCGGACCGGGUCCACGGGAGUGGGGCCCACGCGUCAGCCUCUCGGUCCAUGGUGGACCGGGCGCACGCGGCUGACGCCGGCCGGCGUCGUGGGUCCCACGCGUCAGCCGCACCCGCGGGCGCGGGCGGCUGACGGCCGGGCCCCACCUGGCAGCCGCGGGACGCGCCCGAAGGCGGCCUUGCCGGCACGGCCGACGGGAGGCGGCGCGCCCGCGCCCCGAUGGUCGCCGGCGGCGACCUCCGGCGCGACGGAGCGGCGGCCGAGAGAGGGGAGGGAAGGGGGAAGUGAAACGGCGGUCCUUGGCUCACCCCGGGUCGACGGCGGUGACGGAAACGGCGACCGAAGCGGCGAGAGGCGGCGGCGCGGCUCGGGUUGACGAGGACGGCGGUGCUCCGACGGUCGGCGGGCGAAACGGAGGAGUGGACGAGGUCGACGAGGACGCGGCGAAGCCGAAGGAGGUGACGCCGAGACGGGAGGAGGUCCGGGGCGACGACGGCGGCGAACCGGAGCUCGGCGGCGACGGCGGAGAGAGAGGACGACAGCGCGGGCUUGAUUCCGACGGGGAGAGAAAGCGGCGAGCGGCGGAAACGGAGGAGAGAGGCUCGGGGAGCGAUUAUAUAGCGUCGGGAGGGGGAGAGAGCGGCCGGAGGGGAAGGAAUCGGCCGCGGAAAUCUCGGCCGCCAUUGAUGCGCCGGCGAAGAUCGCGGGAGUGAAUCCGGACGAAUCCGAGGGAGAGAGAGAGGGGAAAGUGGGGGGAAAGAGGGAGGGAAUCACGGGGAGUGAUUUCCCCCUCUUUAUGGCGCGCGGGGACGGCGGGAUGCGGCGGAUUCGGUGGCGGCGGCGGCGCUAGGGCACGGGCUGGCGGCGGGCGCGGCGCGAGGUAGGGGAUGACGGGUGGGCCCCACCCGUCAGCGAGGGUGGCGGGCGGGCCCGCCCGUCAGCGGCGCGCGCGCGGGGAGGAGGCCGAUGGGCCGCGGGGGAGAGGAGAGAGAGGGAGGGAGUUGGGCCGAGCCGGCCCAAGAGAGGAAGGGGGGGGGGGGAAAAGGACUUUUAGGGAUUUUUCUUUUUAUAAAACCCUUUUAACUUUGUUUAUUUCUUCUCAAUUAUUAUUUGUGCUCUGAAAAUUUCACUAAAAUUUAUUUACGCAUUUUAGGCUUUUAGGAAAUACACAAAAAUCCUCCAAGCCUUAUUUGACUUUUAUAUUUGCACAUUUUAAUUGUUGGAGGCUUUCACACGAAUUUUAAUUAUUCUCGGCACAAUUUCGAGGAUGUAUUUUAGAGUCGUUUUAGGACGCGACAGGGUCCCAGCUCGUCCCAAGCCAACCCAGGCCAACCAUUCCACAUUUUAGUUGUUAAGCAGGUUUUAAGAAUUUAAAACACUAACUUGGGUACAUUGCUAGGCUUGCCCAUAACCGAGGGCGCGGCUAUUCGAAUAGGUUAUACUCUGAUCAGAGGUGUACAUCUUUACCCACAAGACACAUCUUCCUCACGUGCAACCACGUGCCACAUACCACCACGGUAUACAGACGGAAGACGUGACAUAGUUUCCAACCCAUCCUAGCCAUAGACAAGAGUACCGACCCAAUCCCAACCUACGGCCGGAACCUCCGGGACAGGUAGGCAGGAUUGAGCCCCUAGCAGCAGGACACUAGCCCUGUGCCAUGACAUCUCGACUACCGGGCCGCAGCUCGUGUAGCCUUCAUUUGUCCUAGAGAUGUCCAUCGACCCCCGACUUCAUCCAUCUCCAUCCGUGUACUUUUGUUUAUAACCAGACUGAGCCACAAACUAAGCCUUACCCACUAGACAUGUGGAAGUACGGUAGUGCUUUGCAACAGAGGCCCGAGCUUAAUCCUUAUAUUGGCCGGGGUGCUACUUCCCACAACUGGCAUGCACCCAAACCCCACCGGAAAACAGGUUUUAGGGGUUUUGAAAGAGGAAGAGAGGGGUAUGUCCAAUUCCACCAUAAUCCAACAAUUCCAUAAUGUCCAAAUGAUAUGAGAUUUCCCAAAGUCUAAAGUUAUAAAACCACCUAAUGUUGCCUAAUUAAACAGCGAAGCAUCUACCUAAAUUCAUACUAGUGGAACCAUGAAUAGAGUGUCCACUAGUUGGGGUUUUGUUUAUUCUAGGGUGAACAAGGUAAUAAUAACAAUAGCAAUAAUAAUGUCUUAACAAAGGUAAAUAGGCAUGGCUAAAUAAAACAGUGAUAACGCGGGAAUUUAUAUAAAGCGAUAAUGCAUUAAUUUAAAUCAAAAUAAUUUUAUAAACUGGGAUUCAAUAUGCUCAAGGAUGAUGUGACUUGCCUUGCUCAGAGAGAACGGCCUUCCGAACCUUUGGCGACGACCGCGAACCACGCUUCUGGAACCUCCGGAACGACAGAAGCUACGCGAAGCACACAAGCAAAGCUACAAGCCUAUAAAGAAACAAUAACAAUACAUAAAAAGAAAGCAUACGGUUCUUUAGGUUAUAACAAACAUUAGGAGACUUGAACGGGUCGAUUCAGAGCUCGUAUGACCAAGAUAUGAUCAUCCAAAGUUUAAUGCUGUUAUAUGGAGAUUUGCGGAUUAUUAUAAUUAAACUUUGCAACUAUAAAACAUGUGUAAGCGCUAGCCUGGAAAGACAGGAAGGCUGCGCCGUUGACAUGCGGACCUCACAUGUCAACAAAAAGGACCGCGGUAGACCGCGUACACAGAGACGGUCCACGGGUCGACGGAAGCGGAUCCCGUGUGUCAACCGAGGCGAGUGGCCGACAAACGGACUCCACUAGACACCACACGGCCUGCACACGUGGAAACCACGCGGCUACCGAGCGGGCACACUAACACAGACACUACACGGUCACCACCCGCACGCGUGAACGACUACCGACACCGGUACACGGGUACCGGGGUCGACAACCGCACAACGGGUACGGGGUGACACUGAAAGGACGAGGACGGGGCAGCGAGAGGACGGAUCCUUACCACCACGCGACGAGGCGUGGGAACAACAACGACGAACGGGCGCGGCGGACGGCGAGGGAACGACUUCGGCGGCGAUCCUUGGACGAAGGCGAGACGCGGCCGGCAUGAGGCUUGACGACGCGGAGCCGAGGACAAAGACGACGACGGCUACAGCGACCUUGACGAAACACCGAGGACGGACGAGAACGGCUCGACAGAGGGACGAACGCCACGACGACCGGGAACGACGGGAGGACGACGACGACGACGACCGGGGCCGGCGAGGAGACGACGAGGGCAGCCGGCAGCGGCUGCACGGAGGCGAGGAUGGCGUGGAACACGCCGCUGCGAUGUCGACGACGGAGGCGGCGCCGCGAGAUGACGAGCCGGCGAGGAUGAACGGUGACGACGACGACGAACACCGGCGGGGUUCGGUCGAAGGGGAGGCGAGGCCGAGGGCGUCCUUGACGCUGCGAUGCCGGAGGUGGAGACGGCGACGUCGGCCGGCGCACUGGCACGGCGAAAGGGGCUGCCGGAGUGGGUGCCGACGAGACCGAGGAAGAGGCGGCGCGCGUGACGGCGGUGAGGGCUAGGGACCACGGGAGAUCGCGGGAGUGGGCUAAAACGAUAGAACGGAGCGAGGGGAUUCCGUUUUAUAGCGGAGGGAAGCGAGCCGGGCAUGGGAGAGGGCGGAACGGCGACGGGAAACACGGCCGGCAGCCAUGGAAGGCGGCCGGGAAUGGCGCGGCCGUUCCGGGCGAUUGGGGGCGCCAUUCAAGGGGAAAAACGGGGGAAAUCAAAGAGGAAUCAAUGGGGAUUAAUUCCCCCCAAUCAAUUUGGAAAGAGCCGGCUUGAAUGGAGCGGAUUUGGAGGAGGAACGGCGCUAGGGUUCACGGGAGAGAGAGGAAGGAGGCCGGCGGCUGGAGGCCGGGGACGCGCCUGACAGGCGGGACCCACGCGGGAGGCGCGCGGUCAACGCGCGGCAACGGCGCGCACGCACGCGCACGUGCGCGGCACGGGAGGGAGGCGCGGCUCGGCUUGGGCCGGGCGAAGCCGAGGCGGCCCAGGAGGAGAGGAGGGAGAGGCAGCCCGGGAGGGAGAGGGUGGAGGAGGGAGUGGGCCGAGAGGGGGAGGGGAAGAGUGGGCCGGGAGGAGGAGGAGAGGCCCGGGAGAGGAGGGAAAGAGAGGGAGGAGAGGGAGACUUUGGCCGCGGGCCAAGAGAGAGAGAGGAACCUUGGGCCAGACUUGGCCCAAAGGGAAGGAGAGGGUUAUUUUUAGGUUUUCGUUUUAUUAAACUUUGAUAAUUGUUUUUGUUGCUUAAUAAAUAUUUCCGGCGCUCUGAAAAUUCAAGUAAAAUUUGAGGGCUCCUUUUAGACCAAGGAGAAUUUAACAAAAAUUCUCCGGGCCACAUUCGAAUUUUUCUUGUACGUAUUUUAGUGUUUGCCAAUUUCUUUUCGAAUUUUAAUUAAUUCUAUUAUUCCUUUUAGAAAAUGAUUUUUAUUUUGGGAUGAAUUUAUCAGGACGUGACACCACAUCAUGUCACCAUGUGCCUCAAUACCACCACGGUACCUCGGAAAGGAGUUGUGACAAUAACCCUUGCACAACAUAACCCAUUACAGCGCACCUUUCCUGGAUCAUAAUCACCCCCUUAUAAACAAGGCCUGGUGUCGCGUCCCAAAACGGCUCUAAAAUACAUCCUCGAAAUUGUGCCGAGAAUAAUUAAAAUUCGUGUGAAAGCCUCCAACAAUUAAAAUGUGCAAAUAUAAAAGUCAAAUAAGGCUUGGAGGAUUUUUGUAUAUUUCCUAAAAGCCUAAAAUGCGUAAAUAAAUUUUAGUGAAAUUUUCAGAGCACAAAUAAUAAUUGAGAAGAAAUAAACAAAGUUAAAAAGGUUUUAUAAAAAGAAAAACCCUAAAAGAAGUCUUCUUUCCCCCCCCCUCCUCUCUUGGGCCGGCCCGGCCCAACUCCCUCCCUCUCUCUCCUCUCCCCCGCGGCCCAUCGGCCUCCUCCCCGCGCGCGUGCCGCUGACGGGCGGGCCCGCCCGCCACCCUCGCUGACGGGUGGGGCCCACCCGUCAUCCCCUACCUCGCGCCGCGCCCGCCGCCCGCCCGUGCCCUAGCGCCGCCGCCGCCGCCGAAUCCGCCGCAUCCCGCCGUCCCCGCGCGCCAUAAAGAGGGGGAAAUCACUCCCCGUGAUUCCCUCCCUCUUUCCCCCCACUUUCCCCUCUCUCUCUCCCUCGGAUUCGUCCGGAUUCACUCCCGCGAUCUUCGCCGGUGCAUCAAUGGCGGCCGAGAUUUCCGCGGCCGAUUCCUUCCCCUCCGGCCGCUCUCUCCCCCUCCCGACGCUAUAUAAUCGCUCCCCGAGCCUCUCUCCUCCGUUUCCGCCGCUCGCCGCUUUCUCUCCCCAUCGGAAUCGAGCCCGCGCCGUCGUCCUUUCUCUUCGCCGUCGCCGCCGAGCUCCGGUUCGCCGCCGUAGUCGCCCCGGACCUCCUCCCGUCUCGGCGUCACCUCCUUCGGCUUCGCCGCGUCCUCGUCGACCUCGUCCACUCCUCCGUUUCGCCCGCCGACCGUCGGAGCACCGCCGUCCUCGUCAACCCGAGCCGCGCCGCCGCCUCUCGCCGCUUCGGUCGCCGGUUCCGUCACCGCCGUCGACCCGGGGUGAGCCAAGGACCGCCGUUUCACUUCCCCCUUCCCUCCCCUCUCUCGGCCGCCGCUCCGUCGCGCCGGAGGUCGCCGCCGGCGACCAUCGGGGCGCGGGCGCGCCGCCUCCCGUCGGCCGUGCCGGCAAGGCCGCCUUCGGGCGCGUCCCGCGGCUGCCAGGUGGGUCCCGGCCGUCAGCCGCCCGCGCCCGCGGGUGCGGCUGACGCGUGGGACCCACGGCGCCGGCCGGCGUCAGCCGCGUGCGCCCGGUCCACCGUGGACCGAGAGGCUGACGCGUGGGCCCCACUCCCGUGGACCCAGUCCGCGCGCCCUCUCCCUCGGCUGACGCAAUAAAUCCGAUUUUUAAUUAAAAUUUAAAUGAAGAAAUUCGCAAAUAUCCAUUUAAAGAGCAUAUAAACUUCAAAUGGCCAUAACUUGGCCAUUUGAACUCGGAAUUGGACCGUUCAAGUCUCUAAUUUUUCCUUAUGAAGCCAAGAACCCAUUUUUAUGCUUUGUUUCUGCUGUUAUAUGGAGUUUAUUAGAGUAAAAGCCUUUUCUUUUCCGUUGGUCGUGUAGACGCUGCAGCUUCGGAAGAUCCGCUCUUCGUGGAAGUUGAAGCCGACGUUUGGGAAAGCGAGCAAGGCAAGUCACAUCAUCUUUGAGCAUAUUGAAUCCCAGUUUAUAAAAUUAUGUUGAUUUAAAUUAUUGCAUUAUCGCUUUAUUUAAAUUCCCGCGUUAUCACUGUUUUAUUUAGCCAUGCCUAUUUACGUUUGUUAUGACCUUAUUAUUAUUGUUAUUGUUAUUAUUACCUUGUUCACCCUAGAAUAAACAAAACCUCAACUAGUGGACACUCUACUCAUGGCACCACUAGUUUAGUUUUAGGUAGAUGCUUCGCAAUUUAAUUAGGUAACAUUAGGUGGUUUUUCAACUAUAGACUUUGGGAAAUAUUCAUAUCAUCUGGAUACUAUGGAAUGGUUUGGUUAUUGUGGAAUUGGCUUCACACCGCUCCUUCUAUUCAAAAUCCCCAAAAUGGUUUUAGGCUGGGCUCGGGGUGCAUGGUUUUGAUAGUAGCACCUCGGCCAUAUAAGGACCGGUCUUCGGGCCUCUGUUGCAAAGCACUACCGUACUUCCACAUGUCUAGUGGGUAAGGCUUAGUUUGUGGCUCAGUCUGGUUAUAAACAAAAGUACACGGAUUGGAGAUGGAUGAAGUCGGGGGUCGAUGGACAUUCUCCAGGGCAAAUGAAGGCUACACGAGCUGCGGCCCGGUAGUCGAGAUGUCAUGGCACAGGGCCGGUGUCCUGCUGCUAGGGGCUCAGUCCUGCCUGCCUGUCCCGGGGGUUCCGGCCGUAGGUGGGAUUGGGUCGGUACUCUUGUCUAUGGCUAGGAUGGGUUGGAAACUAUGUCACGUCUUCCGUCUGUAUACCGUGGUGGUAUGUGGCACGUGGUUGCACGUGAGGAAGAUGUGUCAUGUGGGUAAAGAUGUACACCUCUGAUCAGAGUAUAAUCUAUUCGAAUAGCCGCGCCCUCGGUUAUGGGCAAGCCGAGCAAUGUACCCAAGUUAGCGUUUCAAUUCUUAAAACCUGCUUAACAACUAAAAUGUGGAAUGGUUGGCCUGGGUUGGCUUGGGACGAGCUGGGACCUAGGGUCGGGUUGCCAGUUCGGUCUGAAUCAUCAUAGGCCUUGGGUUAAGGCAGGUUCGUGUGGGUUCACGGCCUUGAUAAUUAAUAUUGUAUAGUUCGAGAAUCGUGUUUACAAAAUAGCUUUGAGCAACUAAACGUCUUUAAAUGCUGUUUACUGCAACCCUAACCCCUUUAUAGUAUAAUUCCUUUGUACUCCCUUGCAUUUAUUCUGCAUUUGUGGGUGUGUCUUGUUGAGUACGGUGGUUGUACUCAGUCUUGCUCAAUUUUUCCCAAGCCCACAAGAGGAGCUCCUUGAAGAUGAAGGCUUUGGUGUCUAGCUCGUGCCUGCCGUCAAGCGCCUGUGGUCGUCGCCCUAGUCUUCCGCUGUUUCUCGUUUGUCUCUGUGUGUGCUGGGCCUUCGCUGCCCAUGUAAUAAGUUAACUAUUUACGCUUCCGCUUGUUGAACUCUGAAUUGUAUCAACUUUUGGUGUACCUUGCCUCCUGGGACAAGGAUUAAUGCACGCACGUCAGGAACGCCCGUUGGGUUAUUUCCGGUCGUGACACCUGGACUCCCCAGCGACCCCCGUGGACUUCUCGCCACUUCUCAGUCUGGCGCACUAUAAUGAAUCACGCUAUACAAAAGAUAAAGCCGUUGCCCACGCUGGCUUGUGGCUGGCACGAUAAAUGUUUCACAACAGUAGCUCGCGAACCGGUCCUUAAUUGUCAUGAGCACAACCAUCAAAACCAUAUGCUCACAACCCACCUUAACCAGGUUUUAAUUAUCAAUUAAUUAACCUCACACGAUUAACCAUCGUGAGCUACCAUUUAAUAUAACCAUCAUUAAUAAAAAUAUAACAUAGUUUAUAAUUAAUCCCUUUAGUUAGCUAAUGUUUCUAAGCAUGGCUAAGCAAACAUAUAUAUAGCAUUUAGCUGGACCAAUCCAUUAUAUAAGGUUCAUGCUAAUCAAAUUAUAACCCAUAGGAAAAUAAAGUCAUCUUCGGCCAACAAUUAACUGGGAAAGGUUCACCACCCAAUGACAUUCGAAAAUAAUGCAUAAGUUGAAAUAAAAUAAUAGCUUUAAACGGGUUCAACAUGCUCAAAGGGUUGUUUGGGAUCUGUGUGACUUGCCUUGGGCUUCCGCAAACGCUUCGGAACCUUCCUCAAUGGAAACGCUCUACUCCGGAACGACGGAGCUCAUUUUUAUGUUGAAAAUUUUCCUAGAAAAUUAGAGUUUAGCUUGUAGGCUUUUAAAAUAAUUUCUAACAAUUCCAAUUAAACAACAGUUUAUACAUUUAGGAUUUUUAGGGCGUGACACUCCUCAAUCACCUUUGGCAUGGCCAUGCACUCUAUAAUCUAUAACAUUGAGGGGCCCAGAGAUAUCUCUCCAUAGGAGGGGCAAAUCACACUAUGAUUAUUCAUAUCCCACUACAUGUUUCAUAGCAUACCCGAAAACUACUUUUAUAACUACCCAAUUAUGGGGUAGCGUUUAGCAGUCCCUAAGUAAGCUACUACAUAUGUUGGGAACCAUGAUAAUCUCAUGUCUAAGAAUUCAACACCAACACUAAAUGAAAUCACUGAUGACACAACACAUAUGGCUCUUGCAGUGUCUCGAGUUGGGUCUAUCCAACAACAAGUUCCCCAACGUGUGUCCACUGAUGAGAACAUAACUAGCUCGGUGUUGAUGUAAAAAAACGAGGCCUGGAAGAUCUGCUUAACUUCAGUGUAGGUCCAAAAAUCUUGCCUUUAGGUUAAUGAGCAUGCCAGUUGAUUUGAUCCUGCAAUCAACAAGAAAUAAAGACAAAGAAACCGCGGUUAAAUCCAUAAACGAUAGCCGAUCGGCUAAUUGCCGAUGACAUAUCAUUCAUCUUUGAGCCGAUGUCAUAUAUAGAUCGAUCGGCAAUCAUGAACAAGUAAGAAAAAAUUAAAUCUACUCGAUCGGCUAUAGAUAUUAACAAUAUAUAAUCCUUGUGUCGAUAUAUACUUAAAUCAAGUGAUUGGGACAGAUCGGUCGCCAUGCCGAGACAGUAUAAAUCACUUAGAUCGAAAUAUAUAUUAACAACAAGACUAUAUACGUUCAUAGCAUAGCCGAUCAGAUAGAUCUAGCAUGUAUCGGCUAAUACUCCAAUACCACUCUAUAUUGAGAUAUCAAAGCAAGUAAAAUAUAUCAAACGAAAGCCUAAUAUACUUAAAUGCAACAAGAUCUUAACAAAAAGGGCAAUUUAACAUGUCAAUCAAGCAUAUAAGAUAAAUGUAGUUAAAUUAGGUAAGAUCGACUGAAACCCCGAUGCUACACUAAUCGGCAACCAAAAGCAGGCUAGAGAUUGAGAUUCUAAUCAUGACUUACAAGGUCAAACUCAACUGAUGCAGCUAUAAGUAUGAAAAGAAGGAAAAUAUCUAGACAAUCAAGCCAUUGGAUGUUUCAUAGAGUGGUGGAUAUCCUAUAUAAUCCUAGUCAACGUUGGUAUUUAACCUAAUCGGCUGCCUUUUAGUAACAGACAUUAGCCAAUUGGGGGUUAGAUAACGAUAUUGCCGGAGAUUAUAUAGGAUAUAUGAUAACUCAACGAAUUACAUGAACAAGAUUAGAGUAUCAUAAAGAUGGAAGCCCUAAUUCCGAGAACGCAAGCCACCAUAACAAGUUUUACCUCUAGUUGAAGAUCGAAACCGAUGCAGCUCAACCCGAAAGCAAGAACUCGUCGAAACAAAAUGAAAGUAAAAGGGUGGCGGUGCGCUGAGAUUGUAUUGAACGUGUGUUAUCAUAUUACAUGGGGCUCGGGGUCUAUUUAUACCCAAGAUUUACAAAAUAUGCCCGUGUCGGACACGACUUUUAUCUCUAACAAACUAAGAUACCAUAAGUCUUUGCGGCAGACUUUUGCCCAAACAUAUCUCUAAGGAAAUUACAUAAAAUAUCCUAAUUAAUAGAUACAAUUGCCUUCUCAGGACUUAGUCCAUGCGUGGCAAUCCUCAUGAAGCACAUUAACUUAACCCGACAACAUGUACCUCACCAUAUUAUCGGACUCGGCUUAAUCAGCUAACCUUAUCCAAUUCGGACUCUGCCGAUCCCGGUCACAGCCGAUUCGGACUUUAGCCGAUUCUUGCUCUGUUUGCGGAACGAUCUCCAUCUUGGAUUCCGCUUCGACUUUAUCUCCAUCUCCGAUACUGAAAUUACCAAAUUUGGUUGUUAACACUCGGAUAUAACCAUGACUACCUUAGGUAUUAAUCAACCAAAUGUGCAUAUGUUCUAUAUUAGAUUUGCUUGUUAUAUACUUGAACAAACAUUUUCGUUUACAGAUGUACUUGCUUGGACGAAGGAAAAGAGGCCGAGCAUAACGAAUGCAUGGAUGAUCAAAGAAGUUGAUUCGGGACCUCACCUCCCACAUCAUCCACAUUAUCAAUUUGGUAUCUCUAUACCAUGAUCCAUGAGACAUGAUCAUCAACUAAUACAUGUGCUGAUCAUUUAAACAUAUUUGUUCCACAUAUGAUAUAUGAUCAGGGAUCCUUUAGAAAUAGUAACAUUCAACAUCAAGAGUCUCAUGAAAGAAUCAAACAUUUAUUAACCAAUAAUGAGUUAUCUAUUUCAAGGAACAAUGUCGGAUAAAUAUGUAAACAUAGUAUGUGAUACAGUCAUCUCUAUGAUUGCCUCUAGGGCAUAUCACCAACACUCAGCAAGUCAUGAGAAACGUGAGCAUGAAGACUUCGAAGGGAGGCUGGGUUUACUUCGCAACCAUUUCUUUUUAAAAGAACAUUUUGCGAACCACUAAGUGCCCUCAAUCAUGGGGUCAGAAAGAAGUUUUUGCUUAGAUACUGUUGGCAAAUUGCUUUACAACAACUCAAACGGACGAAGCAAAUUUUAGUUGGUUAACAUUAUUCUGCCAUCAAGCAGCUUCUAACUCCGUUCUCAACUAUCAGUUUCUUUUCACUUUCAAACCAUCGGGUAGCCCAUCUCAUCACUCAUCUCUUUGGCUCCAAGAGUUGUCCAUAAUCUCUAGCACACACUGCUUCCACUAGGGAAGCCUAAUCUAUAAUGCCAAUCGACACCCCGAUCUACACAAGAUCAUUUUCAGACCACGUAAUGGUCCUCUAUUACUCAUCAUGACUGAUUCUAGUAAUGGUUCCCAAUCCCACAAACACUUUUCACAAAGUAUAGGCAAACAAAUCUAUGCAAAGAGGAAUCACCUCACAUUUGCCCAUGACCAUGGUCACGGCCGUUCGAAUAGUUUGAUAAUCCUCUGCAGAGGGUGCAUGCUUUACCCACGAGACGUGAUCUUACUCCCUCACUAGCCAAGCGGGGAAGGUUCGUGACAAGGUCUUUCUGAAGCCAACCAGGGAUACCUCAUGCAACAUAGAAGGGUUCUCUCUGAACUUGAGAAUCAGGCAAAUCUCAGCCUUCAUCUACCUAGGCAUUGGGGAUGUCUCCAAUCAGUCGUGCUUUAGAUUCCUGUGAGCUACCAGGUGAUACUUGCGAGGUAUUAGGCGAUACACUUGAUAUCAGUUUUUGAUAAUGAUGUGUAUCGGAUGAUUACUAUGAGAUAUUAGGUAUACUUGCGAGGUACCAAGCAAUACUUGUAGAAAGAGCAUCUAUGCCCCUAGUGGGUUUUGGUUAAUUGAUGACAAACGAUUAAGGGAUUAAUGCACUUAUUGAAUGUAUAAGCAAGGGAUUUGUCCGAUGAAGAACCAAUGAAGAUGAUGAAGAAAAAUAUGCAAUACAACGAGGUUUCAUUGUCAUCCAAUUCUACAAGUGACGGAAAAUGGCAAGAGGUGGUGAAGGGUUGGCAAGACUUGCUACGCGAUGGACCAUGCAUGGGAGAAGAUCAAGCAAAUGUUUGGCGCAAAGGAACCGACGCAGUGGUGAAGGAGAAAAUGCCUUGCCAAACACCAAUGGACCGAUCGAGGCCAUAGGAAGUCAUAAGUUGCUAAGUAUCAACCAUAUUAGUAUCGAUAAAAGCAAAGAAAGAAGAUGGUGUGAAGGUGUUCAUAUUGGUACAACUUUUCUAUCUGCUUUUGAGUUUGGUGCUCAAAAAUCCUUUCGAAGUGUUUCUCAUUAUUGGAUUUUACAUUUUGGUGAUUUUCGGAAUUUCCGAAAGAUCUUUUCGGAAUUUUCAAAAUUGAUAAGGCCAGCAAAUUGCCCUCUGGUAUUUUUCAGAAUUUCCAAAAGUUGAUUUUGCUCUCUGGUGUUUUUAGGAUUUUUCCGAAAAUGGUUUUCGGAAUUUCCGAAAGUUGAUUUUGUUCUCUUGUGAUUUUUGGAUUUUUCUAAAAUAUUUUUGGUAUUUCCAAAAUGCUUUUUUCUCUGCUGAAUUAUGCACUUUUUGGAAUUUACAAAAAUUGCUGCUGAAAUGCAAUUGCCUUCUUGUGAUUUUCAGAAUUUUGGAAAAAUUUAAUCUUUGCCAUCAACGGGCAUAUCUGAGGCUGUGGCUAUAAAUAACCCCCUCCACCCACAAGCUAGGGCUGCUGGCUCUAUUUCUUAUUCUUUGCCCUGGGCUUGUGUUGAUUUGAGAUUCAGUUUGAGCCUUUGCCUUCUCACUUCUUCCUCUCCACCGAUCUUCAAUCUCAGAUUUCGUGUGUGUGCGUGAGUGGUUGAUUUGAGUUUGUUUGAGUGCUUGGUGUUGACUUCGUGAAGAUUUGUUGAGCACUCGAUUCAUCGCCAAGAAAUCUCUGUGGCAUUUGUUACUCUUGGUGGUUGAGGACACCUAGAUGGUUAGGAGUAAACCUCGAGAUACCGAUUUGUUUGUGGUGUGCCGAGGGAGUAUGUGAAGGUCGGAUCUUACCUCCGAAAGGGAAGAGCGAGGAUAGAGUUGGAAAAGACCCGGCCCAUUAUGGGCUCCUCAACAAAGUGUAGAAUCCCCCCAAGGAUUUGAUCUUUGGUAACACAUCAACUUGCAAGAAUCCUGAUGAUAUCUUUUUCUUACUCCUCUAGCUUUGCUAUUUGGUGCCGCUAGUAGUUUAGUCGUUGUUUGUGCAAACCCAUUAACUACCUGUUACACCAUCCCUUUUUGUUUGCCUUUCUAGCUUGCUAAAAAAUCUGAGAUUUUUGGAAUAUCCCAAAAUAUUUCAGAAUAUCGGAAAAUAUUCCAAAAUAUCCGAAAAUAUUCCAAAAUAUCCAAAAAGUUUAUCUUCUUCAUUGACUUACGAGUUUUAAACGCCUCUUCAACCUCCCCCCCCCCCCUCCGCAGGUGAUAUCAAGAUCCUUUCACUUGUGAUACCACGUUCUGAUACCUAUGGUUCUCAGAUGAUUCCUAUGGGGCAUCAUGUAAUACUUGUGAGGUAUUGCAACACUUGUGAUAUUAGGUUCUAACACCUACGUUGAAGCAUCGAGGCCCCCGGUGUUAAUUUUGGUAAUUAAUGACAAGCGCUAAUUGUGGACUAACCGUUGUCUUUGAGAUAAUAUUUUAAGUUAGGUCCACGUCAUGUGUGCACAUGGAUGACGAUCGAUGGAUUAAAAUUGACGGCGCAAGGCAAAGAGAAAGAAGACGGUAAAACUAGUGCUUUAAUUUAGAAUUGAUCAGGGUGUAGGGCGAUCAAAUUUGCUAGUUUAUUUCUAGUUUCGCCGUACUAUUAAGAGGGGUAAUGACCUAGCAAAGAGAUGAUUUUAAUUGCCACAUUAGGUCAUUGCAUUAUCACUUGUGCUCACUUUUUCAUCACACACAAACACAUUCACUGGGUUCGGCCUGACCAGGGGCGGUCAGACCGGCCACAUAGUGGCGGUCUCACCGGCGUGCCCUGCCCGGUGACCUCUCCGAGAAGAUUGUGGAGGAGGCCCGGUGCCGGUUUGUGAGUGGUUUGGAGUUCACCACCUUCGGAGUGAAGAAAGAACUAACCUAGUGAUCGAGGCUUGGGUAGUCCUCUCCAUGGGCCGGCUCCCGCCAUGCCCACCCCUUGACGAAGGGGGCGUGCGGAGGCUACGUGGUUGAGCGGUGGAGUUGGGCUCGCCUCAGCGGGGAGUAAGAAACCGACGAGUUUCCGAACCUCGGUGAAAAAUCUCUUGUCUCCUUGUCUCAUUUGAUUGUCGCAUUUACUUUUGUGCAAUUUACUUUUCUAGAGACAAACUUGAGAUCAUAUCACCCUAGGAUUGCUAAACAUUGACAUAGGAGUGUGAGUUACUUUCCUAGAGAUAUAAUUGAGCCUCUAUCACCCUAGGUUUGCAAAACCUAACUUAGUUGCAUAGUUAGAGUUGACCCUCACCAAGCCUAGCAACUUAGGUUAGUUUUGAUUAGGUGUCAUUUAGUUUUAAAUCGCCUAUUCACCCCCCUCUAGUCGACAUCUCGAUCUUACAAGUGGUAUCAGAGCUUGGUCUCUCCUGAUUGGGCUUCACCGCCUAGAGAGAAGAUGUCGAACGAGGUGAAACACGAAGGGAAGGCUCCCAUGUUUAAUGGCACAAACUAUUCCACUUGGAAAAUUAAAAUGUCUACUCACCUCAAAGCUAUGAGCUUCCAUAUUUGGAGUAUUGUGGAUGUAGGCUUUGCAAUCACCGGCACGCCCUUGAUGGAGAUUGAUCACCGCAACCUCCAACUCAAUGCCCAAGCCAUGAAUGCUUUGUUCAACUCUUUGAGCCAAGAGGAGUUUGAUAGAGUGAGCAACCUUGAGACCGCAUAUGAGAUUUGGAACAAGUUGGCGGAGAUCCAUGAGGGCACAAGUGAGUACAAGGAUGCCAAGCUUCACUUCCUCAAGAUCCAAUAUGAGACAUUCUCUAUGUUGCCUCAUGAGAGUGUGAAUGACAUGUAUGGGAGGCUCAAUGUCAUUGUGAAUGAUCUCAAGGGGCUUGGGGCAAACUACACCGAUCUUGAGGUUGCCCAAAAGAUGCUUAGGGCUCUACCAGAGAAGUAUGAGACCCUUGUCACCAUGCUCAUCAACUCCGACAUGUCAAGGAUGACACCGGCAAGCCUCUUGGGGAAGAUCAACACCAAUGACAUGUAUAAGUUGAAGAAAAAGGAAAUGGAGGAAGCCUCACCUUCCAAGAAGUGCAUUACUCUCUAAGCCGAAGUUGAAGACAAGGGCAAGGGCAAGGUGAAUGAAGUCAAUGAGAACUUGGAAGAAGAGAAUGCCCUUCUUGCUAGAAGGUUCAAUGAUUUCUUGGGAAGGAGAAAGGAGAGAGGAAAGGGCUCCAACUCAAAUAGGAGAAGAAAUAGAAGACCCAACAAGACUCUCUCCAACUUGAGGUGCUUUGAGUGUGGUGAGAAGGGACACUUUGCUUCCAAGUGCCCUUCCAAGGAUGAUGAUGGAGACAAGUCAUCCAAGAAGAAGAGUGGAGGCUACAAGCUCAUGAAGAAGCUCAAGAAGGAAGGCAAGAAGAUUGAGGCCUUCAUCGAGGAAUGGGACUCAAAUGAGGAGAGCUCGCCUCAUCCGGGUCCGAGGAAGAAGAUGGUGAUGAUGCAAGCUCCAGGAAGAAGAAGAUGGCCGUUGUUGCCAUCAAGGAGGCUCCAUCACUCUUCGCUCCACUUUGUCUCAUGGCAAAAGGCUCCUCUAAGGUAACAUCUCUUAGUGAUAGUGAGAGUGAUGAUGAUUGUGAUGAUGUUUCCUAUGAUGAGCUUGUGAGUAUGUUUGAGGAGCUCCAUGCUUAUAGUGAGAAGGAGAUUGUCAAGUUCAAGGCCCUAAAGAAGGAUCAUGCUUCUUUGGAGGUCUUGUAUGAGGAGCUAAAGACUUCUCAUGAGAGACUCACCAUUUCUCAUGAGAAGCUUAAGGAAGCUCAUGACAACCUCCUUUCCACUACUCAACAUGGAGCUCUAAUUGAUGUUGGCAUAUCUUGUGAUUUGCUUGAUGAUAGUGCUACUUUCCAUAUUGCUUAUGUUGCAUCAUCUAGCAUUUCUACCUCUUGUGAUGAUCUUGUGGAUAUGUCUAGCUCUAGCUCUAGCUCUUGUGUAUCUAUUUGUGAUGCCUCACUUGUUGUUGAGAACAAUGAGCUUAAGGAGCAAGUGGCUAAGCUCAACAAGAGGUUGGAGAGGUGCUUCAAGGGUAAGAACACUCUUGACAAGAUUUUGAGUGAGCAACGGUGCAUCCUUAACAAGGAGGGACUUGGAUUCAUUCCAAAGAAGGGUAAGAAACCUUCUCACCGUGCCACUCGUUUUGUCAAGAGCAAUGGUAAGUAUUGCCCCUAGUGUCGUGAGGUUGGGCAUUUGGUGAAUGAUUGCCCCGGUGGUAAGCCUCCUAAGACAUGCAUGUUUGAUUCUCAUUAUAUGCUUAGGAAGGCUCAUGAUGGUAGCAUUGUUCCUAGAUAUGUGGGUUCCCCUAUACUCGGUGGUAAAAAGAAUGACAUUUGGGUGCCCAAAGCUUUGGUCUCUAACCUCCAAGGACCCAAAUAAGUUUGGGUACCUAAAAGAGCUUGAUCUUCUUUUGUAGGUGAACUACCACACCGGUGGGAGCCAUUGGGUGCUUGAUAGUGGAUGCACUCAACACAUGACCGGUGAUAGGGCUAUGUUCACCACAUUUGAGGUAGGAAGGAAUGAACAAGAGAAAGUGACAUUUGGAGACAAUAGCAAAGGAAAGGUAAUUGGGUUAGGUAAAAUUGCUAUCUCCAAUGAUUUGUCAAUUGAUAAUGUCUCUCUUGUUAAAUCUCUAAAUUUCAAUUUGCUUUCGGUUGCUCAAAUUUGUGAUCUUAGCUUGUCAUGUGCUUUCUUCCCGCAAGAAGUUAUUGUUUCUAGCCUUCUUGACAAGUCUUGUGUGUUCAAAGGUUUUAGAUAUGGAAAUCUUUAUUUGGUUGAUUUCAAUUCUAGUGAAGCAAAUUUGAAAACUUGUUUAGUUGCAAAAACUUCUUUGGGUUGGCUUUGGCAUAGAAGGCUAGCCCAUGUUGGCAUGAAUCAAUUGAGCAAAUUUUCAAAACGUGAUCUAGUUAUGGGCUUGAAAGAUGUGAAGUUUGAGAAAGAUAAGCUUUGUAGUGCUUGUCAAGCCGGCAAGCAAGUUGCAUGUUCUCAUCCUACUAAGAGUAUCAUGUCCACAUCUAAACCAUUGGAGCUCUUGCAUAUGGAUUUGUUUGACCCAACAACCUAUAAGAGCAUUGGUGGUAAUAGUCAUUGUCUUGUGAUUGUUGAUGAUUAUUCUCGCUAUACUUGGGUGUUCUUUUUGCAUGAUAAGUCUAUUGUCGCCGACCUUUUCAAAAAGUUUGCAAAAAGGGCCCAAAAUGAAUUUAGUUGCACUCUUGUGAAAAUUAGAAGUAACAUUGGUUCCGAGUUUAAGAAUACCAAUAUCGAGGACUAUUGUGAUGAUCUUGGUAUUAAACAUGAACUUUUCGCUACCUACUCACCUCAACAAAAUGGUGUAGUGGAGAGGAAAAAUCGUACAUUGAUUGAGAUGGCAAGGACUAUGCUUGAUGAAUAUGGUGUUUCCGAUUCCUUUUGGGCGGAAGCCAUAAACACCGCUUGCCAUGCAACCAAUAGGCUUUAUUUGCAUCGUGUCUUGAAAAAGACUUCCUAUGAGGUAAUUGUUGGGAGGAAGCCUAAUAUUGCCUAUUUUCGAGUUUUUGGUUGUAAAUGUUAUAUUCAUCGAAAGGGUGUUAGACUAACCAAAUUUGAAAGUCGGUGUGAUGAAGGGUUUCUUCUAGGUUAUGCCUCAAAAAGCAAGGCAUACCGGGUCUACAACAAGAACAAAGGUAUUGUGGAAGAAACCGCCGAUGUUCAAUUUGAUGAGACUAAUGGCUCCCAAGAGGGGCACGAGAAUUUGGAUGAUGUAGGUGAUGAAGGCUUGAUGAGAGUUAUGAAGAACAUGUCAAUUGGAGAUGUCAAGCCUAUUGAAGUGGAAGACAAGCCAUCCACCUCCACUCAAGAUGAGCCAUCUACUUCCGCUAUGCCAAGUCAAGCUCAAGUUGAAGUGGAGGAGGAGAAGGCACAAGAACCACCUAUGCCACCAAGGAUACACACCGCUCUUUCCAAGGAUCACCCAAUUGACCAAGUGUUGGGUGACAUUAGUAAGGGUGUUCAAACUCGAUCUCGUGUCACUUCGAUUUGUGAACAUUACUCGUUUGUUUCUUGUCUUGAGCGAAAACAUGUAGAUGAAGCUCUUUGUGAUCCGGAUUGGAUGAAUGCUAUGCAUGAAGAGCUCAAAAACUUUGCAAGAAACAAGGUGUGGACUUUGGUUGAAAGACCUAGAGACCACAAUGUCAUAGGGACAAAGUGGGUCUUUAGGAACAAACAAGAUGAGAACGGGUUGGUGGUGAGAAACAAGGCAAGAUUGGUGGCACAAGGUUUCACACAAGUUGAAGGUUUGGACUUUGGUGAAACUUUUGCCCCCGUGGCAAGACUUGAGGCUAUUUGCAUCCUUCUUGCAUUUGCAUCAUGCUUUGAUAUAAAACUAUUUCAAAUGGAUGUGAAAAGUGCUUUUCUAAAUGGUGAAAUUGCCGAACUUGUCUUUGUUGAAUAACCUCCCGGUUUUGAAGAUACUAAAUAUCCUAACCAUGUUUACAAACUCUCAAAAGCUCUUUAUGGUUUAAGACAAGCUCCUAGGGCUUGGUAUGAAAGAUUGAGAGAUUUUCUUUUGUCAAAGGAUUUCAAAAUUGGAAAAGUUGACAUCACUCUUUUCACAAAAAUCAUUGGUGAUGAUUUCUUUGUGUAUCAAAUUUAUGUUGAUGACAUCAUAUUCGGUUCUACUAAUGAGGUAUUUUGCAAGGAAUUUGGUGAUAUGAUGUCUAGGGAAUUUGAAAUGUCCAUGAUUGGAGAGUUGAGCUUCUUCCUUGGACUUCAAAUCAAGCAACUCAAGAAUGGGACGUUCGUGAGCCAAACCAAGUACAUCAAGGAUCUACUCAAGAGGUUUGGCUUGGAGGAUGCGAAGCCCAUUAAGACACCUAUGGCAACCAACGGGCAUCUCGACCUUGAUGAGGGAGGUAAACCGGUAGAUUUAAAGCUUUAUCGUUCUAUGAUUGGUAGCUUGCUUUACCUUACCGUAUCUAGGCCGGAUAUCAUGUUUAGUGUUUGCAUGUGUGCACGGUUUCAAGCCGCUCCUAAGGAGUGUCACUUAGUGGCCGUGAAAAGGAUUCUAAGAUAUUUAAAGCAUUCCUCUACUAUUGGCUUGUGGUACCCAAAAGGUGCUAAAUUUAAGCUUGUUGGCUAUUCCGAUCCGGAUUAUGCCGGUUGCAAAGUGGAUAGAAAGAGCACAUCCAGUAGUUGCCAAAUGCUUGGUAGAUCCCUUGUGUCAUGGUCAUCCAAGAAACAAAACUCCGUAGCCCUCUCUACUGCCGAGACAGAAUAUGUUUCGGCGGGUAGUUGUUGUGCCCAAUUGCUUUGGAUGAAACAAACAUUGUUGGACUAUGGCAUAUCCUUCACCAAAACCCCACUCCUAUGUGACAAUGAUGGUGCCAUAAAGAUAGCCAAUAACCCGGUCCAACAUUCUAGAACCAAGCAUAUUGACAUACGCCAUCACUUCCUAAGAGACCAUGUUGCCAAGUGUGACAUAGUCAUUAGCCACAUAAGAACCGAGGAUCAACUAGCCGACAUCUUUACCAAGCCUCUUGAUGAAACCCGCUUUUGCAAGUUGAGGAAUGAGUUAAAUAUCAUAGACUUCUCUAAUGUGGCUUGAGAUGGUGCACCAUGGUUGCUUCUUUUCCAUAUUGUUUAUUUGCUCCUUUUUUGCUCUUAUGCUUUAGAUUUAUUGCCAUUUGGUUCUUCAUUGCGAAAAUGGAGCAUGUCACAUUAAGGGGGAGGUUUGCACUCUUGCAUGUGCUCCACUUCCUUUUAUAUGUGAGCAAAUCAACUAAAAGUGCUAGUAGUGUUUUCAAAAUGCCCAAGUCAACAUAAGUCAAAAUUUUUGCAAAAUUAAUGUAAUUUGAAAACUAUCUCUUGGAAAAUGUUUCAAAAGGUUCCCUAUAUGUUUUCCAACCUUCACUUUGCAAGAAAAAUGUUUUUUUAAUGAAAAUGCCAUUUUGGCCCUCUUUUGAAGAAACUAGAAUCUUGUUUUUGGCCAAAAUGAAAUUCAACCCCAAAAUGAGAUUGAGAAGGAAUUUGAGAAAAGUUUCAAAACAAAGUUGGUAGAGAAGAAGAUUUGAAAUGUUUUUGGUAUUCAAAUCAUAUUCAAAAUCCAAAUAUUUUAAAAGUUGUUUGAAAAUCAAAUUCGCCCAAAAACCCCUAUAGACCAUAAAUGGUCACCUCCUAGCACUCAAGUGAGUUUUGUUGCAAAUCUUCAUAAAUUUCAAAUAUUAUGAAUGGUUGGCAAUAUUUCAACUCACACAUUUCAAAAUUGCUCCAAAAUUCAAAUUUUUAUUGAAUUUUAUUGUGUGGGGGUAGCCGAACUAUGCAAGGGCAGUGCACAGUCGGCUGGGGGCCAGGCGGUCUGACCAGCGCUAUAUGCGCGGUCUGACCGGCCUGGUGGCGGCGGUCUGACCGGCCUCUAGGGCCCGGUCUGACCGGCUGCACCCUGGCGGUCUGACUGGCCAGGGAUGGAGGGCCCAGGACUUUGUCCUUUCUUCCUCCUCCUCCUUCUACCCGACCCGUCCUCAUCCCAUCUCAUCUCUUCACUUCUCCAACUCGAAAUUUCUUCUGCUCUCUCCUCUCCCAAACCCUAGCCACCUCCCUCCACCAAAUCCGUCCGGUUCAACCGUCAAAAUCACUCCGGUUACUCCGUAAGUGAAUCCCCUCCUCUUCCUCUCUCUAUUCCAUGGAUUGAUUUGAGUUUUUAUUGAGUUUGUGAUCCAUGGCAUGGAACCCUAGGUGAAGGAAGAGGUGUUCAUCGAUUUGCACCAAUAGAGGGUAGUUUCUUGGUGUGAUUCAACUCCUUCAACCGGUAAAUCCCUCUCCCUCUUGUGCAUUGCUCUCAAAUCGGUCUAUUUCAAUCUUUAGGGUUAAGGGUAGUUUCCCCAUUGCUUCAAUCUUGAUGAAAUAGACCUACACAAUGUCACGUCCCAAAACGACUCUAAAAUACAUCCUCUAAAUUAUGCCUAGAAUAAUUAAAAACCGUGUGAAAGCCUCCAACAAUUAAAAUGUGCAAAGUUAAAAGUCAAUUAAGGCUUAGAGGAUUUUUGUAUAUUUCCUAAAAGCCUAAAAUGUGUAAAUAAAUUUUAGUGGAAUUUUCAGAGCAUAAAUAAUAAUUAUUAAGAAAUAAACAAAGUUAAAAUGAUUUUAUAAAAAGAAAAACCCUAAAAUCUCCCCUCCCCCUCUCUCUCUCUCCCCUCCCCGCGGCCCAUCCGGCCUCUCCCCGCGCGCGCGCCGCUGACGAGCGUGCCCGCUCGCCACCCUCGCUGACGGGUGGGGCCCACCCGUCAUCCCCGACCUCCCGCUGCUCCCGCCGCCUCGCCCGUGCCCUAGCGCCGCCGCCGCCACGAAUCCCGCCGCCUCCCGUCGUCCCCGCGUGCAAUAAAGUGGGGGCAAUCACUCCCCGUGAUCCCCUCUCCCUUUCCCCCCAUUUUUCCCUCCCUCUCUCCCUUGGAUUCGUUUGGAAACCCCUCCCCAAAUCCCGCCGGCGCCAUUGAUGGAGCCCGAGAACGCCACGCCGGUUUCCUUCCUUCUCCGGCCGCCCUCUCUCGCCCCGGCCCUAUUUAAACUCUCCCCGCGCCUCCCCCGCCCGUUUCCGCCCCUUGCCGCACCGUCUCUCCGCCGGAAUCGAGCUCGCGCCGUCGCCCUCUCUCUCCUCCGUCGCCGACGACCACCGGCCGGCCUUCUCCGCUCGCCGGGACCGUCUCCCGCCCCGGCGUCGCCUCCUCCGGCUUCGCCGCACCGCCAUCGACCCCGUCCACCCCCUCGCCGGGUCCGCCGACCGCCGGAACGCCGUCGACCCCGUCGACCCGAGCCGCGCCGCCGCCUUCCUCCGCUCUGGCUGCCUUUUUCGUCGUUGCCGUCGACCUAGGGUGAGCCGUGGACCGCCGCCUCUUUUCCCCCUUCCCUUCCCCUCUCUCGGCCGCCGCUCCGCCGUGCCUAUGGCCGUCGCCGGCGACCAUAGGGGCGCGGGCGCCGCCUCCCGCCGGCCGCGCCGAGUGGCCGCCGUCGGGCGCGCCGAGUGGCUGCCGCGUGGGGUCCAGCCGUCAGCCGCCCGCGCCCUCGGGUGUGGCUGACACGUGGGGCCCACGGCGCCGGCCGGUGCGAGCCCGGGUGCGCCCGGUCCACCGUGGACCAUGAGGCUGCCGCGUGGGCCCUACUCCCGUGGACCCGGUCCGCGCGCCCCUCCCCCUCGGCUGACGCAAUAAACCCUUUUUAAAUUAAAAUUUAAAUGAAGAAAUUCGCAAAUAUUCAUUUAAAGAGCAUAUAAACUUCAAAUGGCCAUAACUUGGCCAUUUGAACUCGGAAUUGGACCGUUCAAGUCUCUAAUUUUUCCUUAAGAAGUCAAGAACCCAUUUUUGUGCUUUGUUCCUGCUUGUUAUAUGGAGUUUAUUAGAGUAAAAGCCUUUUCUUUUCUGUUGGUCGUGUAGACGCUGCAGCUUCGGAAGAUCCGCUCUUGGUGGAGGUUGAAGCCGACGUUUGGGAAAGCGAGCAAGGCAAGUUACAUCAUCCUUGAACAUAUUGAAACCCAGUUUAUAAAAUUAUUUUCAUUUAAAUUAUUGCAUUAUCGCUUUACUUAAAUUCCCGCGUUAUCACUGUUUUAUCUAGCCAUGCCUAUGUACCUUUGUUAUGACCUUAUUAUUAUUGUUAUUGAUAUUAUUACCUUGUUCACCCUAGAUUAAACAGAACCCCAACUAGUGGACACUCUACUCAUGGUACCACUAGUAUGAUUUUAGGUAAAUGCUUCGCUGGUUAAUUAGGCAACAUUAGGUGGUUUUACAACUCUAGACUUUGGGAAUAUUCUCAUCACCUGGACACUACGGAAUGGAUGGAUUAUUUUGGAAUUGGAUUCACACCUCCCCCUCUAUUCAAAACCCUCAAAAUGGUUUUUGGCUGGGCUCGGGGUGCAUGGUUUUGAUAGUAGCACCUCGGCCAUAUAAGGACCGGUCUUCGGGCCUCUGUUGCAAAACACUACCGUACUUCCACAUGUCUAGUGGGUAAGGCUUAGAUUGUGGCUCAGUCUGGUUAUAAACAAAAGUACACGGAUGGAGAUGGACGAAGUCGGGGGUCGAUGGACAUCUCUAGGGCAAAUGAAUGCUACACGAGCUGCGGCCCAGUAGUCGAGAUGUCAUGGCACAGGACCGGUGUCCUGCUGUUAGGGGCUCAGUCCUGCCUACCUGUCCCGGGGGUUCCGGGCGUAGGUGGGGUUGGGUCGGUACUCUUUUCUAUGGCUAGGAUGGGUUGGAAACUAUGUCACGUCUUCCGUCCGUAUACCGUGGUGGUAUGUGGCACGUGGUUACACGUGAGGAAGAUGUGUCUUGUGGGUAAAGAUGUACACCUCUGAUCAGAGUAUAACCUAUUCGAAUAGCCGCGCCCUCGGUUAUGGGCAAGCCGAGCAAUGUACCCAAGUUAGUGUUUUUAAUUCUUAAAACCUGCUUAACAACUAAAAUGUGGAAUGGUUGGCCUGGGUUGGCUUGGGACGAGCUGGGACCCAGGGUCGGGUUGCCAGUUCGGUCUGAAUCAUCGUAGGCCUUGGGUUAAGGCAGGUUCGUGUGGGUUCACGGCCUUGAUUAAUAAUAUUGUAUAGCUCUAGGACCAUGUUUACAAAAUAGCUUUGAGCAACUAAGUGUCUUUUAAUGCUAUUUACUGCAAACCCUAACCCCUAAUUUAUGGCUCCCUUGUACUCCCUUGCAUUUAUUCUGCACUUGUGGGUGUGUCUUGUUGAGUACGGUGGUUGUACUCAGUCUUGCUCAAUUUUUCCCAAACCCAGAAGAGGAGUUCCUGGAAGAUGAAGGCUUUGGUGUCUAGCUCGUGCCUGCCGUCAAGCGUCUGUGGUCGUCACCCUAGUCUUCCGCUGUUUUUCGUUUGUCUUCUUGUGUGCUGGGUCUUCGCCGCCCAUGUAAUAAUUAAUUAAUUGCGCUUCCGCUUGUUAAACUCUGAAUUGUAUCAACUUUUGGUGUACCUUGCCUCCUGGGACAAGGAAUAAUGCACGCACGUAAGGAACGCCCGUUGGGUUAUUUCCGGUCGUGACACACACCUUGAUGUUCUAGUUCCAAUCGUGUGCAACACUGUCCUAGCAAUUUUUAGAAUCAUUUAUGUGGAUUGUGGAAGGAUUUGGGUGUGCUCUUGUCAGUGGUGGUCUGACCAAAGGCGGUCUAACCAGCCAUUGGCCGUCGGUCUGACCGGCCGAGGGCACGCGGUCUGAUCGGCCGAGGGCCGGCGGUCUGACCGGCCGUGGCUCUCAGUCUGACCGCCCCUGAUAGGCAGCACUCGCCCUUCCUCCCACUUCACUAUGUGGUUUCUAAAAUUGUUGCUUAUCCAUCCUUUGCUCCUUGUUUUUCAGCUAUGCCUCCCCGCACCCGUCAUGGUCGUCGUGCGCCCACUCCUGAUCCCGUGAGUGAGGAGUCAAGCGGAGAUGAGUAUGCUCAAAGUGAUGAAGAGGUUGAGGCCAAUGUUGAGGGGGCUAGCGAGGGGGAAAGUGGAGAUGAUGACAGUGGAAGUGGAGAGGAUGAGGAUGAAGGAAGUGAUGAGAUGAAUAUUGAUCCCUCCAUCCAGUUUGUUGUAAACAUGAGGAAUCCAUCCCAAUAUACCAUCUUGAGGCACCACGAUCAGUUUUUGAGGCCUCGGGACACCCCGGAUCCCCGUUUUCAUACUGCUUUCCAGAAGAGUGUGUAUGAGCAAGUCUAUGCUGGGAAAGCUUUUGCAGAACAUAAGUUGAUCUCUUGGAGAGACAUUAAUGAGACUACCGAGUUUAAGGGCUUGCAGGAUCUCUUCAGGACUGUUGGCAUUGACCGGAUUUUAACUCUUAAGCAAGAUUACAAUGAAGAUUUGAUCCGGAAGUUUUAUGCUACAGUGUGGGUGGCCGGGGACUAUAGUGAGAUGAAGUGGAUGUCCGACACCCUUCAGUGCUCUAUCUCCAGGAGGCAAUUCCGGCGGCUCCUAAAUGUUCGCUUGGACUUUGGAGAUGACUUGCAUGAGGAGCACACCCAUAAUCCGCUCUCCAUCGACUACCUCUCUCAGUUUUAUGAAGUUGGAGCGCGGUACACACAUGGGAAGGUUGCCGGGUUGAGGACCAUCCCAAGUGUGGUCAACAGGAUUGUGAGAGCUAGCAUCCUCCCUCGCCUGGGUAACAAUGAUGACAUUAGGGGAGUGGCUUGGCACGUUAUCGAUGCCAUCAUUCAGGGCCGUCAGUUCGAUGUUGUUACUCUCAUGAUGCAAGAGAUUGCCAUCUCUAAGGGGACCUUCACUCAGGGUAUCUAUUAUGCCCCUUACAUCAUGAGAUUAAUUCAAGACAAGCUUGGGGCUGCUGGGCCAAAUUUGAAGAAGCACAAGUAGUACAAGCCCCGCCUACAGCUUGGAGCUCCCCGUGCUCCUAGGACGGCGCCCUCCUCUCAUCCUAGAGCUAGCUCAUGCUCUGCACCUCCGCCUCCUCAUGGGUAUGAUCCAAAUGCCUUCUUUCAUCCUCAGUAUGCCUAUUUUGGGAUGCAACCCAACGAGUACUUCAACCCGGUACUUGGGGCUAUUAAUACCCUAAGUGAAAGCAUUCAACGCUUGUCUACCGGGCAUGACGCUUUGCAUGAGGAUGUUCGUGGCUUGCGCACGGACGUUGGAGACUUGAAUGCUUCCGUGGGGAGAUUGCACACUCGAGUGGGUACAUUGGACUCUCGAGUCCAAAUGUUGGAGAGCUCCCAAGCAUUCGUGUAUCAUCGUCAUCGUGAUGCUUCUCAUCCUUCCACUUCGGCGCGUCCUCCUUUUUCUCCACAAGAGUGAAGACCUUUUUGGUGCUUGAUGCCAAAAGGGGGAGAAAAGUGUGUUUUUUGUUGGGUUGGGACUAGUAGUAGUGAGGAUAGUGCCCUCGUAUUUAAUAGGUUAAGGAGGAUUGAGCUAUAUUUUGUAUGGGUAUGGGCUAUUACUCUAUCUUGUGUGUUAUUUGUCGUUUUGUUAAACUCUUUAUGUCAUUUGGACCCUUCGUGGUCUUGUAAUAGCCUAUGCAUUUAUUUGUGAACCCUUUAUGUGGUCUUGAUGUGAACUUGUGCUAUGAUGGAUGGUUGGUGCUACAUUGAUAUACUUGUGACCAUCUUAUGCAUUCGGUUGAUUCAUAUGUGAAGUUCACAUAUAAUUUGCAUAUGUGUUGUGCUAUGUUGAAAUGUGAUAUUGUAAUGUGCAUUGGCUCCAUAUUUGCUAUUUGUGAUUUUUAUGCAUAUGUUUAGGGGGAGCCUUUGCUUUUCAAUGCAAUAAAUGUCCAUGUGCUCUAUGUUUGAUUAUAUAUCUAUUUGUGGAGUUUGUCAUCAAUUACCAAAAAGGGGGAGAUUGAAGCAUCUAGGCCCCCGGUGUUAAUUUUGGUAAUUAAUGACAAGCGCUAAUUGUGGACUAACCGUUGUCUUUGAAAUAAUAUUUUAAGUUAGGUCCACGUCAUGUGUGCACAUGGAUGACGAUCGAUGGAUUAAAAUUGACGGCGCAAGGCAAAGAGAAAGAAGACGGUAAAACUAGUGCUUUAAUUUAGAAUUGAUCGGGGUGUAGGGCGAUCAAAUUUGCUAGUUUAUUUCUAGUUUCGCCGUACUAUUAAGAGGGGUAAUGACCUAGCAAAGAGAUGAUUUUAAUUGCCACAUUAGGUCAUUGCAUUAUCACUUGUGCUCACUUUUUCAUCACACACACACACACAUUCACUGGGUUCGGCCUGACCAGGGCAGGUCUGACCGGCCACAAGUUGGCGGUCUGACCGGCCCAUAAUGUCGGUCUGACCGGCGGCACAUGCCCGGUCAGACCGGCCCCCUGGAGGCCGAAAUGGUGCUCCUCGGGACUGCCGAUACAGAGCCGACGGAGCCGUAGUCGGUCAGACCGAGCCGAUGGCGGUCUGACCGAGCCGACUCCGGUCUGACCGCCCAAUCAACUCCGGUCUGACCGGCCGGGCCGAUGGGGCCCUCUGACAGCGCUACAACUGCUAGUUUUCUAGCCGUUGCAGAGUAGCACAGUAUGACCGGCCACAUACCUCCGGUCAGACCGGCAGAGCACAAAGUUGGGGGAUUUCGCCCCCAACGGCUAGUUUUGGUGGGUGGGAGUAUAAAUACUCUCCCACCAGCAGCAAGGGGACUCUCUUGGCACCCAAUUCAAUUGCAUACACCCCUUGCACCUCUCUCACACUCACUUGAGCUUUGUGUUCAUCCAUCUAGUGUUAUAGGGUUGAUUAGCCAAGAGUCAAGUGCAUUUGCUUCCAUUGUAGAGCUAGUGUGGCACUUGAUCAUCUCCACGCCGGGUCAUUGCUUGUUACUCUUGGAGGAUGCCGCCUCCUAGACGGCUUGUGGAGAAGUUGCCCGGUGACCUCUCCGAGAAGAUUGUUGUCACACCCUGAAAAUUCAAAAUAUAUAAAUUGUUGUUUAAAUGAAAUUUUUAGAAUUUAUUUUAAAAGCCUAGAAGAGAAGAUCUAAUUUUAAUUAAUAAAUUCCAAUAUAAAAUGGGGCCAGAUAAAAUUUCAUUAAAUACUUUGCUUAAUUCUAUAAUUCCUAGAUUUUUCUGGGAUUUAUUUGAGCUAAGGAAGUAUUUUUAAUAAAUGGAAUUGCAUUUAAAAAAUAAUUUAAAUUGAAAAAGGUUUUGAAAAGUCUUCUUUUGGCUUUGGGCCGAAAGUCAGCCCAAAACCCUUCUCUCUCUCCUCGGCCCAAGUCGGCCCAGUCCGCAGCCGCAGCCGCCCGCGCGCGCGUCCUCGCUCGCUGACAGGUGGGGCCCGCCUGUCGGAGUCGUCGUCUUCCUCCGGCCGAAACCCUAGCGCCGCGCCGCCGCCGCCGCUUUCCAAAUCGGCCGAUCCUUUCCUUCUCCGGCCGAAUCAAAAGAGGGGAAAUGAUCUUCGGGAUUUCCUCUACCUUUUCUCCUUUGGAAACACCGGCUAAAAUCGUUUGGAAAUUCGUGGAUUCGAGUUUGUUUCGGAUUCGAUUUUCCCGAACUUUCCUUCUCGUCGCCGGCCGUCGUGGGCCUUCGCCGCUGCCUCCGAGCCCCUUUAAAAGGACCCCCGAGCUCUUCUCUACCCGCCGCCACCCUCGCCUUCGCCUCUCGUCGCCGGUAGCGCCCUAGCGUCGUGAGACCUCGAGCCGCCAUCGCCGCCGUCGCUCCAGCCGUGCGCCGCCGCCGUUCCGGUCGUCGUCAUCGCUCGGGAAGGCCACCGUCGGGAUCGCCAAGUCGUCGCCGUCCUCGUCCGCCCCUUCGCCACCGUCGGAGACCGCCGGAGCAUCGUCGCCGUCGUCGACCCGAUCUCCGCCGUCGCUUCUUCCUCGUCGCCGUCGCCGUCCGUUGGUCUUCCGCCGUCGCUUGGGUCGCCGGUGAGUUCGCCGUGCCGUCCGCUACCCGUUGGUGUCCACCGUUCUUGCCGAAGUGCCGCCGUUCACUGGCAAGCGUGCGCCGUCCGAGCCGUCCGAGCCGCCGAGCCGCCGCCGCCGGUGGUGACGUCAUCGCCGACGUCAUCGUCGCCCUCUUCCGUGAGCCGGUCGUGGACCGAUCGAUCUCGGUCGUCCGUUUUGGUCAUCGUCGCCCUCUUCCGUGAGCCGGUCGUGGACCGAUCGAUCUCGGUCGUCCGUUUUGGAUCAAGUCGAUCUCGGCCGUCCGUUCGCGUGAACUGCCGCCGUGCGCCCGGUCCACCGAAACCCUAGCCCGCUGACGCAAUAAAUCCCUUUUCCUUUUCAAAAAUAAUUCAUUAUUGCGUCAUAAUUCAAUUAAAAUCAAUAUAAGUGUUUUAAUCCGAUUUAAUCUUCAAAAAUUCAUAACUAAUUCAUCUUAGCUCCGAUUUAGUUGGUUCAAGUCUCUAAAUUUUUCUAAAAUUGAGAUCUACACAAUAAAAAUAUCCACAUGUACUGUUCAUGCUUGUUUAUGUGCUGUUUUGGUGAUUUUGCUCUUUUCUGCUUAGAUUCCGUCGUUUCCGGAGAGUCCGUUUUCGCAGGAGAAGAGUUUGAAGAGUUCCAAGGCCAGCAAGGCAAGUCACACAGAUCCCAAACAACCCUUUGAGCAUGUUGAUCCCGUUUAAAGCUAUUGUUUCUAUUCAACUAUUGCAUUUAUUUUCGAAUGUCAUUGGGUGGAAUUAACCUAUUGUUUGCUAUAGCCCUUUUGUUCUUGAUUACUUUAUUCCUUGAUACCUUGGGUUAUUAUAAUUUGACUAGUUGAGCUUUAUUUAUAUUGGUUCAACUAGAUAUUAGAUAUAAUUGCUUAGCCAUGCUUAGAAACAUUAGCACACUUUUGGGAUAACUUAUGAUUCACUAUUAUUUAAUGAUAGCUCACGAUGGUCAAUCGUGAUUGGUUAAUUAAUUAAUGUGCCAACUAAAACUUGGUAAUGGUGGGUUGUGAGCACAUGGUUUUGAUGGUCGUGCUCAUGACAAUUAAGGACCGGUUCACGAGUUUCGGUUGUGAAACAUUAACCGUGCCAACCACAAGCCAGCGUGGGCAACGGCUUUAUCUUUUGUAUAACAUGGUUCAUUGCAGGGCACCAGACUGAGAAGUGGCGGAGAUAAGCCCACGGGGGUCGCUGGGGAGUCCAUGCCUUGUUUAUAAGGGGGUGAUUAUGAUCCAGGAAGGUGCGCUGCAGUGGAUUGUGUUAUGCAAGGGGUAUUGUCACAACUCCUUUCCGAGGUACCGUGGUGGUAUUGAGGCACAUGGUGACAUGAUGUGGGGUUGUGUCUUAUGGGUACAGUGGUACACCUCUGAUCAGAGUAAAACUAUUCGAAUAGCCGUGCCCGCGGUUAUAGGCGGGUCUAACAAUGUCUUUCGUGAUUAGUCUCACCCUUCUCACCAUAGUAAAUGAUGCUAUAACUGGUAAUAAUUUGAUUAGCUCCUGGUUUGGAAUGGUAUAUUCCUGGUUUGGAGAUAGAACUGUGCAGCCGGGAUGGUUAUUCAGAAUGGGUGGGCCUAUACAACAGGGUAUGUUGUAUAGCGUUGGAUUAAUAUUGUUUAAUUAUUACUUAACUGUUUUAUUAAAUUCUCAAAUGUUUGCUAAAUGCUGCUUUUGCAAAAGAAACCCUAUUAUGCCAUCCUUUGUUAUCCUGUGCACUUGCAUAUUUGCUGCGUGGCUUGCUGAGUAUGUCAUAUACUCACCUUGCAAUCAUUCAUCAGAGGAAGAGUUCUACAAUGAUGCUGAUGGUGUGGAGGAUUAGGUGUAGCCUUGGUCAAGCUGCUUGUGGAGUGGAGCCGUCCGCGCCGUUUAUCUUAUUUUCCGCUGCUUAGAUCUUUAUUGAUUGAGAGGAACUAUCUACCUCUGUAAUGACAUUUUAUUCGCUUAUUAGUUAGAGUAAUAUUUGUACUCUAUUAUCAAUUUGUUAUUGUGUGCCUCGGCUGAUUCCUAGACGAGGGUUCCCACACAUGUAAGCGUUUGGAAUUUUGGAUAGAAAUUCCGGGCGUGACAAGUUGGUAUCAGAGCCUCCUUGACCUUAGGUUAUGCCAAAUGGUUACCCAUAGAAGCCCUCUAAAAAUAUUGGAAAAGUAGAACUGUUCUCCUCCCUUUCUCUUUUAAACCAAACUAAUGGCACAUGCACUUCAUAAUCUCUUUUAAUGGUUCUCAUUCAAAAUUUAUUUCAGUGUUAUUAGUACUGUACAUCUAUUACUGUACUAAUGACUCAUUUACCAGCAAAAGUUUUACAAUAUUGUUUUAUUUAAUCCUGCUGCAAUAAAAUAAAUUUAGCAUGUCGAUUUUAUAACUUUCUUUUAUUUCUGUUAAAACCUGAUGAUCAAAAGUACAAAAAUUUGUAACCUCGUUUUCAACUAUUUCAACUUAUCUUGCAAGCUUGGUUUACUUUAUUUACUUACCUUUUUACUUUGAUUUUCCAACUUUAUUCACAUUAAUCCAAAAACUUGUGCUAUUAAUUGGAUAAAUGUCUUAACUCCCUCCUUUCACUUGUCUUUAGAUGCCGCGCUACAAGCCUGAGUACUUGUUUGGUGUGGAGGGUUUUGUCCAGGAGUUGCGUACAAUGUCCUUUGUCAUUGGAUUUGGGACUGCCCCUUUUUAUGCCCAGAUUCCUCAUGAUCGUCAUGAAGAGAAGUGCCGAGUCAAAGUCACCUUGAACAGUAAUAGUGAAGAUAUUCCCUCAGUGAUGUUCGAAGCUGGAGGAAGAAACUACAUCCAUGCGUGUCAGGAGGUGGCAAGGAUCGCCAUAGGAGAGCUUCGCGAUCGCUACAGUGAUCAGUUGGCCGAUACGGAGUAUCGCUACCAUCCUCGUCAACCACAGGGAAGUGACCGUGGCAAUUACCUUGAGACUGAAGGAAUUGAGAAUGAUGCUACCACAAGGCAUUUGGUUGAGAUGCUGUGGGCUAUGGAUGAAAGUCGUGCGGAGACUGUAUUAGCGGCUCAAGAUCGUGAAGACCGGAAUCGUGGUAAGAUUUGCAAGCUAGAAGACAAGGUGGAUCGUUUGGAGAAGGAAUUAGCCGCAUUGAAGGGAGAAGCACCGCCGCAGAAGGCCAGGAUUCGUCUCACUGCAAUGAAGAGAGCUCUAUUUGUCCCUCGCUAUCAAUUGGCGCCAAAGGUUCGUGUGGUGGAGAAUGAAGUUGCCCCAACCCUAGCAGAUCCUCCGGUCAUCAUCAUAAGUGAUGAUGAAGAAGAAGAAUCCAAGCACACCCAUUCCAAGAUUGAGUGGGUAGUAACUCAAGAUGAUGAAGACGAGCCGAAUGAGCCUUCAAUCGACCUCCGAUGCUCGGAAGAACUAGAGUGACUUGUUAAGUCGUUGUCUUAGAUCGUUGUGUUAGUUUGCUUGCUUUAAGUUUGCUUGUGUGUGUCUCGCAUGUGAUUUACAUCAGUGGUGGGAUGUAAGUGCAUGCGUUUGUUUGCUUUUGAGUGUUAGGAAGUUGGUGAGUUUAGUGGUGUGAGAGUCUUCAGUUUGUAAUAAUGAAACUCAGUUAAGAUCAAUAAAAGUUAAAGUAAUUCCCUGUCCUAAGUAGUUUUGCCCGGUUUCUCUUCUUGUGCCCUGUCCAUGCCAGAUGGUGAACACUCGCAGCAAUGGGAAUGGCCCCAACAACAACAACAAUAACAACAACAACAGUGGAGAGAAUCCCACACUUGCCCAAGUCCUGGCUCAACAGACACAGCUUAUGAACAUGAUGAUGCAGCAACUCCAGAACCAGCAAAACCAAGGAAAUAACCAUGCACCUCCCCAGAACAAGUUAGCAGAAUUUCUGCGUGUGAGGCCGCCCACUUUUUCUAGCACCACUAAUCCUGUUGAAGCUGGUAACUGGCUGCACGCCAUAGAAAAGAAGUUGGAUUUGCUUCAGUGCACUGAUUAGGAGAAGGUCUCAUUUGCAUCACAUCAGUUGCAUGGCCCUGCCUCUGAAUGGUGGGAUCACUUUCGCCUGAACAGGAUUACUGCUGAACCUAUCACUUGGCUUGAAUUCACCGCUGCUUUCCGGAAGACGCAUAUACCAUCGGGAGUGGUGUCUCUCAAGAAGAAGGAGUUCAGGUCGCUCACUCAGGGAUCUCGCUCUGUUACGGAGUAUUUGCACGAGUUCAAUCGUUUGGCUCGUUAUGCUCCUGAAGAUGUGCGCAAUGAUGAAGAGCGUCAGGAGAAGUUCUUGGAAGGACUUAAUGAUGAGCUUUCUUACCCACUCAUGACUGGAGAUUAUCCUGAUUUCCAGAAGUUAGUGGAUAAGGCUAUUCGUCAGGAGGACAAAUACAACCGCAUGGAGCAGAAGAAGCGCCGGAUUGCUCAAUUCAAGACACAACAGGGGAAUAAUCAGAGGCCGCGUCUUACUUUAGGACCCCAGUCCGUGCCACAGGGAGGUUCUUCGUCUAUUGUUCGUCCGCAGCGUCAGUUCUUCAACAACAAUGCUGGCAACAACAUCCGUAAUCAAGUUCCACGUCCUGUUGCAGCUCCAACACAGCAACAACCUGCCAAGAGGGAGCAAGGCAGCAAACCCGUGGUGUGUUUCAACUGUGGAGACCCAGGACAUUACGCUGACAAGUGUCCGAAGCCCCGACGCGUGAAGGUUGUCCCUACUCAGAGCAACUCUACCGCACCAGCAUCAAAGGCCCGUGUCAAUCAUGUCGCUGCUGCAGAAGCUCAAGAUGCUCCAGAUGUGAUUUUGGGUACGUUCCUUGUUAACUUAGUUCCUGCCACAGUGCUUUUCGAUUCUGGUGCUACACAUUCAUUCUUAUCUAUGAGUUUUGCGGGAAAUCAUGGGAUGGAAGUAGAAGAUCUUAGACAUCCUUUGAUGGUUAGUACCCCAAGUAAUCAAGCACUCUCUUUGCAACGUAGCCCCUCUGUCAGAAUAGAAAUUAAAGGAGUACCAUUUCUGGCCAAUCUUAUCUUGUUAGAAUCCAAAGACCUUGAUGUCAUCCUAGGGAUGGACUGGUUAGCCAGACAUAAAGGUGUGAUAGACUGUGCUAACAGAAAAGUAACUCUCACCAGCAAUGAUGGUCGAGUUGUAACUGUUCAUGCAUUGUCUUCUGAGUCUUUAAGGUCAAGACUGAACCAAAUAACUUUGGAAGAGAUUCCUAUAGUCCAGGAGUAUCCCGAUGUGUUCCCAGAUGAUUUACCUGGUAUGCCGCCUAAAAGGGAUAUAGAGUUCAGAAUAGAUUUGGUACCAGGAACAACUCCGAUCCAUAAGAGACCUUAUAGAAUGGCAGCCAAUGAGUUGGCAGAAGUUAAGAGGCAAGUAGACGAUUUGCUUCAGAAAGGAUACAUCAGACCGAGUUCAUCACCAUGGGGAGCUCCGGUUAUUUUUGUGGAAAAGAAAGACCAUACCCAGAGGAUGUGUGUGGACUAUCGUGCACUAAAUGAUGUGACUAUCAAGAAUAAGUAUCCACUACCCAGAAUUGAUGAUUUGUUUGAUCAGCUUAAAGGUGCUACUGUUUUCUCCAAGAUAGAUCUUCGAUCAGGGUAUCACCAGUUGAGAAUCAAAGAGGAAGAUAUACCUAAGACAGCUUUUACCACUAGGUAUGGGUUGUUCGAAUGUACUGUUAUGUCUUUUGGACUUACCAAUGCCCCUGCUUUCUUCAUGAACUUGAUGAAUAAGGUGUGUAUGGAAUACCUAGACAAGUUCGUGGUGGUCUUUAUUGAUGAUAUUCUUAUCUACUCUCGAACCAAAGAAGAGCAUAAAGAACAUCUUCGCCUUGCACUAGAGAAGCUACGAGAACAUCAACUGUAUGCUAAGUUUAGCAAGUGUGAAUUUUGGUUGUCUGAAGUGAAGUUCCUUGGUCACGUCAUCUCAGCAGGAGGAGUUGCCGUCGAUCCUAGUAAUGUGGAAUCCGUAACCAACUGGAAACAACCAAAGACAGUUUCAGAAAUUCGCAGUUUCCUAGGCCUCGCAGGGUAUUAUCGGAGGUUUAUAGAGAAUUUUUCCAAGAUUGCUAAGCCCAUGACACGACUGCUUCAGAAAGAUGUGAAGUAUAAGUGGUCAGAAGAAUGUGAGCAGAGUUUCCAAGAGUUGAAGAAUCGCUUGAUAUCAGCUCCUAUUUUGAUUUUACCUGAUCCAAAGAAGGGUUUCCAAGUGUAUUGCGAUGCAUCUAAACUUGGGUUAGGUUGUGUUCUGAUGCAGGAUGGGAAGGUGGUUGCCUAUGCAUCUCGUCAGUUACGUCCGCAUGAAAAGAACUACCCUACUCAUGAUCUUCAAUUGGCCGCAGUAGUUCAUGCGUUGAAAAUUUGGCGUCAUUAUCUUUUCGGUACUCGUACAGAGGUAUAUACCGAUCACAAGAGUUUAAAGUAUAUCUUUACUCAGCCGGAUCUGAACAUGAGACAACGGAGGUGGUUGGAAUUAAUUAAGGACUAUGACAUGGGAAUUCAUUACCACCCAGGAAAGGCUAAUGUUGUAGCAGACGCUCUUAGCAGGAAAGGCUAUUGCAAUGCUACAGAAGGACGACAGUUGCCAUUGGAAUUAUGCAAGGAAUUUGAAAGAUUAAAUUUGGGAAUUGUCAGUAGAGGUUUCGUUGCAGCCUUAGAAGCGAAGCCCACUCUAAUUGAUCAAGUUAGAGAAGCCCAAAUUAAUGAUCCUGAUAUUCAAGAGAUCAAGAAGAAUAUGAGAAGAGGAAAAGCUAUCGGUUUCUUGGAGGAUGAGCACGGAACUGUAAGGUUGGGUGAGAGAAUCUGCGUCCCCGACAACAAAGAUUUAAAAGAUGCAAUUCUGAAAGAAGCUCACGAUACUUUAUACUCUAUUCACCCUGGUAGUACUAAGAUGUACCAGGAUCUCAAGGAAAGAUUUUGGUGGGCAAGUAUGAAACGUGAAAUAGCAGAAUAUGUAGCAGUAUGUGAUGUUUGUCAGCGAGUCAAGGCAGAACAUCAGAAACCUGCCAGUUUGCUGCAGCCUUUAAAGAUUCCUGAAUGGAAGUGGGAAGAAAUCGGUAUGGAUUUUAUCACUGGUUUACCCAGAACGUCAUCGGGUCAUGACUCUAUUUGGGUGAUAGUCGACAGACUUACCAAAGUAGCUCAUUUCAUUCCGGUAAAGACAACCUAUUCUGGAAGUCGGUUGGCGGAAUUGUACAUGGCAAGGAUCGUGUGUUUGCAUGGCGUCCCUAAGAAAAUAGUGUCUGAUCGAGGCAGUCAGUUUACUUCAAAUUUUUGGAAGAAACUUCAGGAAGAGAUGGGUUCUAAGCUGAACUUUAGUACUGCUUAUCAUCCGCAGACAGACGGACAAACCGAAAGGGUGAAUCAAAUUUUGGAAGACAUGUUGAGAGCUUGUGCUUUAGACUUCGGUGGAAGUUGGGAUAAGAGUCUACCUUAUGCAGAAUUUUCGUACAACAACAGUUAUCAAGCUAGUCUUCAGAUGGCUCCUUACGAAGCACUGUAUGGUCGGAAGUGCCGCACUCCACUUUUGUGGGAUCAAACGGGAGAACGUCAGGUUUUCGGGACGGAUAUCCUAAGAGAAGCAGAAGAAAAGGUGAAAAUCAUUCAAGAAAGAUUGCGAGUGGCUCAGUCUCGUCAUAAGAGUUAUGCCGACAAUCGCCGCAGAGAUUUGAGUUUUGAAGAAGGAGAUUAUGUGUAUCUUCGUGUCACGCCUCUUCGAGGAGUUCGUCGUUUUCAUAUCAAAGGAAAAUUGGCACCGCGUUUUGUGGGACCUUAUAAGAUUGUCAGUAGAAGAGGAGAGGUUGCUUAUCAGUGGAGUUACCUCAAUCUUUGGCAGGAGUCCAUAAUGUGUUCCAUGUGUCGCAAUUAAAAAAGUGUUUAAGGGUACCUACCGAAGAAGCUAAUCUUGAACAGAUAGAAGUCCAAGAGGAUCUGACCUAUGUUGAGAAAUGUCACGUCCUGAUAAAUUCAUCCCGAAAUAAAAAUCAUUUUCUAAAAGGAAUAAUAGAAUUAAUUAAAAUUCGAAAAGAAAUUGGCAAACACUAAAAUGCGUAUAAGAAAAAUUCAAAUGUGGCCCGGAGAAUUUUUGUUAAAUUCUCCUUGGUCUAAAAGGAGCCCUCAAAUUUUAGUGGAAUUUUCAGAGCACAAAUAAUAAUUGAGAAGAAAUAAACAAAGUUAGAAUGGUUUUAUAAAAAGAAAAAUCCUAAAAAAAGUCUUCUUUUCCCCCCCUUCCCUUACUGGGCCGGCUCGGCCCAGCUCCCUCCCUCUCUCUCCUCCUCCCCGCGGCCCACUCGGCCUCUCCCCGCGCGCGCGCCGCUGACGGGCGGGCCCGCCCGCCACCCUCGCUGACGGGUGGGGCCCACCUGUCAUCCCUAUCCUCGCGCCGCGCCCGCCGCCCGCCCGUGCCCUAGCGCCGCCGCCGCCGCGGAUUCCGCCGCAUCCCGCCAUCCCCGCGCGCCAUAAAGAGGGGGAAAUCACUCCCCGUGAUUCCCUCCCUCUUUUCCCCCUCUUUCCCCUCUCUCUCUCCCUCGGAUUCGUCCGGAUUCACUCCCGCAAAGUUCGCCGGCGCAUCAAUGGCGGCCGAGAUUUCCGCGGCCGAUUCCUUCCCCUCCGGCCGCUCUCUCCCUCUCCCGGCGCUAUAUAAUCGUCCCCCGUGCUUCGCUCUUCCGUUUCCGCCACUCGCCGCCUCUCCUCCCCGUCGGAAUCGAGCCCGCGCCGUCGCACCUUCUCUCCGCCGUCGCCGCCGAACUCCGGUUCACCGCCGUCGUCGCCCCGGACCUCCUCCCGCUUCGGCAUCGCCCCCUUCGGCUUCGCCGCGUCCUCGCCGACCCCGUCCGCUCCUCCGUUUCGCCCGCCGACCGCCGGAACGCCGCCGUCCUCGUCGACCCGAGCCGCGCCGCCGCCUUCCUCCGCUCCGGUCGUCGUUUCCGCCGUCCUCGUCGUCCCGGGGUGAGCCGUGGACCGCUCCUUUCGCUUCCCCCUUCCCUCCUCUCUCUCGGGUGCCGCUCCGCCGCGUCGGUGGUCGCCGGCGGUGACCAUCGGGGCGCGGGCGCGCCGCCUCCCGUCGGCCGUGCCGGCGAGGCCGCCUUCGGGCGCGCCCCGCGGCUGCCAGGUGGGGCCCGGCCGUCAGCCGCCCGCGCCCGCAGGUGCGGCUGACGCGUGGGACCCACGGCGCCGGCCGGCGUCUGCCGCGUGCGCCCGGUCCACCGUGGACCGAGAGGCUGACGCGUGGGCCCCACUCCCGUGGACCCGGUCCGCGCGCCCCUCCCCUCGGCUGACGCAAUAAAUCCGAUUUUUAAUUAAAAUUUAAAUGAAGAAAUUCGCAAAUAUCCAUUUAAAGAGCAUAUAAACUUCAAAUGGCCAUAACUUGGCCAUUUGAACUCGGAAUUGGACCGUUCAAGUCUCUAAUUUUUCCUUAAGAAGUCAAGAACCCAUUUUUGUGCUUUGUUUCUGCUGUUAUGUGGAGUUUAUUAGAGUAAAAGCCUUUUCUUUUCCGUUGGUCGUGUAGACGCUGCAGCUUCGGAAGAUCCGCUCUUCGUGGAAGUUGAAGCCGGUGUUUGGGAAAGCGAGCAAGGCAAGUCACAUCAUCCUUGAGCAUAUUGAAUCCCAGUUUAUAAAAUUAUUUUGAUUUAAAUUAAUGCAUUACCGCUUUAUUUCAAUUCCCGCGUUAUCACUGUUUUAUUUAGCCAUGCCUAUUUACCUUUGUUAAGACAUUAUUAUUGCUAUUGUUAUUAUUACCUUGUUCACCCUAGAAUAAACAAAACCCCAACUAGUGGGUACUCUAUUCCUGGUUCCACUAGUAUGAAUUUAGGUAGAUGCUUCGCUGAUUAAUUAGGCAAUAUUAGGUGGUUUUAUAACUUUAGACUUUGGGAAUUCUCAUAUCAUUUGGACACUAUGGAAUUGUUGGUUUAUGGUGGAAUUGGACAUACACCUCUCUUCCUCUUUCAAAACCCCUAAAACCUGUUUUCGGUGGGGUCUGGGUGCAUGCCAGUUGUGGGAAGUAGCACCCCGGCCACUAUAAGGAUUAAGCUCGGGCCUCUGUUGCAAAGCACUACCGUACUUCCACAUGUCUAGUGGGUAAUGCUUAGUUUGUGGCUCAGUCUGGUCAUAAACAAAAGUACACGGAUGGAGAUGGAUGAAGUCGGGGGUCGAUGGACAUUCUCUAGGACAAAUGAAGGCUACACGAGCUGCGGCCCGGUAGUCGAGAUGUCAUGGCACAGGGUUGGUGCCCUGCUGCUAGGGGCUCAGUCCUGCCUGCCUGUCCCGGGGGUUCCGGCCGUAGGUGGGAUUGGGUCGGUACUCUUGUCUAUGGCUAGGAUGGGUUGGAAACUAUGUCACAGCUUCCGUCUGUAUACCGUGGUGGUAUGUGGCACGUGGUUGCACGUGAGGAAGAUGUGUCUUGUGGGUAAAGAUGUACACCUCUGAUCAGAGUAUAAUCUAUUCGAAUAGCCGCGCCCUCGGUUAUGGGCAAGCCGAGCAAUGUACCCAAGUCAGUGUUUUAAUUCUUAAAAUUUGCUUACAACUAAAAUGUGGAAUGGUUGGCCUGGGUUGGCUUGGGACGAGCUGGGACCCAGGGUCGGGUUGCCAGUUCGGUCUGAAUCAUCGUAGGCCUUGGGUUAAGGCAGGUUCGUGAGGGUUCACGGCCUUGUUUAAUAAUACUGUGUAGCUCUAGGAUCGUCUUUAUAAAAUGGCUUUGGGCAACUAAGUGACUUUUAAAUGCUGCUUUUCUGCAAAACUUAACCCCUAUAUUAUUUACCCCUUGUACCCCCUUGCAUUAAUCGUGCAUCUACCGGUGUGACUUGCUGAGUACUGUGGUUGUACUCAUUCUUGCUCUAUCUUUCUCCCCCCUUCAGUAAGAGAAGCUUCAGAGAAGAUGUCUUAGGUGGAGUCCUGGCUUAUACCCCAGUUGAGCGCCUGUGAAGAUGGAGCCGUAGGCCCGCUAGUCCGCUGCUGUUUAUUUUUGUUUGUCAGGCCUGAAGCGCCUUUGUAAUAAUGUAAAUAUUAUCGAUAUAAUAAAGAUGUGUCUUUUAUAUCAUGUUUGUAUGGUGUACCCCGGCUUUUCCUGGGACGGGGAUUAAUACACUGGCGUUCGGGAAAAGGCAAUUUUCCCGGUCGCGACAAGAUGGUAUCAGAGCCAUCUCGACUGUAGGAUAAGCCAAGUGGAUAAAACCUAAGGACAUAUUUUAUAAAUAAAACUAUUUGCGAAAGUUCCUUUUUUUCUCCUUUCCCCUAUGCUAUUUGCAAAAGGGUUUACUCCCUUCUUCCUUCUUCGGAUUUCAACUAGUACUAGAUGGUCAGGUCAGUGAAGAAGAAGACAUCGUCAGUUGUUUGCCGAAGCUCCGGAAGACUGCAGGAUCCGCUAGCGAAGUGGAGGAAGCAGUGAAGCCAGCUGUAAAGCAGGAGUGAAGAUCUUGGAGAACCCGUCGCAGAACCUAAGCCACCCUCUAGUGUUUCGUUUGUCGUGUGUUUCCUUGCUUGUGUGUGUAGCGCGUGGUUUGCAUCAGUGGAUUGUGAUGUAACCAUGCUAGGUUGUUUGCUUAAUCAACUUGCAGAAUAAGUGAAACAAAGAACACAUCAACAAGAAGAGUUAGUUCCUUUAAGGUCCUAUCUCUAGUUCUGGUCUAUUCUUUCCUGGCUUGUUUCCUCUCUCACCUCAAUCCCUGUAACAGAUGUUUAACAGAGAAAAAGGAAAGAAUGUCAGCGGGUAUGACUCAAGUAACUCAAGUUUUCAACUCAAUCUGCCACUGGCCUCAAGAGAGUUAACCAGGGCACACCCUUGGUCCAUUCCAAGCAUGCUGCUUAGUUCACAGCUACCAUUGGUUGGAAGUCAAGACCAAAAUCAGUAUGUGUUUGAUCGAGCCUUUGCCACCCAGGUCAAUGAGCUUCCAAUGCCAGAAGAGCAGGUUCCCUUUUGUCAUGAUUGUAGAGAGCAAGGACACUAUGCCCUGAAUUGUCCAUGGGUAUAUGUCAAAGAAGCCCCUUCCCUUGGUUUAGCAGGGCGGACAUCGCUAAACCAGCCUCCUCACACCAAGUCAAGCUUGCAGCCUAGUGUGCAAAGUAGAGAGCUCAACGGAGAGAAUCCAUUGAAUCCCGGGAAAUGCUUUCCUCCUAGCCUCUCGUACCACGUGGGGUCACAUACUAAGCAAGCCAAAGGCAAGAAGAGUAAGAAUCAGAAGAGAAAAGCACCGAUGCGAACUGAAGAAGAAGUACGUAAGAUGACUAUUACCAGCACCGAAUGGCCUCCAGCAGGGAUAACUAUUCCUAGACGUCAAAGAGGAAAUACCUUCCGAGGUGCACGACAGUUGACCCAGCACCUCCUAAGCCGUGGUGGCAGAGUAUCUGAUAGUGAAGGGUCAGAUCAAGUCUCCUCGGAUGAAGAAGAUGAGUCUCCCCGACAUCUCGGCGAGGAAGAGAUGGAAUCCAAAGCAUGCCCCCGUUGUGGAGAAAUUGGACACGUUGCUAGCAUGUGUCUCACACUCUGCCCUCAUUGUGAGGAAGACCAUCCACCAGGUGAAUGUCCCACCCGCAAGGUCACAUGUUUUCUGUGCGAAGGUACAAACCAUGUGCCCAAGGAUUGCCAACUCAGUGUGUUGUUGACCAAGACCGCAGAAAUCCAACGAACAACCCUACGAUUGUCUCAUCAGCUAGUCAGCUCCAACAGCAACAUCGACGAUAUCAUCCACAGCACCAAUGCUCCUCCCGCUGCACCUGACUCUGCAAUAAAUCAUAGCGAUAAUACCUUCAGCACCAACCAUUCUCUGCACCGACAGCCUCAACAAAGAAUUGUCAUCGAUGGAAGAAGUUGUGUCUCUCCCCGACCUACUCCAGGCCGAGCCAAGGGCAAUCAACCUCCGGAGGGCGAUACCAAGCAGAAGACCGUUAUUCGCCUCAACCAGCAACCAGAAGGAAACUUCUCCUGUGAAUGAUAGCAAUAUGCAGUCCUAUCACAUCAUCACAGAACCAAUCAAGGAUGCAGUCACUAGAACAAUGCCAGCUAUGUAUCCAUGUUUGUGAUUUUCAGUUCGCUACUUAUCACUGUAAUCGGGAGUUUGCAGCAAUCAUGUAAUAAAUAAACAUAUUCAUGAUUAUAAACAAUGAGUUUGUUAUGUUUAUGGAUGAUUCAUGUUGAGGAUACAAUGUACCGAUGAUAAGCACCUUCCCUUUUUGUUUAAGGCAGUGCCUUGUAUUCGUGUAAUAAGGGAGAAAUGUGUAAUACAGACAAGUUCUGAGAGGAUUCUUUUGGAAGAUGCGGAUAUGUGAUCAUGUGUAUAAUUGUUUACUGACAAAGGAGACCUAGGGUCUCGUGUCAGAGGAACUAUAUUCUAACCUCGAGUUAAUAACCAACCUGUGGAUGGAAAAGAAAACCAAUUAAACUGUGUUGGGUUAAAAAGCCAAUGAGACAGUAGUUGGGGAUAGGAGUUUGGAUACGCCUCUUACAGAUCAAGAUAAGGAUUGUUGGAUGAAACCCAUAAGGGUACCCGCCAUGCCUCUACAUUGAUAAGUUCGGAUAUUCCUGCAAACAGUUAAGAAGAUCCAGGAGACAUCAAUAUUUGAGAACAUAAUAGUCGAUGGUUGGUAAUUAGUCUAUCAGGUAUCAGAAAAGGGUCAAAGGUGAUAUGGCAGAAGAACAAUAUGGAUGCUCCCCAUCUCGAGGAAGCACUAAAGAUGAUCAUCGGCAAUUAAACCCUAGUGGCAUAGAUACAGAUAGCAAGCAAUGUAUUUCCCUGAAGGUGGUCAGUGCAGCUUCUUGACAAACCACAUCAAGGUUUCACUGAAAGGCAGCAAGCCAAAGGACCUCAUCGUCCCCAGAAGCGUCCGCAAUCCACAUUAAAGAAUACCACAUGUUAAAGAUAAGCCGAAAGAUGAUUGAUAAAAGAGAUUGGCAAAGAUGUUCUCCAGCAUGAAAGAAGUAGGCCGGAAGGUGAUUGAUAAACAGAAACAUGCUCUGCAUCGCUCAAGGAAGACCCCUGAUAGUAAUUGCCCCGCAACAGUCACCUUGUCAUUAAGUAAGCAAGAUGACCUAGGUAAAAGUGUUUCUAUGAAGGCAAGGAGUGAAAUCUUCAACUCGGUAUCAGAUGCUACACGGAGUGAAAAGUGCAAGCACCGGUUACCAGGUAAUGCCAUGUCUUGGGAGAUGAUCCAAUGGGAAGGAACACAUCAAGGUUAAAAGGUGUAAAGGAAUACGUUGAAUGCUAACCGAGGACAACCUGAAGAUAAUAGUGGAAAGUAAACUGAACAUAAAGAAAGUGAAUCCGAGUUGCUUGUUCGUGAGAGCUAUUCCCAGUUAUGAAUCAAGUGAUAUGUUCAAAGAUAAUCUACAGAGGUCAGAUUAAAAUCACAUCUAACAACGAAGCCUCAGAUUUGGCAGGAUAAUGAUUAGACAGUAACAAAUCCAGCAAUAAAGCCAUUUGGGAAGACGUCAAAGUAUGUCAAGUGGGAUAAGUUGGUUCUCUUGGGAAGCAUAAUUCAAAGGCAAAGUUAGCGACCCUUGCAUCAAAUAGCAGAAGUACCUAGCACCGGAGACCAGGAAAGCUAAUAUGAGACAGUUCAUGUUGUCAAUCAUGGUAUCCUUAGUAAGCGGGAUAUCAUAGUCUAAAGCAUAUGGUGGUAAGCUGGAAGGAAACGCCAAGCAUGGUAUUCUCAUGAUGACAAGCAUGGUAUCCUAGUAAUGACAAGCAGGUUACGAGACAUGACAUGAAGUUGAUAACUUGUGAGGUUGACGCCGAAGAUAUGAAUCGUGAGAAGUUCUGGAUCUGAAGCCCCAUCUUCAAGUGCCGCAACCUAGUCUGAGUCAGCUAAAAGGUGCACCCUGGUUCAAGUCAGGUGAAGAGAAGAUUCCAUCCGCAGCAGGAGGUCAAGCCAAGCAGUUCCGAGUGGUGAAGUUUUGCUGAAAGUUUGUGAGGACGGAGCGGAAGAAGUCAAACAAGAAGAGAAGACCGCCCAACCUAUCUUCUUGCUAGCCUCCUCGAAUCUCGGGGACGAGAUUCUUGUAAGGGGGGUGGAUUUGUCACGUCCUGAUAAAUUCAUCCCGAAAUAAAAAUCAUUUUCUAAAAGGAAUAAUAGAAUUAAUUAAAAUUCGAAAAGAAAUUGGCAAACACUAAAAUGCGUAUAAGAAAAAUUCAAAUGUGGCCCGGAGAAUUUUUGUUAAAUUCUCCUUGGUCUAAAAGGCGCCCUCAAAUUUUAGUGGAAUUUUCAGAGCACAAAUAAUAAUUGAGAAGAAAUAAACAAAGUUAGAAUGGUUUUAUAAAAAGAAAAAUCCUAAAAAAAGUCUUCUUUCCCCCCCCUUCCCUUACUGGGCCAGCUCGGCCCAGCUCCCUCCCUCUCUCUCCUCCUCCCCGCGGCCCACUCGGCCUCUCCCCGCGCGUGCGCCGCUGACGGGCGGGCCCGCCCGCCACCCUCGCUGACGGGUGGGGCCCACCUGUCAUCCCUAUCCUCGCGCCGCGCCCGCCGCCCGCCCGUGCCCUAGCGCCGCCGCCGCCGCGGAUUCCGCCGCAUCCCGCCGUCCCCGCGCGCCAUAAAGAGGGGGAAAUCACUCCCCGUGAUUCCCUCCCUCUUUUCCCCCUCUUUCCCCUCUCUCUCUCCCUCGGAUUCGUCCGGAUUCACUCCCGCAAAGUUCGCCGGCGCAUCAAUGGCGGCCGAGAUUUCCGCGGCCGAUUCCUUCCCCUCCGGCCGCUCUCUCCCUCUCCCGGCGCUAUAUAAUCGUCCCCCGUGCUUCGCUCUUCCGUUUCCGCCACUCGCCGCCUCUCCUCCCCGUCGGAAUCGAGCCCGCGCCGUCGCACCUUCUCUCCGCCGUCGCCGCCGAACUCCGGUUCACCGCCGUCGUCGCCCCGGACCUCCUCCCGCUUCCGCAUCGCCCCCUUCGGCUUCGCCGCGUCCUCGCCGACCCCGUCCGCUCCUCCGUUUCGCCCGCCGACCGCCGGAACGCCGCCGUCCUCGUCGACCCGAGCCGCGCCGCCGCCUUCCUCCGCUCCGGUCGUCGUUUCCGCCGUCCUCGUCGUCCCGGGGUGAGCCGUGGACCGCUCCUUUCGCUUCCCCCUUCCCUCCUCUCUCUCGGGUGCCGCUCCGCCGCGUCGGUGGUCGCCGGCGGUGACCAUCGGGGCGCGGGCGCGCCGCCUCCCGUCGGCCGUGCCGGCGAGGCCGCCUUCGGGCGCGCCCCGCGGCUGCCAGGUGGGGCCCGGCCGUCAGCCGCCCGCGCCCGCGGGUGCGGCUGACGCGUGGGACCCACGGCGCCGGCCGGCGUCUGCCGCGUGCGCCCGGUCCACCGUGGACCGAGAGGCUGACGCGUGGGCCCCACUCCCAUGGACCCGGUCCGCGCGCCCCUCCCCUCGGCUGACGCAAUAAAUCCGAUUUUUAAUUAAAAUUUAAAUGAAGAAAUUCGCAAAUAUCCAUUUAAAGAGCAUAUAAACUUCAAAUGGCCAUAACUUGGCCAUUUGAACUCGGAAUUGGACCGUUCAAGUCUCUAAUUUUUCCUUAAGAAGUCAAGAACCCAUUUUUGUGCUUUGUUUCUGCUGUUAUGUGGAGUUUAUUAGAGUAAAAGCCUUUUCUUUUCCGUUGGUCGUGUAGACGCUGCAGCUUCGGAAGAUCCGCUCUUCGUGGAAGUUGAAGCCGGUGUUUGGGAAAGCGAGCAAGGCAAGUCACAUCAUCCUUGAGCAUAUUGAAUCCCAGUUUAUAAAAUUAUUUUGAUUUAAAUUAAUGCAUUACCGCUUUAUUUCAAUUCCCGCGUUAUCACUGUUUUAUUUAGCCAUGCCUAUUUACCUUUGUUAAGACAUUAUUAUUGCUAUUGUUAUUAUUACCUUGUUCACCCUAGAAUAAACAAAACCCCAACUAGUGGGUACUCUAUUCCUGGUUCCACUAGUAUGAAUUUAGGUAGAUGCUUCGCUGAUUAAUUAGGCAAUAUUAGGUGGUUUUAUAACUUUAGACUUUGGGAAUUCUCAUAUCAUUUGGACACUAUGGAAUUGUUGGUUUAUGGUGGAAUUGGACAUACACCUCUCUUCCUCUUUCAAAACCCCUAAAACCUGUUUUCGGUGGGGUCUGGGUGCAUGCCAGUUGUGGGAAGUAGCACCCCGGCCACUAUAAGGAUUAAGCUCGGGCCUCUGUUGCAAAGCACUACCGUACUUCCACAUGUCUAGUGGGUAAGGCUUAGUUUGUGGCUCAGUCUGGUCAUAAACAAAAGUACACGGAUGGAGAUGGAUGAAGUCGGGGGUCGAUGGACAUUCUCUAGGACAAAUGAAGGCUACACGAGCUGCGGCCCGGUAGUCGAGAUGUCAUGGCACAGGGUUGGUGCCCUGCUGCUAGGGGCUCAGUCCUGCCUGCCUGUCCCGGGGGUUCCGGCCGUAGGUGGGAUUGGGUCGGUACUCUUGUCUAUGGCUAGGAUGGGUUGGAAACUAUGUCACAGCUUCCGUCUGUAUACCGUGGUGGUAUGUGGCACGUGGUUGCACGUGAGGAAGAUGUGUCUUGUGGGUAAAGAUGUACACCUCUGAUCAGAGUAUAAUCUAUUCGAAUAGCCGCGCCCUCGGUUAUGGGCAAGCCGAGCAAUGUACCCAAGUCAGUGUUUUAAUUCUUAAAAUUUGCUUACAACUAAAAUGUGGAAUGGUUCGCCUGGGUUGGCUUGGGACGAGCUGGGACCCAGGGUCGGGUUGCCAGUUCGGUCUGAAUCAUCGUAGGCCUUGGGUUAAGGCAGGUUCGUGAGGGUUCACGGCCUUGUUUAAUAAUACUGUGUAGCUCUAGGAUCGUCUUUAUAAAAUGGCUUUGGGCAACUAAGUGACUUUUAAAUGCUGCUUUUCUGCAAAACUUAACCCCUAUAUUAUUUACCCCUUGUACCCCCUUGCAUUAAUCGUGCAUCUGCCGGUGUGACUUGCUGAGUACUGUGGUUGUACUCAUUCUUGCUCUAUCUUUCUCCCCCCUUCAGUAAGAGAAGCUUCAGAGAAGAUGUCUUAGGUGGAGUCCUGGCUUAUACCCCAGUUGAGCGCCUGUGAAGAUGGAGCCGUAGGCCCGCUAGUCCGCUGCUGUUUAUUUUUGUUUGUCAGGCCUGAAGCGCCUUUGUAAUAAUGUAAAUAUUAUCGAUAUAAUAAAGAUGUGUCUUUUAUAUCAUGUUUGUAUGGUGUACCCCGGCUUUUCCUGGGACGGGGAUUAAUACACUGGCGUUCGGGAAAAGGCAAUUUUCCCGGUCGCGACAAGAAACCAAUCCGUAUCUUGGAAAUAGAUGAGAGAAGAACCAGGAAUCGAGUUAUCCGUUUUUGCAAAGUUCAAUGGAGUAAUCACUCGGAAGAAGAAUCAACUUGGGAACGAGAAGAUGAAUUGAAGUCAACUCAUCCGCAUCUGUUCGCCAGUUCUUCCGAAUCUCGAGGACGAGAUUCUGUUUAAGGGGGUAGGUUUGUCACACCCUGAAAAUUCAAAAUAUAUAAAUUGUUGUUUAAAUGGAAUUUUUAGAAUUUAUUUUAAAAGCCUAGAAGAGAAGAUCUAAUUUUAAUUAAUAAAUUCCAAUAUAAAAUGGGGCCAGAUAAAAUUUCAUUAAAUACUUUGCUUAAUUCUAUAAUUCCUAGAUUUUUCUGGGAUUUAUUUGAGCUAAGGAAGUAUUUUUAAUAAAUGGAAUUGCAUUUAAAAAAUAAUUUAAAUUGAAAAAGGUUUUGAAAAGUCUUCUUUUGGCUUUGGGCCGAAAGUCGGCCCAAAACCCUUCUCUCUCUCCUCGGCCCAAGUCGGCCCAGUCCGCAGCCGCAGCCGCCCGCGCGCGCGUCCUCGCUCGCUGACAGGUGGGGCCCGCCUGUCGGAGUCGUCGUCUUCCUCCGGCCGAAACCUUAGCGCCGCGCCGCCGCCGCCGCUUUCCAAAUCGGCCGAUCCUUUCCUUCUCCGGCCGAAUCAAAAGAGGGGAAAUGAUCUUCGGGAUUUCCUCUACCUUUUCUCCUUUGGAAACACCGGCUAAAAUCGUUUGGAAAUUCGUGGAUUCGAGUUUGUUUCGGAUUCGAUUUUCCCGAACUUUCCUUCUCGUCGCCGGCCGUCGUGGGCCUUCGCCGCUGCCUCCGAGCCCCUUUAAAAGGACCCCCGAGCUCUUCUCUACCCGCCGCCACCCUCGCCUUCGCCUCUCGUCACCGGUAGCGCCCUAGCGUCGUGAGACCUCGAGCCGCCGUCGCCGCCGUCGCUCCAGCCCUGCGCCGCCGCCGUUCCGGUCAUCGUCAUCGCUCAGGAAGGCCACCGUCGGGAUCGCCAAGUCGUCGCCGUCCUCGUCCGCCCCUUCGCCACCGUCGGAGACCGCCGGAGCAUCGUCGCCGUUGUCGACCCGAUCUCCGCCGUCGCUUCUUCCUCGUCGCCGUCGCCGUCCGUUGGUCUUCCGCCGUCGCUUGGGUCGCCGGUGAGUUCGCCGUGCCGUCCGCUACCCGUUGGUGUCCUCCGUUCUUGCCGAAGUGCCGCCGUUCGCUGGCAAGCGUGCGCCGUCCGAGCCGUCCGAGCCGCCGAGCCGCCGCCGCCGGUGGUGACGUCAUCGCCGACGUCAUCGUCGCCCUCUUCCAUGAGCCGGUCGUGGACCGAUCGAUCUCGGCCGUCCGUUUUGGAUCAAGUCGAUCUCGGCCGUCCGUUCGCGUGAACCGCCGCCGUGCGCCCGGUCCACCGAAACCCUAGCCCGCUGACGCAAUAAAUCCCUUUUCCUUUUCAAAAAUAAUUCAUUAUUGCGUCAUAAUUCAAUUAAAAUCAAUAUAAGUGUUUUAAUCCGAUUUAAUCUUCAAAAAUUCAUAACUAAUUCAUCUUAGCUCCGAUUUAGUUGGUUCAAGUCUCUAAAUUUUUCUAAAAUUGAGAUCUACACAAUAAAAAUAUCCACAUGUACUGUUCAUGCUUGUUUAUGUGCUGUUUUGGUGAUUUUGCUCUUUUCUGCUUAGAUUCCGUCGUUUCCGGAGAGUCCGUUUUCGCAGGAGAAGAGUUUGAAGAGUUCCAAGGCCAGCAAGGCAAGUCACACAGAUCCCAAACAACCCUUUGAGCAUGUUGAUCCCGUUUAAAGCUAUUGUUUCUAUUCAACUAUUGCAUUUAUUUUCGAAUGUCAUUGGGUGGAAUUAACCUAUUGUUUGCUAUAGCCCUUUUGUUCUUGAUUACUUUAUUCCUUGAUACCUUGGGUUAUUAUAAUUUGACUAGUUGAGCUUUAUUUAUAUUGGUUCAACUAGAUAUUAGAUAUAAUUGCUUAGCCAUGCUUAGAAACAUUAGCACACUUUUGGGAUAACUUAUGAUUCACUAUUAUUUAAUGAUAGCUCACGAUGGUCAAUUGUGAUUGGUUAAUUAAUUAAUGUGCCAACUAAAACCUGGUAAUGGUGGGUUGUGAGCACAUGGUUUUGAUGGUCGUGCUCAUGACAAUUAAGGACCGGUUCACGAGUUUCGGUUGUGAAACAUUAACCGUGCCAACCACAAGCCAGCGUGGGCAACGGCUUUAUCUUUUGUAUAACAUGGUUCAUUGCGGGGCACCAGACUGAGAAGUGGCGGAGAUAAGCCCACGGGGGUCGCUGGGGAGUCCAUGCCUUGUUUAUAAGGGGGUGAUUAUGAUCCAGGAAGGUGCGCUGCAGUGGAUUGUGUUAUGCAAGGGGUAUUGUCACAACUCCUUUCCGAGGUACCGUGGUGGUAUUGAGGCACAUGGUGACAUGAUGUGGGGUUGUGUCUUGUGGGUACAGUGGUACACCUCUGAUCAGAGUAAAACUAUUCGAAUAGCCGUGCCCGCGGUUAUGGGCGGGUCUAACAAUGUCUUUCGUGAUUAGUCUCACCCUUCUCACCAUAGUAAAUGAUGCUAUAACUGGUAAUAAUUUGAUUAGCUCCUGGUUUGGAAUGGUAUAUUCCUGGUUUGGAGAUAGAACUGUGCAGCCGGGAUGGUUGUUCAGAAUGGUUGGGCCUAUACAACAGGGUAUGUUGUAUAGCGUUGGAUUAAUAUUGUUUAAUUAUUACUUAACUGUUUUAUUAAAUUCUCAAAUGUUUGCUAAAUGCUGCUUUUGCAAAAGAAACCCUAUUAUGCCAUCCUUUGUUAUCCUGUGCACUUGCAUAUUUGCUGCGUGGCUUGCUGAGUAUGUCAUAUACUCACCUUGCAAUCAUUCAUCAGAGGAAGAGUUCUACAAUGAUGCUGAUGGUGUGGAGGAUUAGGUGUAGCCUUGGUCAAGCUGCUUGUGGAGUGGAGCCGUCCGCGCCGUUUAUCUUAUUUUCCGCUGCUUAGAUCUUUAUUGAUUGAGAGGAACUAUCUACCUCUGUAAUGACAUUUUAUUCGCUUAUUAGUUAGAGUAAUAUUUGUACUCUAUUAUCAAUUUGUUAUUGUGUGCCUCGGCUGAUUCCUGGACGAGGGUUCCCACACAUGUAAGCGUUUGGAAUUUUGGAUAGAAAUUCCGGGCGUGAUAAUUGUGGAGGAGGCCCGGUGCCGGUUUGUGAGUGGUUUGGAGUUCACCACCUUCGGAGAGAAGAAAGAACUACCCUAGUGAUCGAGGCUUGGGUAGUCCUCUCCGUGGGCUGGCUCCCGCCUUGCCCACCCCUUGACGAAGAGGGCGUGCGGAGGCUUCGUGGUUGAGUGGUGGAGUUGGGCUCGCCUCAACGGGGAGUAGGAAACCAGCGAGUUUCCGAACCUCGAUGAAAAAUCUCUUGUCUCCUUGUCUCAUUUGAUUGUCGCAUUUACCUUUGUGCAAUUUACUUUUCUAGAGACAAACUUGAGAUCAUAUCACCCUAGGAUUGCUAAACAUUGACAUAGGAGUGUGAUUUACUUUCGUAGAGAUAUAAUUGAGCCUCUAUCACCCUAGAUUUGCAAAACAUAACUUAGUUGCUUAGUUAGAGUUGACCCUCACCAAGCCUAGCAACUUAGGUUAGUUUUGAUUUGGUGUCAUUUAGUUUUAAAUCGCCUAUUCACCCCCCUCUAGUCGACAUCUCGAUCUUACAUACGUGUAUCGGAUGAUUCUUGUGAAGUAUUAGGCGAUACUUAUGAGGUACCAGACGAUUCUUGUGAGGGAUUAGCUCAUACCCAUCCCAGCGCAACGGCAUCGAUCUUGCUCCACCGAUUCCCCAUCACGGCCAUGCAGCUCCAGGACCAGUAGCUGCUCCUGCUCCGUCAUGCUCCAGGACCAGUAGUUCAGCCACAAUAGUCUAUAGCUCUUCCUGGGCCUCUUAAGCCCUGCACUAACUUGAUCUAAUAAGCGAUUGAUGGAUCAAUAUAUCCAUCGGAGAAGAAAGAGAAAUAGAAAGAGAGAAAUCAAAAGCAUACCGACACAGCAAGUGAGUGCGUUAUAGCGGCCCUCCCUUUGGGUGGCAAUGUCGUUAAUGAGGAGCAGGUCCUCGACCGUCCACGGCCCACGCUAGAGGUCGGUGGUGGCGACCACGUCCUCCAUAUUGAGCAGGUCCUCCACCAUCCACGCCCCACGCUGAAGGUCGUUGCCGGCAGCCACGUCCUCCUCGCUGAGCAGGUCGUCCUCCAUGGCCCGCAUUACAGGUCAUCAGUGGUGGGCCGCCUCCUUGCCACUGCUCAGCUCUCGCUCCUCCUCGCGACAUCCUUGGAUAGGCCGGGGAUCCUUACUUUCAAUAAAUUUUAGUUUCCAUAUUUUAAAAUCAAAAUUUUCAGGGUGUUACAGUAAUAUCCUAGUUGCCACUUUCAUGAAGGCGUCACAUCGGAGGUUCCCUAUUAGUGGGGCGUCCUUGUGGCGGUGUUCCUACCAGUUGGGUUCGAUUGCAAUGGUGGUGGCAUGGACUAGACGAAUGAUUGAUUAUAGCUUAGUUACUCUCUGAUGUUAUGUCAUGCUUUGGUUUGAGGUUAGCACUGGUAGUGCCUGGAGCGAAAUUUGAUCGACAAGGAUCAGCCGCUGAUUUCAAAGGUUUUUUCUUUUCUUAUUUGAGGAAGAUAAGGACUACAUUUAACUUGUAAACCGUUGGUAGAAACAAUGACUAUACAUACUCUUGCCAACCAUAGAUGGAAAUAUUUGUCUUUAAAGUGGUAUACUAUGUAGUUUUCUUAUUUUUAAUCGAGCUGUAAUUUUGUAAUUUGCACUCAUUUGUCCUGCAACCUCCGUAAUAACUGGUUGUAGUUUUUCUUUAAGCAAAAGCCGGAAUGAAUUUCAUUAUAAAAAAAAACUACUUCAAGGGUCACUGAUCUUGCCGAUGCAAAAAAAAAAAUGUUCCUAUGAUCAAUCGAUGAGUAAAUAAGUAAAUAAGAACAACAUAAAAACAAUCUGAAUUAGAAAUACGAAAAAACACAUACGAUAAGUUAGGUUCCAAAGAUGGGAAAACAACUAUCUAACUGUUCACAGCUUCAUACAUUAAAUUAGCAAUAAUAAUGAUUUAAAAACCCAAGACACCCUGAAGUAAUACAUAGCUAUUGGAAGAGGUGGGAUGAUAUCCAAGACGUCCCUGCUACCUAGGAACAUCCUCCAUCAGAACAUGGUCUCACUUUGGCCAUGGUCACAGAUGAAGUUGCAAGACCAAACAACCAUUAAGGUCACGUGGCAUCUUGUUUGUUAAAUUGCUGACACCUCGAUCUAAAUAUUAAUACAAAGUCGAAUCCGUUGGAAAGUGGACAACACACCUACCGCACUGUAACCAUACCAUGUCAGUGUUUAUAAACAAUUGGACAAAAUUUUACCUCUGCAUUGCACUGACCAUUACAGAUAAAAGGUUAUCUAUUAACUUUUUUUUUUGAGUAGUGAAUACACCACAGUUAUUCACCAUUUACAAAUUAUUAGGAGCAAACUUUUGUUACCAGGAAAGAUUCAGGAUAAGUAAUUCCAUUGUUUGCAAUAACUCACAUCGACACAAAAUUACAAAAUUAUGUAAAAAAAAGGAGUUACAAUAUCGUCAUUUCAAACCAAUAUAGAUGGCCCAUAGAUUUUCUACAUUAAAUUCACCUCACCUGGAGAGAAACUUCAGUGAUCUCUUUUUGCCUACUCAACUCAGGGUUGCUAGACCAUGCGUAGCUGCUAGUGGUGUUGCUGCUGUACCCACCACCCCUAAGCUGCCACUCAGUGAUGUAGCUUGGCUUGGUGACCACCUUAGCCACAUCGACAUCUCCAGUCAACAUUGUCACGACCUUCGACAUUGGCGGUCGCUGGUGCGGAGAGCCCUGAGUGCAGACAAGUGCAACAUAUAUGACUCUAAAAGCUUCAUCCUUGUCAAAUUCCUUGAGACUUGGGUCAACAAUUCCAAGUGCUUGAUCCAUUUCAUACAGGCCCCAUGCCUUUUGAUAAACAUAGUUUGAGUAAGCAAAAGGCAAUUUACAAUGAAUUGAAGUUUUCUAGUAUGGGAAGAACAUAGACCAGCAUACCCAUUCAAGGAGACAGAUCUUGCUUUCCUCGAGGGAGUUGUCGGUGUUUGGUCUCCCAGCGACAGUCUCCAACAUGACCACUCCGAAUGCAAAAAUAUCAGCCUUUUCUGACAAAUGGCCUCUCAUUGCAUACUCAGGAGCUAGAUAGCCCCUUAAAAAUGAUAAGACAAGUUAAUAGUAGCAUUCAUAUUGAUGUUAUAAUCAUAAGAAGAUAAGUGGUAAAACAUUCUUACAAUGUGCCUGCAAUUCUAGUGCUCACAUGAGUUUGAUUCUCAUCGUAGAGUUUGGCAAGUCCAAAGUCCGAGAUCUUUGGGAUGAGAUUAGUGUCAAGUAGAACAUUACUAGCUUUGAUGUCCCUAUGCACAAUGCGUACACUUGACUCCUCAUGAAGAUAAGUUAGCCCUCUUGCUAUUCCUAAAAUGAUCUCGAAGCGCAUUACCCAGUCUAGGUUUAAGUUACUGUCACCUUUACAAGCAGAAAUAGCUCAGUUAUCAUCAGGAAUGCCAAUUAUAACAAAGAUGCAGAAAAGAAAAAUCCUUAAUUAUUAGUCACGAAGCAAUGAGUUUUAUUUGUGUAGAAAGAAAAUACAAUUCUAUAAGUGCCGAGGGCGGCAAUUUUACAGAAGUGAACUCACCAAAGAUUGCUCGAUCUAAGCUUCCAUUUUCAAGGUACUCAUAAACCAACAAGGGUGUUUUACUAUCAAUGCAGCAUCCAUGCAAUAUCACAAGAUUUCGAUGUUGCACAGCGGAAAUUGUCGCAACCUCUGUCACAAACUGGCUUGUUCCCUGAUGAGAUGAUUGUGAAAGUUGCUUCACAGCUAUAACUCUUUCAUCAGGUAGCUUACCCUGCCAAGGUUUUUACAUGUGUAUUUUGAGCAUAGACAAAUGUUGCUAAAACACAGCACUUCAAUGCCAAAUCAGAUAAAUUUAUAACCAGCUGCAGUUGUACAUAAUUAAUUAUGGAAAUAAAGAACCUUAUACACUGGCCCGAAUCCACCUUCGCCUAGAAUAUUUUGAGAACUGAAAUUGUCUGUGGCUAGCUUUAGCUCAGCAUAACUAAAAACGUCAGGUCGUCCAACCAGGUUGUAUAGUUCUGCAUGUUAUUUUUAGCACAGAUGAGAAGAGUAAACCAGAUAAUUUUGAUGUUUGAAUUAUAUAUGUCCUGAUAUAUAAUACCUUCUUUCUGUUGUGCCAAUGCUCUCCGCUUCUUUACUAGUGUAAACACUCCAAAUAAUGCUGCUAAUACUAAAACUAUUGCACCAAUCAAUAUUCCGGAAAUUGCACCUGCUUUACUUUUCCUUUUUGGUAUGCCGUUUCGAACGGUAGGAGUAAAAUCUGCAAAGGAAAAAUAUUAUUUAUCGGCAGCGAAUAUAACACUUCCUGCUGUUGUUUUAGUGUGGUGCUUACUUGGAGUGACGCUCAAUGCUGAGAUCAUUGGCCCAUAGUAAUUAUCUUUAGUAGGUAUGUCAACAGUGCCCUUGCCAGCCCAGAAUAGAUGGAUCUCAAGGAAGUUUUUAGACACAGUUACCAUGAAACUCCUAUUAACUACGGUAAAAGAUUUUCCACCUGCUGUUUUCCUUAUAUCGAAAUCCUUUUGUUUUAGAGCACCCUAUGUAAAUAUCAGUAAUACUUUUAGAUAAAUAUUGGUAAGAUUCAGUAGAAAAACAUUAUAUAAAAUGCACAAAAUUUCUACCUGGAUAUAUAUGUCAAAAACUCUUCUCCCUAAGCUUAGCCAAGUCUGUGAGUCUGGAAAAGCUAAUUCUGCGAAUUGGAGCAAAACAGUGUAAUUUCCAUUCUCAAGUCCAAGUCCAUAGUACCUCAGAGAUGAUGAUGACAUCCUUGCAGUUUCAAACAACUCUGAAUCAACUACAUUUUGAAAAGGUUGGGAGCUAUAUAUAAUAUUCUUUGCAUCUAUGGCGUUCCCUACACUACUGACACCCCAUCUUGUUUGACCGGUAACAUAAUAUGUUGCAGCUCCAAGAUUUGUAGGAUCUGCUUCAUAAAUAGUGUCAUCUGAGCCUCUUAUGGAUGCAUUACUGCCACAGUCAACUGCGAAGGAAUAAUCUGCAAUUAAGAUUAAAAAAAUUGUAGCCAUCAUUCAAAUUCGUAAGUUCAUGUUACUGUUUAGUUUUAUGAAGAAUGAGAAAUAUACAUUCUGGAGAUCCACGGAAACAAGGGGUGUCUUGUUGGAGGCAGUUUAUUCCCCAAGGUAGCGUACUGUGCACAAUUUGAAUUGAAAAUUUAAAGUUACCAGCAAGAUUUUCAUAUAGUUCACUCGCCAAAUUAGAACUAAAUGUCACAAGUACCUUUCACUGGUGGUAUCGAGUAAGAAGUUGUUUGCCACCAAAUUCCUUUCAAAAAACAGAAUAUUAGUAUUUAUAUUUUUUCUCAGCGACACAAAUAUCACACUUUUACACUUACAACUGUAAAUUGUUUUGUCUAGCCCAAGAAGGAAUGCUCCCAGUGAGUUGGUUGUACGAAAAAUCUCUGUCAACAUUCCAGAAUUAUGUUAUACAAAAUUAGUGCGUACUAUUAUGAAUGUAGUUUGUGCUAUACUGCCAUGUCAAUUGUAUUUGACAUACAUCACUUUUAAUGAAGAGCUUAUACCAUCCGGCAACUUUCCUGUAAGGCUAUUGUUCCCAAGAAACCUGAAUUGGGCACAGUUCAAGAUUAUAAAAUAUACUCAUCUGCUUAAUACAGGCUCGUAUGAACAAAUUGAUGUAAAGAAAGAAUUUCUUACAAAGAAUUGAGAUUUCCCAAAUUCAAGAUGGAUUGAGGAACUUCUCCUGUGAUAUUGUUAAAACUCAAGUCCCUGUGCCACAUGACUAUCAUAUUACUUGAACAUAUGGUACACAACAUGAGGAAAUGAGUAAUAACGUCAUCAGUUGGCACCAUGGCCUGUAAUUGAAAACUUACAGCAAUUUUAACUGUUUAAACAUGGAAAAUUCUACUGCUCCGAGAUCACUAGAUAUCUUGCAGUUCCUCAAUAUUCUGUAACGAGGAAAUACAACCUUGGUAACUUGCAACUAGACAAUACUGUAAGCUUUAUAGCUAAAAGCAUCACAUACAGUGUGCUCAGGGAUGCCAUAUUACUGAUAAAUGCCAACGGAGAGACCCCAUUUAUAAUAUCUCCAAUCCAUCUGCUCAUUUGAGUUUUUCAUAAAUUAGUUAUCAGCCUUGACAUUGUCAACCUUCAAGAGUUCAUGCCACAAAAAGAGUAUACUUACAAUCUUGUUAAUUUGGUCAGAUUAGACAGACUUUCUGGGACUGGUCCUUCAAAGGAGUUUCCGUGGAAAGCACUACAAGCUCAUUAUUUUAGAAAAAAAGUUAGGGACAUUCAACCUUUAUAAAGUAAGAAAAAAAAUCUCUGUGUGAGCAUUCUUAAUAAGAUCUCUAGGUAUGAACAUGCCAUGUGGACCGCUUACUGUGAUGCAGAUAUCUGCAUUUAUAUUGAGUGAGGACUGAAAUGUGAAAAAAUGCUUUUGUUUAAGUCUGAAUGGAGAUAAUGUGAUAUACAGACAGUAAUUUAUCUUGCACAGAUUCAUCUAUCUCUGAACAGUAAGAACGAAUGAUAUCUUAACAAGCUUACAUGUCUUCCAAAUUAGUCAUUGUGCCCAAAUAAGCAGGUAUUUUCCCUUUGAAUACAUUAUCUGAUGCACUCCUGCAAGCAGACCAAAAUAUCAUUUAGCAUGAAAACAUGACGAAUAUAAUAAUUGAGGCUAUGUUUUUGACUAUACAAGAACUUCAGGUUCUGAAGUUUUGAGAACGAUGAAGGGAACGGACCACUGAAUCCAGAACUAUCAAAGUACCUGUUAUUGAAAGUUUGAAAUAUUAUCAUGUUUGACAAUAGAUAUGACCAUUCCAAAUUUAGUUCUUUUACAAGUAGAAAUAAGAAGUUAGAAAUCAAUGGGGUAUCUUACAAUUGCUGAAGUUUGGUCAAGUUACCCAGUUCUUCUGGAAGACUUCCUGUAAAAUUGUCUGAGCUAAUGCCCCUAAAUGAAAAAUGAAAUAUUUCAGGACUGACAAAAAAUUUUUGUCAUCAACUAAUAGCAAAAGGGGCAUAGUUUUCCUGAUGUGCCAUUGGACCCACAAUAUUCAUCAUUACAAUAUGUUCAAGUAUUUGCUGUUCAAUCUUACUUGAUCAUAUGAAGCACCACAUGAGCAGGAGUUACACUGACAUGCCUAUUACAUCCUAUUUAGUAGUAGUUUUGAUCUUUUUUAUCACUCCCUCCGUCCCAUUAUAAGUGCAACCAUAAGUGUUUCUGUAUCAAACGUUUGACCGUUCGUCUUAUUUGAAAAAAUUAUGAUUGUUUUUAAAAAAAUAAGUCAUGCAUAAACUACUAUUCAUAUUUUAUCAUCUAAUAACAAUUAGAAUACUAUUUAUAAAAAUAUUUCAAAUAAAACGGACGGUCAAAUGUUGAGCACUAAAACCCACAACUGCACUUAUUAUGGGACGGGGGAAGUAGAACUUAUGCGAUUGCUAUUUCAUGUAUUAUUAUAUUAGUUCGUGCAGUCCAAAUAUAUACUCCACUCAUUUCAUAUUAUCUGUCAUUCUACUUUUGUUGUAAGUCAAACAUUAUAUUUCUAACCAUCCAUUUUUACAUAUUUAUAUAGUUUAACAUUUAGAUUCAACAUGAGAAAUAAUUUCAUAAUUUAUAGUUCGUACUCCCUCCGUAAAAAAAAAUACAACUUCUAGCUAACAAUUUACACAUAAGCUAUGCUCAGAUUCGUAGUCAUAAGUUCAACUCUCUCUCUAUAUAUAUGUGCGCGCACGCGCGUGAAAACUGCUAGGAAUUGACAGUUAAAGCUGAAAGGAUGAGUGGUUUGUAGCAGAGGGAGCAGUGGAAGAUUAAUCCACAUGUGAGAAAAGAUUUCUUACAAUGAAAGAAGAUUGGUGAGGUUUCCUAGUUCCUUUGGAAGUAGUCCAGAUAGUGGAUUGAAAGAUAAUGACCUUGAGAUGAUUAGCAAUAAUUAAAAAAAAACAACGACCAAUAGAUGGAACAUGAUCUAGAACAAACAUGUAACUCAUACAAGUAUUGCAUUGAAGUAAAUUUUCCGAUGAACGACGGAAUGGGACCAGUCAAGUAAUUACGGAAUAAGUUCCUGAAAAGAUCACAAAAAUAAACUAGAACAAUUAGCCAACACAAAAAUAAUGAUGAAUACCUGACAAGCAUUUGUUGGUGUUCACAGAAAGAACCAUGGGAUUGAAUUUAUAUUUUGUGCAAACCCUUGAUCUAUAAAUUAUUAGUACAAGACUCUUUAGUAGUGCCACACCCUGAUUUUGUUUCAGGAAUUUAUAAAUUAUUUAAUAAAAUACUUCUAGAAUUUAUAUUAAAGUGUACAUUAAUUAAGAAAAUGAAUUAAAGUGGGAAAUAAAGUUUCCUAAAUAAAACAUUGCUGGAUUUAAUUUUUAUUAUAUUCUCCAUGAUUAGUUUACACUCUCUAGAAUUUUUUCGGAUUUUUCAGAGCUCAAUUACUAAUUUUAACAAUACAAACAUCAAUUCAAUGGUUAUUUAAAUAUAAAAUAAAUUAGAAACCCCUCCAAAGUUCUGGGUCGAAUUGAGCCCAUGUCUCUCUCUCCGCGCUCAGCGCAGCUAGCGCUAGGCCGCUAGCCUAAGUCACCAGCCCACCGCCUCCCUCCUCUCACUCCUGCCAACAUGUGGGAUCUGGUCCCACAUGUUAGUGUUGUCCCCAGCAUCCAGCCAGAAUCACACUGUCUGCGUUCCUCUCCAAAUCCAGCCGCCUCUCUAGAUCUUUUCCAAAAUUAGUUGAGGCCGUUUGUUCCCUAUCUCCUCUUUCCUUUCCCCAUGAAAUCCCCAAAAAUAUCUAAGUAAAUCGUGUGGAAUCGAGCUCGAACUCGGACACUCUCUAUCCGGUAGAACCCUAGUUUUUCCCAGCGCUGCCAUAGCCGUCUUAGGCCCGGAUACAUUAUCUCGUGGCUACAAACAGGAUCCCCCUCCCUCUCCUCUUUCCGCUGCCACCCUCGCCUGCACAAAUCGGAGCCUGUAGCCCUAGCUUCGCCGCUAGCCCAUAGCAUCAGCACUGCUGCCACCUUCCAGUCGGAUCACGUCGUUGCUCUACUCGUCGCCGCUCUACUUGUCGCCUUCGCCCACUGUCACCUUCGCCGGGUGCGCAAGGAGGAGGCGCAUUUCAUCUGCCGGUCCUCCAUCACCCUAUACUGCCAGAACACCGCUAUUGACGAUGACCCGAGCUACACCGUCAUUUCCACCUCGUCGCCUUCACCGUCCGUCGUCGCAACGCCUCUCGAUGAGUUCGGCUCGUCACACUCAACCUCUCGGUACCCUCCGUUCAUGCUGCCGUGCCUGAUUCGCCGGCGAUCUUUGGGUUCCGAGCAGGUCGUCGCCGGUGAGGUGACAUCAUCACCACGCCAUUGCUAUUGUGUUAUCACCAAAAGUUGGUAAGGUUCCUUAGUGGAUUUGGUUGAAGGACAAAUUUGAUCAACCAAUGGAAGUCUAUCCAGAAGAUACCGAAUUCAAAAAGGAUUGUGAAGACCAUGGCAUGGCAUAUUAAUUCUAUCUGUUGAUUUAGUAACUUUCCUUUAAUCUUUAGGAAGUUUUAUCUAAUGUCUGAUUAAGACUUGUAUUUUUUCCUUUUAUGUUUAGCAAACCUAUGUCUUGUCUGAUUAGGACUUGCAUCAACCUGAGGAGAUAAAUAUGUACCACAGGGUCUUUGUAAACUUUCUCCACAUAUUAAUACAAUUACUUUCGGCGCAUUGCAACCUUUUGUUCUAGCAAGUUCUUACUUUGAGUUGGGCUGCAUUGGUUUUGAUCUCCAAUGAGGAAGUAAUUUCUAUCAACUUUUCAUGUAUCGCCGUGGCAAGAACUUUCUCGAUUAAGUCAGGUAUUCUUUUUGGGUUGACGCAAGCAUUACAUAUCCGAUAUAUUGAUUCUAUCUUUAACUGCAUUGCCGUUUAGAGUUGCAUCGACUUAGUUAGGACUUUCUUGGUUAGGUCCGAUAUUCUGAUUUAGUUGAUAUUUCUCUAAUUAUACUAUUGUUUUAGAUAGAUUUGUUAUAUCCAUCACGUCUGUGUAGAUUUAUCGGAUAAAUAGGUUUUUUAGGGGCAAUUGCUUAUUUGACCAUGUUUAAAAGCAUAACUACUAAUUUGACCCUACAAUUUUCAGUUUGCUUAUUUGACCCUGUUCAUCAAAAUCAAAUGAACCGUCUGACCCUGUUCCGUUAAGGCGGGUUAACACUGUUAAAUAAGAGGCAAAUAGUCCCUUUUGCCCUUGCUUAUUUGGCCCUCUUGUAUCCAAACAUUCAUACAAAUGGAUCUUUUAACAAAUCAGAAUCAAUUUGACAAAUUUAAUACACAGUAGCUGGAGGUUGAUGCUGGGUGCCGCCGCCGACCACCCUUUGCACGCCACUGCUCCCCGCGACAGCGCCGCUGCGGACAAACCGAUGCCUCCACAAGCGAAUUAAACGGCCCAUCGAAUGAACUCGCGAGGGAAUUCUUAUACUCUUGCAUGCCCCCUUCACUUGUAGAGAAACGUCUAGGCGCAGCAAAUUAAUCAAGUGCUCUGAUAAUCAAUAUCUCAUCAAGGUUAUCCAAGUAGUAGCCAGAUCAAUAUCUCGAUAAUAAUCCGGAACACGUUCACCAUGGUCGUCGGCGCACCCACCGUGGCGUUCUUCUUGAGAGACCUGAGUAGGUCGUCAACGAAACGCUCCAUCCUCCUCCACUUCUGCCGCGGUCGGCCGCUGAUGCGACACGGGAAUUCCGAGAUACCUACACGCAUCGCGUGAUGCCGCGGCCGCUCCGUCGCGCAAUGGCGUUUGCGCCGACCUCCCUAUCCGUGCGGCAGCCGCCGCUUCCCCAUGCGCUGCCGACGCUGCUGCUCCCUACCUCCACGCAUCGGCGGUGCUGCUAGCCACUCCCUCGACGCACCGCCGCCACCGCAGAUCCAUUUCUCCAUGUGCCGCUUGUAAGAGAUGAGAGAGACAAGGUGGGAUGGAUAGGGUUGAAGUGCCUUGAUGGUAUUUUGGUCAGUUUAAAUAGUAAAUAGAUUUUUUUUCUUUUUCUAGAAGAAACCCUAAUGAUGUAGUGGAAAGAGGGUCAGACGGAGUGUUCAAUUUAAAAAAGUCAAAUAAGCAAACUAAGAAAAACAUAGUCAGAUUAGAAGUUAGGCUUCAAAACAGGGUCAAAUAAGCAAUUAUCCCAUUUUUUAUCAUCUUCAAUCUUAUACUGUCUCGUUUAGGUUUGAUUUAUUAGAUUGUUGCUAAUAUGUAAUUAUAUUCUACUAAGCCGAUAAGUUUUUAUGCAACAUUUUAUUAGAGUUCUAGCCAAUUAGUUAUCUUGUUACUACUUCUAAGUGUUGUAUCGUCUUAUACUCAAACUUGUAUAAUCAAUAGUUAAAUAUCUCUUUAUCAACUUCAAUAUCAUACCGUCUCGAUUAAUUAGGUCUGAUCUAUCAAGAUUAUCUUUGAUUAGGAAUGGUUUAUUGACGAUUGAUGAAAACCUUAUAUACAUCGGCUAGCCUUGCUACAUCACAUCAGCCUAUUGGCUGAUCGGCUCUUUGAUCUUAUACAAUCCAUCUAUCUAUCUUCUUAAUUGUACGAUCAAACUAACCGCCACGCCCUACACCCGAUUGAUACGACGAGCUAUGUGGAUCUCUCAGGCCUUCGUGUGCGACAAAUUUCACGUCAACAUGUUGCCACGUGGUUCCAUCUAAACCCUAGAUUGAAUCGGUUUGAGCCGUCAGAUCUUGGUUAACUCUUGGUUAACUCUUGGUCAAGAUCAAUCUCGGUUGUCCAUCUCAGUGAACAUGUGGUCAAUCUCUGUGGACCUACUCUACGGUGGACUGAUUGCUGAUGACAUCAUAAUUUAUCUUUUUCUUCUUUAAAAUAAUUAUAAAUUAUGUAAUAAAUCUAUUUAAUCCUUUUAAAUAGGCUUUAGUUGAAUUAAAUCUUGUAAAAUUCAUUACUAAUUCAUAUGAAGUCGAAAUGAGGCAGUUCAUAAUUCAUCUAAAAUAAAGCUCUAAAUGUUUGUUUACUUUUUAUGUAUUGUUUAUUUGGUUUUUAUUAGUCUUUUUUCUCGUUUUGCAUGUUAGCUUGUAGUUUCCAUCCUUUUUAUAUAUUGUUUAAUUGAUUAUUGUAAGGCAUGUCACACAUGUCCCAAACAAUCCCUUUGAGCAUGUUGAUAAAAUAUUUAAAUUCUUCUUUUAUUUUAAAUGUGCAUUUAAUUUCGAAUGUCAUUAGGUGGUGGGAACCUUUCCUUUGAAUAGCUAGUUUGUAUUGAUAAUCCUGUUCCUUGAUAUCUUGGGAUAUAAUUUGACUAGCUUGAGCCAUAUAUAUUGGUUCGACUAGAUAUUAGUGUAAUUGCUUAGCCAUGCUAAGAAACAUUAGUAUCAUUUUACAUGCAAUAACUAAUGAUUCACUCAUGAUUAAUGAUGGUUAAUUAAUGGUAUGUUGUGAUGUUUGGUCAUGGUUGAUUAAUAAUAUGCUAACUAAAACUUGACUAAUGGUAGGUUUUGAGCACAUGGAUGUGAUGAUCAUGCUCAUCACAAUUAAGGACCGGUUUUGUAUAGCAUGAUUCAUCAUGGAGCACCACACUAAGAAGUGGUAGAGAUAGGCCCAUGUGGGUCACUGCGGAGUCUAUUCCGGGCUAUGGAAAGACGAUGAUCCGGGAACGGUGAACUACUUUGAGUUGAGCUAUGCGAAGAGUCACAAUUUUGCACGUGGUGACAUAUUAAGCGUGGGCACACGAUAACAUGGUGACAUGUUGUGGAAUUGUCUUGUGGGUAUAUUGGUACACAUCUGACUAGAGUAAAACUUUUCAAAUAGCCAUACAUGCGGUUAUUGGCAAGCCUAGCAAUGUUUUUUUGGUGAUUAGUCACACACUACUCAUUAAUCAUAAAUAAAUUGGUCAUAACAAUUUGUUUGCAUUUUGUAUGGACUUUAGAUCUGUGUAGUCGGGUUUGGUUGUUUAGAGAUGGUUGGGCCUACGCAGCAUAGGUAUGCUAUUCAGAGUUGAUUUUAAAUUGAUUAAUUACUCUCAACUAUUUACUGAAUGUUGCUUUUGCAAAUGAACCCUACUAUACCUUCCUUUGUAUCCCCAUGCACCUGCAUUUUUUCUAUGUGGCUUACGGAGUAUUCUAUUUACUCACCUUGCAAUAAUCAUCAAAUCUCAGUUGAAGAAAGUUUUCGAAGGAGAAGACAUGUGGCUUAUACCUCAGUUGAACUGUCUGUGAGAGUGGAGCUGAAGCUAAUGUUAGAUUGUUUGUUACCUGUUGUUUUCUUUUCAUUUAUAAGUAAUAUCUAACGUAAUUAUAAUAUUGGAUCUGUAUAUUCAAUUGUCAAUUUUAGUAUCUCAGCUAAUUAGUAGAUGAGUGUAUUAUAUGCACAACUUAGUUCGGAAAUUACUAGUGAAUUUCCGAAUGUGACAGGUAGCAAGAUAAAUUAAGAAGAGAAGUCUUCGAUACCGUACAGGUCCACUAGAUGGGUGAGAUUCUGUAGCUCCGCAGGUAUUUGACCAACUACAUCCAAAUAAGUUACCCUCCUACAUAACAAACAAGUAAUAAUUCUGAUAAGAGAACUAUGUUCAGGAUACAUAUAUACAGCCGGAGGACCAAAUGAAUACCUCCGUUUGGGUCCAGCAGAUAUGUACAAUUUUUCUUUAGGGAAGAUCUGUACCAAAUUUAGGAUAGACUUUUCUGAUUCCUCUAUAUGCAGCCUUGGAGAUACUAAUUAAUAUCAAUAAUCUGGUGUGUGUCUAUAUAUAUAUACACAUAUAUAUGUAUGUAUGUGUGUGUGUGUCUAUAUAUAUAUAUAUAUAUAUAUAUAUAUAUAUAUAUAUAUAUAUAUAUAUAUAUAUAUAUAUAUAUAUAUAUAUAUAUAUAUAUAUAUAUAUAUAUAUAUAUAUAUAUAUAUAUCUUAAUUUGCAUACUUGCAUAUACGUGUAUAUGGGCUAGCACACACGAUGAAACCACGAUAAAGAUAAAGAGAGUGUGCGUACAGUCUCGUAAUGUGGCAGAGGGUGUUGUUGUUGAAUGUGCAAUCGCACUUGAUGAACGGGUUGAUGUCGCGGUAGUUAUCCCAAUCGGUUUUAUCAGCUGCGAAACCGCUGCAGAGCUCACCGCUGAUGUUCCACUCCGGUGAUGCCUUCUUGCCCCAUCUCCCUAGUAUCGUGUUCAGAGCAGCCGCUGCAUGGUUAAUUUAUUAACUCACCAUUAGUAAUCAUGCGGAUGAAAGCUACGCAAUAGUGAAAUCAGACUUCAUGAAACUCACGGGUUGCUGCGUAAGUUUUAUACAGUAAUAAUAGAAAUAACAUAUAAUCAGUAGGCAUAACAUUAUAUAAUUUCAUCUUUAUCGACUGCAGAAAAAAAACUAUAUACAAUUAGGAUGUUAUUUAUAAUAAUUUAAACUAGAUUGGCCAUUUAAAAUCACAACAAUAGUGAUGUGGCUAAGUACAUCAUCUUAAAUAUAAAACAAAGGUGAUACGGCUUAAUAACAAAAGAAAACGUGAGAGAUAAUUUGAACAAUAUACCUAUCUCAACUAUCAUAGGGAUAAAGAAACAAUUUAGAUGAUGUGGCUUAAUAAGAAAAGAUAUAAAUAGCAUUAAUAACCACUGUAGAAAUGAACUUUAUAUAAAUAUAUAGGAUUUCUCUAACUCUUUGGUUUCAACGCGGCAAGAGCGGACACACUAUCAAAGUUAUUAUCAACCACAAAUUAGUACUCCUGCGAUCAAAGUACAUGGAGGGAAACCAAACAAGAGAGACAUGCAUGCGUGGAAGCCUGCCAAUGGUUUGAAAUCCAAUCCACAACCAGCCCAAACCAAAGCAGUAAGCUACACAAGUCCAAACCACUCUAAUUCAUUUGUCUUCUCUUAGAAUCCAAACCAAUCCAACCCAUAUCAUAUUUCAACCCAAAUCAACCCAACCCAUUUCAUCUAUAUGGAUUCAGUUCACUUUUCCAGUCCAUUUCACCCCAUUCCAAAUCGACACCAACCACAUGUCGGCGACGAGGUGGGCGAGGAGCAUCGGCGGCGAGCCGAGGAAGUCGCAGCGCGACUCCGAGCAGGAGCAGGGCGCGUGCGGGCAGGCGCGCUGGUGGCCGGCGACGUCGUAAUAGGCGACGUAGCUCCAGCAGCCGAACAGGUCGUUGGGGCACAGGAUCUUGGCGGCGCCGCCGCACGCGUGGCACUGCUUGCCGGGACGUCGCCAUGGCAGCUGCUGCACGCCAAGUGCCCCGCCGCGGACUGCACGCCAAGAAAUUGCCACUAGCCGAGCCCUCACGAAUCGAAUGAAAGAACAACAACAAGAAGAAGAAUGUCAGAUGGAUUGGAUGAACAGCUAGGAAGGAGGCAGAUAGGGCAACGGAGCACGGCCAAGUCGAUCCGCUUUUCUUCUUCUUCUCCGGCUCCGGCUGCAGCUCCCUCGCCGCGCGCCGCUUCCACCGCCUUUUCUCGCUUCACUUGGCCGUUGGGCGACACCACCCACGCCGCCUUCUUGGCGCCGCUCUGCUCGUCGUGCUGCCUGUACGCCGCACUGUUCGCGCUCAACUUGGCCACGUGGUUCGGCGACGGCGUGGACGGCGAGCUCGUCGGCGCCAUGCGCGCCGUGCAGCAGGAGUUCCCUCCGCUUCCUCCCCCGCGCCCGCGUCUUCUCCACCUUCCAGAAGGCGGCGGGCGGCGGCGGCGGAAGCUCUCCGACGGCGAACCUAGUGCGGCGGCCGGACAUCCAAACGCGGCUGCGCGGCGAGGUCGAGGCGGCCGAGGGCGGUGGUGAUGGAGUGCCUCUGUGUCUGAGACGACAUCAUCUGCUAUUUGGGGAUGAAUCCAAUUGAAAUCCAUGGACUCCAUCCAUUUUAGACCCAAAAAUUAUGACUAAAAACCAAUCCAAUCCAACCCAACCAUCCCUCAUCCAAGCUGCUCCAAUCCAUUAGUUAUCUCAACCCGUUUACACCCAUACCAAGUGAAUCCAAAUUGAAAACCAAUCCAUUAGACCCAUUCCAAUCCAACCCAUUGGCAGGCUACAUAUACGUACGCGUGCAUUCUUAAUUACCUUCGACUGGAUCAGUUUUUGGUGCUUGUUGAUCCUGAGCAGCUGCAACCCGCCAUGAGCACAAAAUUAGCACCAGCCACGCCAGAUGGUGGCGAAUGACACCUCUGAUGCUGCAAGAACGCAUAUCUCUCCCUCUCUCUCUCUCUAUCUAAACAACACUGUGUGCAUGCCAAAGAGAUGUAUAUCUGUAGGUAUAUAUGUACGUGCCACUAAACAUUAAAAAAUUUGGUCAAAUGUGUACUCAGCUUCAACAACGACCCUCGUGCUUUGGUUAAUCUUAUCCGUCAUGGUUGAUAACGAUAUGGAUUACUCUAUCCGUCCCAAAAAACUCAACUUAUAGAGUUUAAAUUUAUCCAAAAAAAAAAUCAACUUCUACCACUUUACCUACCUCCUCUAGCAUAUAAAAUGAGAAGUUUUAUCUCUUAAAUAUCAUUUACCUACUUAUCACCAUUACUACCUUUACUACUAUUGAUGAGGGUUAUUUUUGUCAUUUUUACUCCUCACUAAAUUUGUUUUGGGAUGCUAGGAAUCUCACUAAAUUUAUUUUGGGAUGCUAGGAAUCCUCUUUUAGCAAGCAAGUGUUUUGGUCAAAUUAAAGAUGACAUUAACAAGAGCAUGAGGAUGACCAACUAGUGUAUGCCCGGUGAGUUCUUAAUUAAAGAUUAGUUAUUUUUCAUAUAUAUCUAAAUUCAAGAAAACAGCUUGAAAAAUUCUUUUUAGUUUUUGCACUUUGCGUCCUUUUAUUCAGUUUUACUUCGUUAAAGUUUUGUCCCAUAUGAGUACUUGUUUAAUGCUAUCUUAGGUUACGUUCAGCGACAAUACACAGAGAGAAAAAUUACCUUCUCUUUCAAAAGCAUACGCUUACCGAAAUACUAGACAAUAUUUUUUUACAAAAGAAAUUACAAAAAGUUGUAUUUUUAAUUUUUAAGUUUAAAAUAAUUAAUAUUAAUUAUCUUAUUUUGUGAGUAUGUUUUAAUUUUUUUUUCUUUCGUCAACUCUCAAUCAUAAUGUUAAAAAAAACUCUCAACUAGUAUGUUUUAAAGUUUUAUGGUGUUAGUCGUGUCAAAAACAUUGACUUGUCCACCCGCCGUUGUUUUGACUGCCUGCCGCGGGAAGGGAAAAACUUGCCGUGGAAAUCUGAUGCUGCCACGGCAUCCUUUGCGUCAGGACGGCGUUCCCCGUUCUUCAAUUUUUUGUCGAUCAGCUCUGUUGAAUCGUAUGAUUCAUAUGCUAGCUGUGUCUAUAGGAUUUGGUGCUUGCAGAAUGUAUUCUUUUCACCAAAGUGCAUAUACACACACCUAGUUGCAUACAUGCAAUCUAGAUAGCUAUAUAAAAUUUUUAAAAUUUUCACAAAACGAGUCCUCCUGGUAGAUAUGUGAGCGUUUGCACGAUUGUGUUGUGUGUGCGUUAGACUUGUACUGACAAAAAAAAAGAAAUAUUAAAUUGAUAAGAUAGAUCAUGAAGAUGUAAAUUACUAAACAAAUAGAUCUAAACUUAGUCUAUACUCACUACUGCAGAAAAACCCAUAGAGGUGCACCCUUUUUUAUUUUUAUAGGUGCUAAAAAAACAUGAAAAAAUAUUUGGUAUUUUUAUUACUUCCCUAUAACGUCACACUUCGCUUCCCACAUAUCACAUGAUUUUUGCAACCCAUAUUCAUAGACAUGCUUCUAAAGAUUCUUACCAUGCUAUUGUUUUGUGAUUAUUGUUAUCCAAAUUUAUAAUGCUCAACUGAAAAUUUUAGCGACUACAAAAUUGUAGACGUCAUCUAUACCUACAACGUUCAUAUAUGUUUUGUCUCCAUCCGAGAUCAUUUAGAAAUUUUAAAUAUUCACUUAUGUAAAUAGAUCUGAAACAUUAUAACACAUUUUCGGACAUCAGAAAAACAUUAAAUAAAAAAUUCAUCACCUACAAAGUUAUAUGUCUCGUCAACUACAAAUUUGAUAUAAAGUUUAUCUUCAUCCAACUUUAUAUGAAAAUGUUAGAUAGAAAAUAUUGUGUCAUUAUUGGUGCCGAUUUUAGUUGUAAACCAACAUCUAUGAGCUCAUAAGUACUAGUUUUUAUUAAGAAUCAACACAUAUAUGAUGCCUAUAAGUAUAGUUUUUAUUAAGAACCAACACAUAUAUGAUGCCUAUAAGUAACGGUUCAUGAUAAAAACCAGUACAUAUGCUUAUAGAGGUGCCAUUUUAUUAUAAGAAUCAUCGACACCUAUGUGUUGUUUAUAGGUAUGUACCAGUUUGUUAUAGCCUGAUAGAAACCGACACCUAUGAUUUGAUAGAUUAUUGGUGCUGACUUUUGUUACAAACCAAUACCAAUAAGUGAUUAUAAGUACCGGUUCUUAAUUUUAUACUGGAAAAAGGUGGAGAAAGCUUCAUAGGCGCCAGUUUUAGGCAAACCGUCAUAUGUAAGUCCAGUCUUUAUGUGCUGUUUUAUAAUAGUGGCUGGAUAAAUAUAAAUAGCUAGCAAACUGUAUUGAUGUGCACUUAUUCAUAGUUGUAGCAUUUUAUUAUUUUAGAAUGUUCAGGCAUAUGGCUGUGUUCGUUGGGUAGGUUGGGAACUCAUUCCCUCCACACGGAAAACGGAGCGGUCCACUAGCGUGUGAUUAAUUAAGUAUUAGCUAUUUUUUUAAAAUAAAUAGAUCAAUAUGAUUUUUUAAACAACAUUCAUAUAGAAGCUUUUUUCAAAAAAAACACACCGUUUAGCAGUUUGAAAAAUGUGCACGUGGAACACAAGGAAGAGGGGUUAGGAACCCUGAGGAAAUAACACAGCCUAUAGAAUACAUGAGAAAGUCCAGAGCAAGUAACCAGCUAAACUAUUAAAAACAAUUAACUUUACUCCCUAAUGGCAUUUGUAUGUUUUUUUCUCCUUAGGCACUAAAAUUUAGGACUAUCAUAUAUGUAUUACAACUUAUAUCUUAAUAUUCUCAAUAUUUUUUUAGAUUUUUUUAUAGUUAUUUACAUAGGUUAGAAGCAUUUAAGACUGAAUCAAAUAUCAAGAUCUCAAAGUUAAGCAAACACUUCUGAAAAUAUUGAAAAUAUUUUCGAACUUUGAUAAUGGUGUAUCUAUGGCUAUAAAAAGUGCAACUUAAAAUAUAGAGCUUAUAUAAAGAAGAAAAAAAAGGUGAAAUGUCACCCGAGUACCAUUUUCAAUAUGCUUUAUGGAGUCAAAUGAGUAAAGAAAAGGUUUAGGGGUUGAUCUAAUGAAAUAGUUUGAGAGAUUAAAAAUUUAGUCUUGAAUGUUUCUAUAUAUAAUUAAUCUAAACUUAUUAUUAUACCACAAUCAGUAUUACUAUUUUGCAAACUUUACGCAACUUAUUUGUUAGGUGCACGCCUGGGUGGAGCACCUAUGCUGUGAUGUCACGCCCAUAAAUUCACAAGUAAUUUCCAAACUAAUUUGUGCAUUAAAACCCUCGUCCAGGAAUCAGCCGAGGUACACAAACUGACAAUUUAAUAUACAAAUUCAUCAAAAUAACUAAAACGAUAAAUACUUACAUAAGAGGCACUUAGUCCUCACCAUGAAGAAAACUGCAGCGGAAAGUAAAAUCUAGCGAAGCUUCAGCUCCACUCCCACAGGCAGCUCAACUGGGAUCUAAGCCAAAGGUCUUCUCAUUCUGGAUCCUUUUCUUCAACUGAGGUUUGAUGAUUAUUGCAAGAAUGAGCAUAUGACAUACUCAACAAGCCACACAGCAAAUAUGCAAGUGCACAAGGAUACCAAAGGAUGGCAUAAUAUAGGGUUCAUUUACGAAAGCAGCAUUUAGCAAAGAGUUGAGAAUUUGUAAAACAGUAGAGUAAUUAAUCAUCAAUAUUAAUCAACACUGAAUAGCACACCCAUACUGCUCAGGCCCAACCAAACCUGAACAACCAACCCCGGUCGUACAGAUCAAACCUCCAAACCAGGAAUUAUCCAUUCCAAACCAUAAGUCAAAUUAAUUAUCACAUUAUUAUCAUUAAUGAGUAGUGUGGGACUAAUCACGAAAAACAUUGUUAGACCCGCCCAUAACCACGGGCACGGCUAUUCGAAUAGUUUUACUCUGGCCAGAGAUGUACCACUGUACCCACAAGACACGAUUCCACACAUGCUGCCAUGCCCCGAAGUACCACCACGGCACUGCUAAGGGGGAAAUCGUGACAGUACCCUUCACACAACACAACUCACCACAGUGUACUAUUUCUGGAUCAUAAUCACCCCCUCAAUAACCAGAGGCAUGGACUCCCCAGCGACCCCCCACGGACUUCUCGCCGCUUCACAGUCUGGCACACCAUAAUGAAUCAUGCUAUACAAAAGAUAAAGUCGUUGCCCACGCUGGCUUGUGGUUGGCAUGAUUAAUGUCUCACAACAGUAGCUCGCGAACCGGUCCUUAAUUGUCAUGAGCACGACCUUCAAAACCAUGUGCUCACAACCCACCAUUAAUCAUAUUUUAAUUAUCAAUUAAUUAUCAUAACACGUUU
This 105549-nucleotide long non-coding RNA is filed under the name Oryza sativa (Asian cultivated rice). RNAcentral's name for it is "long non-coding RNA (OSAT_LNC000957)". The stretch from base 92327 to 92535 matches the Rfam family "MIR812 microRNA precursor family". Lineage: Eukaryota; Viridiplantae; Streptophyta; Magnoliopsida; Poales; Poaceae. The record is from RNAcentral.